RNAcentral lists this long non-coding RNA (98490 nucleotides) under Triticum aestivum (bread wheat). RNAcentral describes it as "long non-coding RNA (TAES_LNC018999)". Lineage: Eukaryota; Viridiplantae; Streptophyta; Magnoliopsida; Poales; Poaceae. The record is from RNAcentral.
UUGUUGUUGGAAGUUAGACAGAUGGAAGACAAUAACUUAUCUUUUGCCAAAAUCAUUUUCCCUUAGUUCUGGUACAAGUUUGUAGUAUUUCUACAGGCACAAUCCGACAUUCUGACUUGGACCAAUCUAACAAAAUGAGAUUAAUGUUGGAAGCUGAUAUAAAUACAGUCAGAGGAUUGACCAUGGAUUUUCAGCAUGAAUUCAUCAUAAAAUUCGCCUAGCUAGAAUUAACAAGUCCUGACCCAAAUCAUACACAAAAUCAGCGGAAAAGAAAGCACAGCAGAACCCCAUGUUGUUACCUGGUUGUCAACCCAACAGAACCCCCAAUCAGCCAAUUAGGCAGAUAAGUAUGGCGCACCAAUUAGCUGGCUGUCGCAGAACCCUAUAGGCAGAUAAGCAUGGCGCAUCAGCAAUCAGUCGUACUGUUUGUUAAAAGAGUAUUUUGUCCAUGUGUAGAAGCAAAUAUAGAAACUGAUCUUGAUAAUAUUUGGCAUACCGCAUACCCAAUAACAGAUUAAGGUGCAUAUUUGAUAGCACAAGCAGCAAUUUUUCCCCAAAAUUAAAAAUAAGAUUACCAAGCUACAGACUAACCACAUCCAGCACAAGCAAUUUGUCCCAUCAAAUGUUUACUAACGGCAGUAUAGGCACAACAGCACAACCUUACCUAGCGCCAUGGCCAUUGUUCAGGGGCGGGGCAUGCUUAUGUUGUACUGGCGCUUCUCCUUGGAGUUUGAGGAUGAGGAGCAGCACACGCACUCGCCGCAGCUGUCGUCGAGCAGGACAAGCCACGGUGCCCACCCUCGUCCCGGACGGGCGGCUGCAGGUGCGCCGCGUCCAUGGAUCCUACGGGAUGAGGUCCUCCGUGCUGCCCUGCUCGAGGUGGACCAUCAGGAAGCGAGGGCGCGCGUGGGGGCGCUGUAGACGAUGGAGAAGAGGCGCCAUAGGCGGCCGUAGAAGGGCCGACGAUGAAGGCGAUGCCGGAUGCCGAAACCCUAGCACGGGAAGUGGUUUUGGGAAAGCAGUUGAGGUCGAGAGGGGGAAAUCUUGCCGGAGGGAAGGAUGGAUCCGAGCGAGGCGAGCUCGGUGGUGUGCUCCACCCCGGCAAUAUCCGCCGGAAUCGCCCGAAUCGGGAGCGGCGGCUGUGGCGGCUGAGGGAACGGAGGAGAGGAUGGGGGUUAGGGUUACAUGGGUGUGGACUUUGGAUUAAAUAGGCUGGCUCGAAAUUUUUGCCACCGCCCGCGUCAGCGACUUAAAAUUUUGCACGUCCACGCGCUCUCGAAACUUCUGGCGCGUCCGCUUUUUUAUUUUUAUAUAUGCAUAUAUACUGUUGACUACAUUCAACUGAAAUAUGGGCCAACCCACCAGCCACACACUACACAUCAGUAGGAGUCAUCGGUGACGGACUGGAUAAUGUAUAAAAAAUCGAAUGGCUUGACCGAGUAAGUUGAUUUGUGACCAUUUUCAUGACAGUCCAUCAUGUCCAUCAUAAAAGGGCUACCUUCUUAGGUGGGCAGUCACAUUCUAUUGAUCCACGACGGUUUCCAUGACGGAUAGUAGAAAACCGUCAUCACCGGUGACGAUUUCUGAGAACGUCAUCAGAAAUCCGUCACGUAUUAACAGGUUUCUUGUAGUGUUCGUGUUUGCCGGUGAUCUACAACUACAAGUGGCAUCAGAGCCUCGGUGGUGUUCGGUCCAUCCUGGGCGCCGACGGUGUUUGAUCCGUCGGAGAGAUGGUCGGAAGCGACGAGGAGAAGGAACAGAAGAAGCUAAAGGAGGAACAGGCCAAGGCGGAGGCCUCGGCACUUGGGAAGUCCCUAGCCCGUCUCUCCACCGAGCAGGGAUGGAGCCAGAAAAUGAAGAUAGGGGGGCAAGAACUCGAAGCACUAAAAUCAUAGUAGGAUACAUGAUCAUAUACCUAGUAAAUAAUGAAAGAUCUAGAUAGUAAAUAUAUGUCUGUUGUUCUAUAAUAAUAAAAAAUUCAUAUCUAUUACCCCGCAAAAAAAUUUGAGUUGGUGUUUAGUUGCAUUUCGUUUGCAUCAGCAUCAUGUUCACAUGGCAGCGAGCUGGAAACAAUUGGCUUAAAAAUAUGAAUUGAUUCAGCCCUUUCUCUUUGUGUCUACACAGAUACAAUCAGGCGUCUAUUGAACGAACGUUCAGACAAUAUCCAUCUCGCAGGAUAGAAUUUGUAUAAUCUGAUUUUGCUAGCGCGACGUGAAUGCGUGAUUACGAACACAUAUUGCUAGCACGCCAUUGGCAAAUACGCCUGCACACCAUAGCACGCGCCCUAGUAGAUUCCUUUGACAAUUAGACUAAUUAGAAUUUACUAGUUAGUUGUAAAUGUUUCCAGUUCUAUAAUUCCAUUUAUACAAUUUGAAGGCAUAGAUAAACUAAUCUAAUGCUGAAAGUAAACUAACCCCUUUUUCUUUUGGUUUGGUCACUCCCUGUGGCCAGCCGGCCGGCAGCGCGCUCGUGAUCAUGGAUCGGCGACACUACCGCUGCCUGUCCCCUCCCCUCAACGAAGAGAUUCGACUCAGGAUCUCAGGCGGCCGGCGGUACGCUCGAUCUCAGGCGGCAGGAGUAGUGGGGAGGUUGGAAACGAAGCGAUUAGAGGAGAUCUUAAUCAUGCGUACGUUUUUUUAGGGAUGAAACUAUGUUUUUUUUGAGGCAAACCAACAAAGCUUUAUUCACCCGUCACACAGUUUACAGGGACGAACAAAAGAUCCCCAGGGUGGCCUAACCAUACAUGGCGGCCAACCCCGAGCGUUAACGCAUGCUUUGCUAGUCUGUGAGCCUCNNNNNNNNNNNNNNNNNNNNNNNNNNNNNNNNNNNNNNNNNNNNNNNNNNNNNNNNNNNNNNNNNNNNNNNNNNNNNNNNNNNNNNNNNNNNNNNNNNNNUGGCAAGCCGACAGGAAAAGUGUUUCAUGCUAAACCGGUCACCGCUUCACGUGGCCAUGUCAACUGUAUCUCUGCCGAAGAAGCUCAAGAAGAUCCCAACGUCGUUCUCGGUACGCUUCUUGUUAAUUGCCACCCGGCAUCUGUUCUUUUCGAUACAGGAGCCUCUCAUUCUUUUAUAUCUGAAAAUUAUGCUCGUUUGCAUAACGUUGCAUUCUGUGACUUGCCAUCCUCCAUGGUAAUUCAAACUCCGGGAUCCAAAUGGCAAACUUCUAGAGUAAGCCAUGGAAAUGAAAUCCAAGUCGAUAGACUUGUUUUCCUCGCAUCUUUGAUAGCCCUUAAAUCUUCAGAUAUUAAUAUCAUUUUGGGUAUGGACUGGAUGUCAGCUCAUCAAGCCAAAAUUGAUUGCUUCUCUAGGACUGUUCAACUCACCCAUCCUUCGGGAAAGAUAGUCAAUGUCUUGACCCGAAUAGCCAAGCGACAAUUAUUUUCUCUUAACGCCAGCCCUUUGCCAGACCUUGAGGACGUUCCGGUAGUCCGUGACUUCCCGGAUGUCUUUCCAGAGGAAUUGCCAGGUAUUCCACCUGACAGGGAUGUUGAGUUCGUAAUAGAUCUCAUUCCAGGAACCGUUCCGAUUGCUAGAAGACCUUAUAAGAUGGCACCCCUAGAACUAGCCGAGCUUAAGAAACAACUCGAUGAAUCCUUGAAAAAGGGUUUCAUCCGCCCUAGUUCAUCUCCGUGGGCUUGCCCCGUCCUAUUCGUUAAGAAAAAGGAUGGUACGGACCGGAUGGUUGUAGAUUACCGACCUGUCAAUUUGGUCACAAUCAAGAACAAAUACCCACUUCCCAGGAUCAACGAUCUGUAUGAUCAGCUCGCUGGAUCCUCAGUCUUCUCCAAGAUGGAUUUGAGGUUGGGCUACCAUCAAAUCAAAAUCAGAAACGGGGACAUUCCUAAAACGGCCUUUGUUACUCGUUAUGGCCAAUACGAGUACACCGUCAUGUCCUUCGGUCUAACCAACGCUCCAGCCACUUUUUCUCGGUUAAUGAACUCAAUCUUCAUGGAGUAUUUGGAUAAAUUCGUCGUGGUUUACCUCGAUGACAUACUCAUCUACUCCAAGAACGAGGAAGAACAUGCCGAACAUUUAAGGCUAGUGUUGAAGAAACUUCGAGAGCAUCGCCUUUAUGCCAAAUUCUCAAAAUGUGAAUUCUGGUUGUCAGAAGUGACCUAUCUGGGUCAUGUAAUAUCGGGUAAAGGUAUUGCUGUUAACCCUGAGCGAGUUCAAGCUAUCCUUGAUUGGACUCCACCUGAAUCGGUCAAGCAAGUUCGGAGUUUUCUAGGCUUAGCAAGCUAUUGCCGUCGCUUUGUCGAGAACUUCUCCAAAGUUGCUAAACCUCUAACCGAACUCCUCAAGAAAGAUAAGAAGUUCGAAUGGACUCCACAAUGUGAGCACAGCUUUCAGGAACUGAAAAGACGCCUGACCUCCGCUCCCGUACUGGUACCGCCAGACUUCUCCAAGGACUUUGUUAUCUACUGCGACGCCUCGCGACAAGGACUAGGUUGCAUUCUCAUGCAAGAUCGACACGUAAUUGCCUACGCUUCACGGCAGUUGCACCCACAUGAGGAGAAUUAUCCUACUCAUGAUCUAGAGCUUGCAGCCGUAGUCUAUGCACUUAAAACCUGGCGACAUUACCUCCUCGGUAAUCGUUGCGAAAUAUUCACUGAUCACCAAAGUCUGAAGUACAUCUUCACCCAACCGGAUCUGAAUCUCAGGCAAAGACGUUGGGUUGAAUUGAUCACAGACUUCGACUUAGGCAUAACCUACACCCCGGGGAAAGCCAACGUCAUGGCUGAUGCGCUAAGUCGUAAAUCUUAUUGUAACAACCUGAUGUUACAACAAAGUCAACCGCUUCUCCAUGAGGAAUUUCGGAAGCUUAACCUUCACAUUGUACCUCAAGGUUUUCUUUCCACCUUGGUAGCAAAACCUACUCUUACGGAUCAAAUCAUCGCUGCCCAAAAGCGAGAUAAGGGAAUAUCUAAAAUCAAAGAGAACAUUGCUAGCGGAGGUGCUAGUUGUUUCUCCACAAAUGAUCAUGGUGUUGUGUACUUUGAGGACCGUCUAGUGGUUCCCAAGAACCAGCAUCUACGGCAGUUGAUCCUUAAGGAGGCUCAUGAAUCUCCUCUCACCAUUCAUCCCGGUAGUACUAAGAUGUAUCAGGACCUACGCCAGAGGUUCUGGUGGACUAGGAUGAAGAGAGAAAUUGCUCAGUAUAUUGCCAAUUGCGACGUCUGUCGUCGUGUAAAGGCAGAGCAUCAACGGCCUGCUGGCACCCUUCAACCCUUAGCUAUUCCUGAAUGGAAAUGGGAUAAAAUUGGUAUGGAUUUCAUUACCGGUUUUCCUAGGACCAAAAGAGGGAAUAAUGCCAUUUUCGUUGUGGUCGAUCGUCUUUCCAAGGUAGCUCAUUUCCUACCUGUUCGUGAGAGUAUAACCGCUAGUCAGCUGGCAGACUUAUACAUCUCCCGAAUAGUGUCCCUCCAUGGUGUUCCUUUGGAAAUCAAUUCGGAUCGAGGAAGUCUUUUCACCUCUCGAUUUUGGGAAAGUUUCCAAAAUGCUAUGGGAACCCGUCUCUCCUUUAGCACCGCUUUCCACCCUCAGUCAAGUGGUCAAGUGGAACGCGUCAACCAAAUUCUAGAAGACAUGCUUCGAGCCUCUGUUAUCUCGUUCGGAAUGGACUGGGAGAAGUGCCUUCCAUUUGCCGAAUUCGCUUACAACAACAGCUAUCAAUCUAGCUUGGGUAAAGCCCCUUUUGAAGUUCUCUAUGGACGACGAUGUCGAACACCCCUUAACUGGUCAGAGACCGGGGAAAGACAAUUCUUUGGCCCGGAUAUGGUUCAGGAAGCAGAAGAACAAGUUCGUAUCGUUCGUGAAAAGUUGAAAACAGCCCAAUCCCGUCAAAAGAGUCAAUAUGACCGAAAACAUAAGGCUAUGACCUUCGAGGUUGACGAGAAGGCUUAUCUUCGGGUCACCCCUCUGAAGGGAACCCAUCGCUUCGGUAUCAAGGGCAAAUUGGCUCCUCGUUACAUUGGACCUUUUCGCAUUCUUGCCAAACGAGGAGAAGUUGCCUACCAAUUGGAACUACCUCCGCACCUCUCCAGAGUUCACGAUGUCUUCCACGUCUCUCAACUCAGGCGUUGCUUCUCGGAUCCUAUCCGUGAAGUGGACCACGAAACGCUUGAUCUCCAAGAUAAUCUUACAUAUCGAGAGUACCCCAUUCGUAUCCUCGAUCAGGCCGAGCGUACCACUCGACGUCAUAAUAUCAAGUUCCUCAAAGUUCAGUGGUCUCAUCAUUCUGAGGAUGAAGCAACUUGGGAAAGGGAGGAUCGUCUUCGACUCGAGUAUCCCGCCUUCUUCUCGGAGGAACCCAAAUCUCGGGACGAGAUUCUUUUGAGUGGGGGUGAGUUGUCACACCCUAGCUAGUCAUGCAUUAGAGUGUUGCAUCAUGUUUACUCUUUCAUCAGAAACUUGAAAUGGGGAUGACAGAACCCCCAGUCCCCUCUGAAACCAACUAGGGUUUACUAAAAUAAUUUUCAAUGAACCUGAAAUGCCCUUCUAAAAUGCCCAUCAUUUUUGUCUUGGUUCAGAACCUCUGCCAAAAGUGGUGCACAUUUUCCUAGGCCAUCCUAGGGUUUUGAAUUAAAUCAUAACUAUUUGAAUUUGGGCAUUUAAAAUAAUAUAAAAUAUUUAAAUGNNNNNNNNNNNNNNNNNNNNNNNNNNNNNNNNNNNNNNNNNNNNNNNNNNNNNNNNNNNNNNNNNNNNNNNNNNNNNNNNNNNNNNNNNNNNNNNNNNNNGGAGCCAGCUAAGAAGCCACCCCCUCAGGCUUCAUCUCCACUGCUAACUUUGAGCUUCCCAAGCCUGCGCGCUGCCCCUGACGCGGGUUCGGCUGGAGAGGUGGGCCGACCAGCAGUGUGCCUUGAGCCUGGGUCUUUGCCGCCUUUCCAUCGCGACCUUGCCCGGGACGUGAUCAGCUUGCCCUAGGCCCCUCCUCUGAUCGUGAACAGUGAAUGGUUGAAGUCGAUCUUCGGCUCUUCUUCUGGGGAUGGAUCUGCACUGGCCUGGGUCCCUUGCGGGGCCCAUCCAGCGAUUGUGGGGGCACCAGCCCCUAGCCCCCUGUCGAGAGGGGGCGAACCACUUCAGGGCCCUCCGCCAACACCGGCGGCGGAGGACGAUAUCGACGACAUGCUCAAGCGUGUGUGGGAGUGCAGCGCCAUCCGCUAAGAGUUUCUCCGGAAGGCGACAGACGCGAUGGGCCAGCUCGGUGGAGAGCUCGCGGACGUGGACGCGUGUCUUGAAGCCGAAGGCCUGCGGCUGGUUGAGGAGCGGUGCAAGCUAAAGGUGGGAGUCAUCCUUGCGUGUCAUCAGCGUGAUCUUGAAAACACAAAGGCCGAAGCAUCCCUUGUGGCCUCGCGAAAGGCCUUCUCCCGAGCCAUUGAGGACGCUCAGGAGGCAGACCGAUGUCGCGAGAUCGCGGAGAGGCGCGCGUGGCAGCUCCAAGCCUGGAGUACUUCCCUGGAGCAGCAAGUGGAGCUGCGCCAAGCUGCCCUUGCGUUGCUGAAGGGGAUGCCUGUCGAAGAGGAGGAGCUCCAGAAGCGCGAGGAAUCGCUAACGCUGGAGGCUGCCGAGCGCAACCUCGAUCUUGAGCGGUUGGAGACGAGGGAGCACCAGGUUACCCAGGCGGAGGACGACGUCGGUGCGCGGGAGGCCCGAAUCCAAGAAGAGAUCGAACGCCGCGUAGCGGAAGUCCACGCGGGCCUUGUGUGUGAGUAUGGUGAGAAGUUGGAGCUGAUCGAAGUCGAGGCUGCGAGCAGGACUGCCGCUCUCAGGACCAAGUUGACCGAAGCGACGCGGUGCGCGGAGGCCACCACAGCUGCCCUAGCCACGGCGCAGGCCGAGUGGGUCUCGUCCCUUGUUGAGUUGCUUCUUCUCCAACAGAGGGUCGAUGACGCCGAGGCCAUUGCUCGGCGGAACGAAGAAGAGAUUGCCAGACGCUGGAGCACAUGCAUGACCCCAUGCUCCAAACGCUCAGGGACAGGGCCAACACGGACCUUGGCAAUAUCUGUGAUGCGACUGCUAGACAACCUCAUGUGACCAAGUAUGCCGGCAAUCUCCAGUUAUUCACUGACGUGGUGACGCAUAUGGAGAAGGAACAAUGCUACUAUCCUUUUUACCACACUUGUGCUUUAAAGUAGCACGAUGAUCUUCAUGAUAGAGAGUCUCCUAUGUUGUCACUUUCAUAUACUAGUGGGAAUUUUUCAUUAUAGAACUUGGCUUGUAUAUUCCAAUGAUGGGCUUCCUCAAAAUGCCAUAGGUCUUCGUGAGCAAGUGAGUUGGAUGCACACCCACUUAGUUUCUUUUAUUGAGCUUUCAUACAUUUAUAGCUCUAGUGCAUCCGUUGCAUGGCAAUCCCUACUCACUCAGAUUGAUAUCUAUUAAUGGGCAUCUCCAUAGCCCUUUGAUACACCUAGUUGAUGUGAGACUAUCUUCUCCUUUUUUGUCUUCUCCACAACCACCAUUCUAUUCCACAUAUAGUGCUAUGUCCAUGGAUCACGCUCGUGUAUUGCAUGAAAGUUGAAAAAGUUCGAGAUUGCUAAAGUAUGAAACAAUUGCUUGGCUUGUCAUCGGGGUUGUGCAUGAUUAAAUACUUUGUGUGAUGAAGAUAGAGCAACAGCUAGACUAUAUGAUUUUGUAGGGAUAACUUCCGUUAGCCAUGUUAUUUUGAGAAGACAUGAUUGCUUUGAUUAGUAUGCUUGAAGUAUUACUAGUUCUUAUGUCAAUAUGAACUUUUAUUUUGAAUCAUUUGGAUCUGAACAUUCAUGCCACAAUAAAGAAAAUUACAUUGAGAAUUAUGCUAGGUAGCAUUCAACAUCAAAAAUUCUGUUUUUAUCAUUACCUACUAGAGGACGAGCAAGAAUUAAGCUUGGGGAUGGUUGAUACGUCUCCAAAGUAUCUAUAAUUUUUUAUUGUUCCAUGUUAUUAUAUUACCUGUUUUGGAUGUUUAUGGGCUUUAUUUUACACAUUUACAUCAUUUUUGGGACUAACCUACUAACCGGAGGCCCAGCCUUUAUUGAUGUUUUUUUUGCCUAUUUCAGUAUUUCGAAGAAAAGGAAUAUCAAACGGAGUCCAAAUGCAAUGAAACUUUCGGGAGUGUGAUUUUUGGAAUGAACGUGACCCAGAGGACUUGGAGUGCAAGUCAAGAGGCAGCCGAGGCUGCCACAAGGGUGGAGGGCGCGCCCACCCCCUGUAGGGCGCGCCCCCUAUCUCGUGGGCCCCUCAGGCGGCCACCGACCUACUUCUUCCUCCUAUAUAUACCCACGUACCCCGAGAACAUCAGAACAAGCCAUGAAAACCUAAUUCCACCACCGCAACAUUCUGCAUCCGCGAGAUCCCAUCUUGGAGCCUUCGUCGGUGCUCCGCCAGAGGGGGAAUCGACCAUGGAGGGCUUCUACAUCAACACCAUAGCCCCUCCGAUGAGUUGUAAGUAGUUUACCAUAGACCUUCAGGUCCAUAGUUAUUAGCUAGAUGGCUUCUUCUCUCUUUUUGGAUCUCAAUACCAUGUUUACCCCGAUCUUCUUGGAGAUCUAUUCGAUGUAACUCUUUUUGCGGUGUGUUUGUCGAGAUCCAAUGAAUUGUGGGUUUAUGAUCAAGUUUAUCUAUGAGAAAUAUUUGAAUCUCCUCUGAAUUCUUUUAUGUAUGAUAUAGUUAUCUUUGCAAGUCUCUUCGAGUUAUCAGUUUGGUUUGGCCUACUAGAUUGAUCUUUCUUGCAAUGGGAGAAGUGCUUAGCUUUGGGUUCAAUCUUGCGGUGUCCUUUCCCAGUGACAACAGGGGCAGCAAGGCACGUGUUGUAUUGUUGCCAUCGAGGAUAAAAAGAUGGGGUUUAUGUCAUAUUGCAUGAGUUUAUCCCUCUACAUCAUGUCAUCUUUCUUAAUGCGUUACUUUGUUCUUAUGAACUUAAUACUCUAGAUGCAUGCUGGAUAGCGGUCGAUGUUGUAAAGCCCAGGUAAUUAAGCUACAGUAAUCCCACGCUAAUGGUGCCACGUCACCACAGUUAUUGUUGUUAACCGUGCGAUGAUUCAAAACCAUUUCAAAAUUUAAAUUUAAAUUAAUGUCAACAAUAAAAGUUUUCAAAAUUUAAAACAAAAUUGUUCGGGAGGUGCCAUAUUUUGCAUAAGUAAAUAUGGUGUAAUAAACACAUUUUUAUAAAAUGCCUAGAUAAUUUAAAAUAAUUUAAAACAAAAAAGAAAUUACAAAAUAGAAAGAAACAAACAACCAAAAUAAAUAAAUAAAUGGACCCCCCCACUGGGCCUCGACCCAGCCGGCCCAAUCGGCCCAACCAUCCCGCACCCCCAUAACCUUCCCCACUCCUCCAGCUCGCCCACCGACACCCACACUCCCCCACCCCCGAAAUAUCCCCCCUCUCCCCCGAUUGGAUCGUGAUCGAGGGGGAGCCGCUCACCGCCGCGUCCCGAUGCCGUCUCGCCGCGAGGCCGCACCGCCAUCGCCGUCACCAUUCACCGGAGGAGCCUUGCCAGAGCUCNNNNNNNNNNNNNNNNNNNNNNNNNNNNNNNNNNNNNNNNNNNNNNNNNNNNNNNNNNNNNNNNNNNNNNNNNNNNNNNNNNNNNNNNNNNNNNNNNNNNGGAGCCAGCUAAGAAGCCACCCCCUCAGGCUUCAUCUCCACUGCUAACUUUGAGCUUCCCAAGCCUGCGCGCUGCCCCUGACGCGGGUUCGGCUGGAGAGGUGGGCCGACCAGCAGUGUGCCUUGAGCCUGGGUCUUUGCCGCCUUUCCAUCGCGACCUUGCCCGGGACGUGAUCAGCUUGCCCUAGGCCCCUCCUCUGAUCGUGAACAGUGAAUGGUUGAAGUCGAUCUUCGGCUCUUCUUCUGGGGAUGGAUCUGCACUGGCCUGGGUCCCUUGCGGGGCCCAUCCAGCGAUUGUGGGGGCACCAGCCCCUAGCCCCCUGUCGAGAGGGGGCGAACCACUUCAGGGCCCUCCGCCAACACCGGCGGCGGAGGACGAUAUCGACGACAUGCUCAAGCGUGUGUGGGAGUGCAGCGCCAUCCGCUAAGAGUUUCUCCGGAAGGCGACAGACGCGAUGGGCCAGCUCGGUGGAGAGCUCGCGGACGUGGACGCGUGUCUUGAAGCCGAAGGCCUGCGGCUGGUUGAGGAGCGGUGCAAGCUAAAGGUGGGAGUCAUCCUUGCGUGUCAUCAGCGUGAUCUUGAAAACACAAAGGCCGAAGCAUCCCUUGUGGCCUCGCGAAAGGCCUUCUCCCGAGCCAUUGAGGACGCUCAGGAGGCAGACCGAUGUCGCGAGAUCGCGGAGAGGCGCGCGUGGCAGCUCCAAGCCUGGAGUACUUCCCUGGAGCAGCAAGUGGAGCUGCGCCAAGCUGCCCUUGCGUUGCUGAAGGGGAUGCCUGUCGAAGAGGAGGAGCUCCAGAAGCGCGAGGAAUCGCUGACGCUGGAGGCUGCCGAGCGCAACCUCGAUCUUGAGCGGUUGGAGACGAGGGAGCACCAGGUUACCCAGGCGGAGGACGACGUCGGUGCGCGGGAGGCCCGAAUCCAAGAAGAGAUCGAACGCCGCGUAGCGGAAGUCCGCGCGGGCCUUGUGUGUGAGUAUGGUGAGAAGUUGGAGCUGAUCGAAGUCGAGGCUGCGAGCAGGACUGCCGCUCUCAGGACCAAGUUGACCGAAGCGACGCGGUGCGCGGAGGCCACCACAGCUGCCCUAGCCACGGCGCAGGCCGAGUGGGUCUCGUCCCUUGUUGAGUUGCUUCUUCUCCAACAGAGGGUCGAUGACGCCGAGGCCAUUGCUCGGCGGAACGAAGAAGAGAUUGCCAGACGCUGGAGCACAUGCAUGACCCCAUGCUCCAAACGCUCAGGGACAGGGCCAACACGGACCUUGGCAAUAUCUGUGAUGCGACUGCUAGACAACCUCAUGUGACCAAGUAUGCCGGCAAUCUCCAGUUAUUCACUGACGUGGUGACGCAUCUGGAGAAGGAACAAUGCUACUAUCCUUUUUACCACACUUGUGCUUUAAAGUAGCACGAUGAUCUUCAUGAUAGAGAGUCUCCUAUGUUGUCACUUUCAUAUACUAGUGGGAAUUUUUCAUUAUAGAACUUGGCUUGUAUAUUCCAAUGAUGGGCUUCCUCAAAAUGCCAUAGGUCUUCGUGAGCAAGUGAGUUGGAUGCACACCCACUUAGUUUCUUUUAUUGAGCUUUCAUACAUUUAUAGCUCUAGUGCAUCCGUUGCAUGGCAAUCCCUACUCACUCAGAUUGAUAUCUAUUAAUGGGCAUCUCCAUAGCCCUUUGAUACACCUAGUUGAUGUGAGACUAUCUUCUCCUUUUUUGUCUUCUCCACAACCACCAUUCUAUUCCACAUAUAGUGCUAUGUCCAUGGAUCACGCUCGUGUAUUGCAUGAAAGUUGAAAAAGUUCGAGAUUGCUAAAGUAUGAAACAAUUGCUUGGCUUGUCAUCGGGGUUGUGCAUGAUUAAAUACUUUGUGUGAUGAAGAUAGAGCAACAGCUAGACUAUAUGAUUUUGUAGGGAUAACUUCCGUUAGCCAUGUUAUUUUGAGAAGACAUGAUUGCUUUGAUUAGUAUGCUUGAAGUAUUACUAGUUCUUAUGUCAAUAUGAACUUUUAUUUUGAAUCAUUUGGAUCUGAACAUUCAUGCCACAAUAAAGAAAAUUACAUUGAGAAUUAUGCUAGGUAGCAUUCAACAUCAAAAAUUCUGUUUUUAUCAUUACCUACUAGAGGACGAGCAAGAAUUAAGCUUGGGGAUGGUUGAUACGUCUCCAAAGUAUCUAUAAUUUUUUAUUGUUCCAUGUUAUUAUAUUACCUGUUUUGGAUGUUUAUGGGCUUUAUUUUACACAUUUACAUCAUUUUUGGGACUAACCUACUAACCGGAGGCCCAGCCUUUAUUGAUGUUUUUUUUGCCUAUUUCAGUAUUUCGAAGAAAAGGAAUAUCAAACGGAGUCCAAAUGCAAUGAAACUUUCGGGAGUGUGAUUUUUGGAAUGAACGUGACCCAGAGGACUUGGAGUGCAAGUCAAGAGGCAGCCGAGGCUGCCACAAGGGUGGAGGGCGCGCCCACCCCCUGUAGGGCGCGCCCCCUAUCUCGUGGGCCCCUCAGGCGGCCACCGACCUACUUCUUCCUCCUAUAUAUACCCACGUACCCCGAGAACAUCAGAACAAGCCAUGAAAACCUAAUUCCACCACCGCAACAUUCUGCAUCCGCGAGAUCCCAUCUUGGAGCCUUCGUCGGUGCUCCGCCAGAGGGGGAAUCGACCAUGGAGGGCUUCUACAUCAACACCAUAGCCCCUCCGAUGAGUUGUAAGUAGUUUACCAUAGACCUUCAGGUCCAUAGUUAUUAGCUAGAUGGCUUCUUCUCUCUUUUUGGAUCUCAAUACCAUGUUUACCCCGAUCUUCUUGGAGAUCUAUUCGAUGUAACUCUUUUUGCGGUGUGUUUGUCGAGAUCCAAUGAAUUGUGGGUUUAUGAUCAAGUUUAUCUAUGAGAAAUAUUUGAAUCUCCUCUGAAUUCUUUUAUGUAUGAUAUAGUUAUCUUUGCAAGUCUCUUCGAGUUAUCAGUUUGGUUUGGCCUACUAGAUUGAUCUUUCUUGCAAUGGGAGAAGUGCUUAGCUUUGGGUUCAAUCUUGCGGUGUCCUUUCCCAGUGACAACAGGGGCAGCAAGGCACGUGUUGUAUUGUUGCCAUCGAGGAUAAAAAGAUGGGGUUUAUGUCAUAUUGCAUGAGUUUAUCCCUCUACAUCAUGUCAUCUUUCUUAAUGCGUUACUUUGUUCUUAUGAACUUAAUACUCUAGAUGCAUGCUGGAUAGCGGUCGAUGUUGUAAAGCCCAGGUAAUUAAGCUACAGUAAUCCCACGCUAAUGGUGCCACGUCACCACAGUUAUUGUUGUUAACCGUGCGAUGAUUCAAAACCAUUUCAAAAUUUAAAUUUAAAUUAAUGUCAACAAUAAAAGUUUUCAAAAUUUAAAACAAAAUUGUUCGGGAGGUGCCAUAUUUUGCAUAAGUAAAUAUGGUGUAAUAAACACAUUUUUAUAAAAUGCCUAGAUAAUUUAAAAUAAUUUAAAACAAAAAAGAAAUUACAAAAUAGAAAGAAACAAACAACCAAAAUAAAUAAAUAAAUGGACCCCCCCACUGGGCCUCGACCCAGCCGGCCCAAUCGGCCCAACCAUCCCGCACCCCCAUAACCUUCCCCACUCCUCCAGCUCGCCCACCGACACCCACACUCCCCCACCCCCGAAAUAUCCCCCCUCUCCCCCGAUUGGAUCGUGAUCGAGGGGGAGCCGCUCACCGCCGCGUCCCGAUGCCGUCUCGCCGCGAGGCCGCACCGCCAUCGCCGUCACCAUUCACCGGAGGAGCCUUGCCAGAGCUCNNNNNNNNNNNNNNNNNNNNNNNNNNNNNNNNNNNNNNNNNNNNNNNNNNNNNNNNNNNNNNNNNNNNNNNNNNNNNNNNNNNNNNNNNNNNNNNNNNNNCUUCCUACCAAACUUACGGCAAGGUUUACAUCAGGUCUAGUACACAGCAUGGCAUACAUAAUAGAUCCUAUGGCUGAGGCAUAGGGGAUGACACUCAUCUCUUCUUUAUCUUUUGCCGUGGUCGGGCAUUGAACCGAGCUCAAUAUCACACCUUGCAAUACAGGCAAGAACCCUUUCUUGGACUGAUCCAUUUUGAACUUCUUCAAAAUCUUAUCAAGGUAUGUGCUUUGUGAAAGACCUAUGAGGCGUCUCGAUCUAUCCCUAUAGAUUUUGAUGCCUAAUAUGUAAGCAGCUUCUCCAAGGUCCUUCAUUGAAAAACACUUAUUCAAGUAGGCCUUAAUGCUGUCCAAGAAUUCUAUAUCAUUUCCCAUCAAAAGUAUGUCAUCUACAUAUAAUAUGAGAAAUGCUACAGAGCUCCCACUCACUUUCUUGUAAACGCAGGCUUCUCCAUAAGUCUGCAUAAACCCAAACACUUUGAUCAUCUCAUCAAAGCGAAUGUUCCAACUCCGAGAUGCUUGCACCAGCCCAUAAAUGGAUCGCUAGAGCUUUCAUACUUUGUUAGCAUUCUUAGGAUCGACAAAACCUUCCGGCUGCAUCAUAUACAGCUCUUCCUUAAGAUAACCGUUAAGGAAUGCCGUUUUGACGUCCAUCUGCCAUAUCUCAUAAUCAUAGUAUGCGGCAAUUGCUAACAUGAUUCGGACGGACUUAAGCUUCGCUACGGGAGAGAAAGUCUCGUCGUAGUCAAUCCCUUGAACUUGUCAAUAACCCUUAGCGACAAGUCGAGCUUUAUAGAUGGUGACAUUACCAUCCGCAUCCGUCUUCUUCUUAAAGAUCCAUUUGUUUUCUAUCGAUCGCCGAUCAUCGGGCAAGUCAGUCAAAGUCCAUACUUUGUUUUCAUACAUGGAUUCUAUCUCCGAUUGCAUGGCUUCAAGCCAUUUGUUGGAAUCUGGGCCCGCCAUCGCUUCUUCAUAGUUCGAAGGUUCACCGUUGUCUAACAACAUGAUUUCCAGGACAGGGUUGCCAUACCACUCUGGUGUGGAACGUGUCCUUGUGGACCUACAAAGUUCAGUAGCAACUUGAUCCGAAGUACCUUGAUCAUCAUCAUUAAUUUCCUCUCCAGUCGGUGUAGGCACCACAGGAACAUUUUCCUGAGCUACACUAGUUUCAGGUUCAAGAGGUAGUACUUCAUCGAGUUCUACUUUCCUCCCACUUACUACUUUCGAGAGAAACUCUUUUUCCAGAAAGGAUCCGUUCUUGGCAACAAAGAUCUUGCCCUUGGAUCUUAAGUAGAAGGUAUACCCAAUAGUUUCCUUGGGGUAUCCUAUGAAGACGCAUUUUUCCGAUUUGGGUUCGAGCUUUUUAGGUUGAAGCUUCUUGACAUAAGCAUCGCAUCCCCAAACUUUUAGAAAUGACAGCUUAGGUUUCUUCCCAAACCAUAAUUCAUACGGUGUCGUCUCAACGGAUUUAGACGGUGCCCUAUUUAAAGUGAAUGUAGCUGUCUUUAGAGCGUAUCCCCAAAAUGAUAGCGGUAAAUCGGUAAGAGACAUCAUAUAUCACACCAUAUCCAAUAGAGUGCGAUUACGACGUUUGGACACACCGUUACGCUGAGGUGUUCCAGGUGGCGUGAGUUGUGAAAUGAUUCCACAUUUUCUUAAGUGUGUACCAAAUUCGUGACUUAAAUAUUCUCCUCCACGAUCCGAUCGUAAGAAUUUUAUCUUUCGGUCACGUUGAUUCUCUACUUCAUUCUGAAAUUCCUUGAACUUUUCAAAGGUCUCAGACUUGUGUUUCAUCAAGUAGACAUACCCAUAUCUACUUAAGUCAUCAGUGAGAGUGAGAACAUAACGAUAUCCUCCGCGAGCCUCAACGCUCAUUGGACCACACACAUCAGUAUGUAUGAUUUCCAAUAAGUUGGUUGCUCGCUCCAUAGUUCCGGAGAACGGAGUCUUGGUCAUUUUGCCCAUGAGGCAUGGUUCGCAUGUGUCAAAUGAUUCAUAAUCGAGAGACUCUAAAAGUCCAUCAGCAUGGAGCUUCUUCAUGCGCUUGACACCAAUGUGACCAAGGCGGCAGUGCCACAAGUAUGUGGAACUAUCGUUAUCCACUUUACAUCUUUUGGUAUUCACACUAUGAAUAUGUGUAACAUUACGUUCGAGAUUCAUUAACGAUAAACCAUUGACCAUCGGGGCAUGACCAUAAAACAUAUCUCUCAUAUAAAUAGAACAACCAUUAUUCUCGGAUUUAAAUGAGUAGCCAUCUCGCAUCAAACGAGAUCCAGAUACAAUGUUCAUGCUCAAACUUGGCACUAAAUAACAAUUAUUGAGGUUUAAAACUAAUCCCGUAGGUAAAUGUAGAGGUAGCAAGGACUUCAGUCCAUCUGUCGGCUAGCAAGUCUUGGUCAGCUCUAAGCUGCUGCUGUUUUUUCUUGAGGAUGCUCGCCGUGGCCAUAAGCCUGCGUUUGAAACGCUCUUGUUCAACAGGAUCCUCAGGCACGACAAAUUCGUCGUCGUCAAGGCUUGCCUCGUCUUCGAAGGGAGGCAUGUAAUUAUCGUCCUCUACCUCUCUGUCUGCCGCUCUCUCAUGAGGGCUGGCUUCUCCAUCCUCCUGUGCUGAAUCCUGCUGGAGGGGGUUGUCUUCGGCACUGUCCGGGGUGUUACUAUCUCCCGUGCCGGAAUCGCCGUUUUUGCUUUGGCGGGAUUUAGAGCGGCGCCUCUGACGCCGGCGCUUAGGCUGUUUCUUGGAGGGGUCAUCCUCCGUUGUUCCAUCGCCAUUCCCUUCUUUUGGGGUGUCCACUAUAUAUAUGUCGUAUGACGAGGUGGCUUUCCAGUGCCCUAUAGGCGCUGGUUCUUGGUCGUCUCCUGCAUCGGCGUCCAUACCAUCGAUGUCUUCGGAGUCGAAGUCGAGCAUGUCGAUUAAAUCAUCGACAGUGGCUACGAAGUGGGUGGUGGGUGGGCUUUGAAUUUCUUCGUCGUCUGCAUCCCAAUCUUGCUGACCAUAGUCCGGCCAGGGCUCUCCUGAUAAAGAGAGAGACUUUAGUGAAUUCAGGAUGUCGCCGAAGGGCGAGUGCUGAAAGAUGUCCGCGGUGGCGAACUCCAUGAUCGGCGCCGAAUCGGGAUCGAUCAGCAGGGGCGCGGAAGGUUCGGAGUCCGGAAAGGAGUCCGGCACCUUGGAGUCACGAGCUUCGCAAAGGACAAGGCUGGUGUUCGUCUCGAUCGCCAUAGAGAUUGCAGCUCCCGAGGCAGUGUCCAGCCACCCAUCCUCGAUUGGGCAGUCGGCUCCGAGCUAAGGGUCGGAGCGGACACUGGGGCGGUCUCCUGGGCACUGUUCGGCGACAGAGCUAGAUCAUGCCCAUCGUGACAGUGCAGCGCGCUUGGCUGUGGCUCGAACCCGUCGAAGAUCAAGUCUCCGCGGAUGUCAGCCGUGUAGUUCAAACUUGCAAACCUGACCUGAUGGCCAGGGGCCUAGCUUUCGAUCUGCUCCAGAUGACCAAGCGAAUUGGCCCGCAGUGCAAAGCCGCCAAAUACGAAGAUCUAUCGGGGGUGAAAAGUCUCACCCUGGACCGCAUUGUUGUUGAUGAUCGGAGGAGCCAUCGGGCCUAAAGAUGAUGACACAGGGGAACUCUCAAUGAAAGCACCAAUGUCGGUGUCAAAACCGGCGGAUCUCGGGUAGGGGGUCCCGAACUGUGCGUCUAGGCGGAUGGUAACAGGAGACAAGGGACACGAUGUUUUUACCCAGGUUCGGGCCCUCUNNNNNNNNNNNNNNNNNNNNNNNNNNNNNNNNNNNNNNNNNNNNNNNNNNNNNNNNNNNNNNNNNNNNNNNNNNNNNNNNNNNNNNNNNNNNNNNNNNNNAUCACACCCGUGCAGCUGCUCCUUCCGCUGGCAUCCUGCCAAGAACCUGCCGCUAGUCCACUCCUCUUUGUUUGUUGGCUCGAAGCCAUCAAGACACUUGCACAUUGGGACUGGUGCCGCCGUCUCAUCGCAGUAGCCAUACGGGCCACAGUAACCAUGGAGGUUGCAUUCAACAGCUGGCCACUUCAUAAGGACAACCCACGCCGACAAGUUGCUACUCCAGCUCUUGAGGUAAUACUCACCUGAGUAGGUCAGCACUGACCUUGUGAGUGGGGCGCCCUCAGAGAGGCUAUAUGUGCCAUAGAUCUCAUCACCGUUGUCGACCACGGCGAUGUACAUGAUAAGAUCACUAAAACUCAUUGUCCCUGCUAGCUGUUUUUGGCUGACGCUAGUCACUUGGAUCCCCGUCCAGGGAUUGCCACGGGUCACCAAGCUCUCCCCGUCCCACAGGAAUACUUGGAGGGGUGUGUCUGGGUCGCCACCGUAGGAGAAGCGCCCUGGAGAGGGAUCGUUGGGGCCCUUCCAGGAAACCAGACGAUCCCCAGUACCGUUUGUGCUGUAUUUGAUCCGCAUCUUCAUCCCCGGGAGGAGCGUGUCUGUGCGGUGGUCGAAGCUCUGCCACACUGUGGUGCCGUUUGACAAGCGAAUGAUGAGGUUGCCGGUGUUCAGAAGCACCGCCGUCGGGGUAGAUGAGCCCGGGGAAAUAGUUGUCACGUUGGCCCUCGUCCAAAGGAUACGGACACUAUUGUUAGCUUCGGAGAUAAUGAGAUUGGAGGUGUUGGUGAGGGAGAGCAUGGGUGCAAAGGAAGUGAUGUUGGUGACUGGGGUUUCACGGUUCGCAACCCACACAACUGUGAACUCAGAGAUGUUGUUGUACCAUAUACCAAGGUACAGCUUGGCUGGAGUGGAGUUGGAGGGGUUGAAGAAGCCCAAGGAGAACGUGCCACCAUCGGAGAUGAUGGUGUUGCCGGGAUACAGCGACUUGCCAGGGACAAGCCGGUCGUCCGAGCCGCACAACGGCAGGAAUAAAAUGAUCAGGGCCACGGUGCAGAGAGCCCGAGAAUCCAUCAAUCGACAAUGCAAAAAUCUUCGUUACUAAGCAGUAACUAGCUGUAGGCUAUAUAUAGUUGCUGCCAAAUGGAGAUAGCACUUGCAUCGAACCUUGGUCUACAAGUAAAUAUGUUUUCACGAACACAGGAAAGCAGCUUCCACGAAAGUUCUAUCGCAGAAGCAAACGAUUGAAUAAUGGAAAGUUGAGGGAUUCAAGAGUUGGUUUCAAAGUCUGAGUGCGUAGUUUAUAAUUCAGCUGUCCACACUGAAAUUUGGAUGCCACCAUCACUGCUGACUAGAUAGCCAUGUUUUUUCUACUUUUUCUACAUUAUGUUUUUGAAAUGACUAAAAGACGCACACAUAAUACUUACGUAGUCGCAGACACAUACUUAAGAGAAGAGUCAUGUAGUUUCAAAAUUAACAAAGUUACAAUAUGGAUGUAUUGCUAGCAACAAGGAAAUCACCCACCACGAAAAGAAAAAUUUGCAUUAGUUAGUCAUACAGAUCGAGUCAAACAUAACGUUCGAUCAGUCUCGGUGGUGGCUGAAAAAUAUAAUUCACCUCCUAACCUUCUAACCAAUGAUUGAUUUUUGACUAGUAGCUAUUGACCGAGACAUUGACCUAUACUGACCCGGCCACGAUCAUAUAUGGUCCAGCUCCGACGCGGCUAUUGGGUCCCAGUAUUUGAAGUUGUUGGUCAAACCUACAGGCAGAUGCGUGCAGUACCAACAGAAAAUGUAGUACUUCCAUUCUCAGACUGAAUUUUCUACAGUUUUAAUGUGCAGACUGAAUAUUCUCUUCCUCGUCAUGUAACAGCUGAAAAACAAAAAGAACCUGUAUAGUUUAAAAAGAAAAACUUUGCAGAUGGGUGAUGGAGCUACAAGCCUACAAAUGGAUUGUACCACCAUAAGACCUACUUAUGAAACAAUUUUGAGCUAUUUCAUGAAACUUUUGUUAUUAAGUGUUCUUUCAUGGAAUGUAUUUUCUAGUAUGGAAGACGGAUAGCUGACCUAUCUUCCCUCUAGAAGAGUAAUAAUCAGAAUGUUCAUUGAAUUUUGAUUUUUACAUGUUCUACCUACCUAUCAGUUAGCUACUUAUUUUGAUCUUCGCCAACUACCAUAGUUGAUUUCUGCUCACGACACGAUGGUUUCUCCUUUGGGACACGUUUGCUGAGAAGGGUGUGAUGAUGGUGUUUAUGCUUAUUUUAUCAUCAUCUUAGACUAGCAGUUGCAGAUGAACGCAUGCUUUUCAGUUUUCACACCCAUCAAUAUGUUUAUCUAAACUCGAAACGUUGAAUGUGACGCCCAAAUUUCGUCGGACUGCAUCAUUCUAUCCUACAAUUCUAUCUUCAAUAAACCACAACUUAAUUUCCAUUAUGAGAGCGAGAGAGAACAUUGGGAUCAAUGCAUGGUCAUGUUUUUUAUUUAAUAAUCCCUCCGUUGCUUUAUAUUAUGUGUAUUUAGUUUCUGAUAAAAUUUCACAAUGUAAGGUGUAUUUGUUCUAAUUCCUUGUAAUUCCAUUCUUGGCCCUCUAGAAAAAGGAAAAUAUCUCUCACCUGAUUGCAUGUAUCUCUCCCUGUAUAGAAAAAGGAAACUAUCUCUCUCAUGAUUAUGUGUAUCUAUUUCUUUUGCCUAAAUGAUUUACUUGCCCCUAAUGAACGAAAUUAACAAGGGUGAUUUUGUCCUAAAUUUCAUAUAAUAAUGUGCCUUGGUCACUACCAAAAAUAAGACACCUUACAUAAAUGAAUGGAGUAUAAAUGUAAGUACUUUACUGUGCAAAAUGACAUAGCUAGCAAUACCUACAGAAAAGGAAUGAAAACAUUGGAAGAUAACGACCUCCAACUAACUGAUACAUUGCCAUUUUGUUUCUUUAACGAAAUGUUUUUAAUUACGUAUAAGACUAAUCAUAAUCAUUCUACCGCCCUUAUAUAUCCGUAAGAGUAAGAUUGUUCAUGGAGUUUUGUAUGCCUACCCCGGUUUCUAAAUUUCCUUUUUUACCAUGCAAAACAUGCGCUCUGCUGAUUUCAUUAAGAUAGGAAAAAGAAAUAGAAUACAGAAGUUAUUUACAAGGGAUUUUUUUGAAAAGAUUUAGAAGGGACUAGCUAUAGAAAACUACAUGUUGGACAUUACCUAUGCUGCUCAAGGUCACUGUUGGGGAACGUAGUAAUUUCAAAAAAAAUCUUACGUCACACACAGGAUCAUGGUGAUGCAUAGCAACGAGAGGGGAGAGUAUGUCUACAUAACCUCGUAGAUCGAAAGUGGAAGCGUUAUAUCAACACGGUUGAUGUAGUCGUACGUCUUCACGAUCCGACCGAUCCAAGUACCGAAAGCACGGCACCUCCGAGUUCUGCACAUGUUCGGCUCGGUUACGUCCUCGCCUUCUCGAUCCAGCAAGAGGGGCGAAGUAGUAGAUGAGUUCCGGCAGCACGACGGCGUGGUGACGGUGUUGGUGAAUAACAAUCUCCGCAGGGCUUCGCCUAAGCACUACGAAAACUAUGACCGAGGAUAAACUAGAGGGGAUGGGGUAGCCGGCACAUGGCUUGGUGUUUCUUGAUGUGUCUUGGGUGCUACCCUACCCCUCUAUUUAUAUGUUGAGCCUUGGGGUCGAAACUUGGAGUAAAAGCCUCCACAAAAUCGGUUUCACCCGAAAGGCAAGAGUCCUUCUCGGACUCCAGGGCCAGACGCCAGGGUCCNNNNNNNNNNNNNNNNNNNNNNNNNNNNNNNNNNNNNNNNNNNNNNNNNNNNNNNNNNNNNNNNNNNNNNNNNNNNNNNNNNNNNNNNNNNNNNNNNNNNGUAAAAGACAUAAAGUAAAAGAUAGGCCCUUCACAGAUGGAAGAAGAGGUUGUCAUGUUCUUUUAGGGUUGGAUGCACAAAAUCUUAAUGCAAAAGAACAUCACUUUAUAUUGCCACUUGUGAUAUGAAACUUUAUUAUGCAGUCCAUCGCUUUUAUUACUUACAUAUCACACGAUCGUAUAAAGCUUAUGUUCUCCGCACUAAUAAGUCAUACAUAUUUAGAGAGGAAUUUUUAUUGCUUGCAACAUGACAACUUACUUGAAGGAUCUUACUCAAUCCAUAGGUAGGUAUGGUGGACUCUCAUGGCAAAAACUGGGUUUAAGGAUAUUUGGAAGAACAAGUAGUAUCUCUACUUGGUGCAAGGAAUUUUGGCUAGCAUGAGGGGGAAAGGCAAGCUCAACAUGUUUGAAUGAUCCAUGACCAUAUACUUUAAUUGAGAUGUGAGAAAACAUAAACCAUUACGUUGUCUUCCUUAUCCAACAUUAACUCUUUAGCAUGUCAUACUUUAAUGAGUGCUCACAAUUAUAAAAGAUGUCCAAGAUAGUAUAUUUAUAUGUGAAAACCUCUCUUUCUUUAUUACUUCCUAUUAAUUGCAACGAUGACCAAAACUAUGUUUAUCAACUUUCAACAACUUUUAAGUCUCAUACUCUUUAUAUGUGAAGUCAUUACUAUCCAUAAGAUCAAUAUGAACUCUUUUAUUCUCUUUUUUAUUCUUUCUAUUUUAUCAAAAUCAUAGCAAGAUAGGAAAGCCUUGACUCAACACUAAUCUUUAUUCUAUAGCUCACGGACUCGAUUACAUAAAGGGAUCACAAAGCAAAAUUCAAAACUAAUUCAUACCAAAACUUCAUUCUACUAGGUCAAGAUAUUACAAAAAGGAUCGAACUAAGAAAAACGGUAAAGACAGGAGUGUGAUGGUGAUAUGAUACUGGGGCACCUCCCCCAAGCUUGGCAGUUGCCAAGGGGAGUGCCCAUACCCAUGUGAUUAUGUCCUCGAAGGUGAUGAAGGUGGAGUUGUUGAUGAUGUAGGCUUGUCGUCCGUCUUCCAAGGCAUAGGCUCACCAUCAUAGAACGAGUCUCCGAGAUCCUCAAAUCUGCAGCCAAACUCAUCCUCUUGAAUCUAUAUUCAUACUCACAGUUUUGGUUUUGCGGGUCAUGGAUCUGGGCUUGGAGAUGCUCGAUUUUUUCAUGAAGCUUGAAGAUGGUCUCCCCAAUGUUCUUGGCGUCCAGCUUGUGGUUGUUGGUGAAUUCCACGAUCAUCAUCUAGUUGGUGUUAGGUCCACGCUCCACCAUCCCUUGGCACUUGAAAACUUGUUGUUCCAUAGCUUCCAGCUUUGUCUCCACGCUUCCGGUACGCCUUGGUCCCUCCACUUCGCGGAUGUGCAGCACCCCCUCAAGAUAGGGGUUGAUAACUGUCGGUGUCCAAACCGGCGGAUCUCGGGUAGGGGGGUCCCGAACUGUGCGUCUAGGCGGAUGGUAACAGGAGACAAGGGACACGAUGUUUUACCCAGGUUCGGGCCCUCUCGAUGGAGGUAAAACCCUACGUCCUGCUUGAUUGAUAUUGAUAUUGUGGAUGUUUACAAGAGUGGAUCUACCACGAGAUCAAGGAGGCUAAACCCUAGAAGCUAGCCUAUGGUAUGAUUGUAAGGGUUGUUGUUGUUGUUGUUGUUGUUGUUGUUGUUGUUGUCCUAUGGACUAGAGCCAUCCGUUUUAUAUAGACACCGGAGAGGGCUAGGGUUACAUAGAGUCGGUUACAAUGGUAGGAGAUCUAUGUAUCCGUAUCGCCAAGCUUGCCUUCCACGCCAAGGAAAGUCCCAUCCGGACACGGGACGAAGUCUUCAAUCUUGUAUCUUCAUAGUCUUGGAGUCCGGUAGAUGAUGAUAGUCCGGUCGAUGAUAGUUCGGCUGAUGAUGGUAGUCCGGCUAUCCGGACACCCCCUAAUCUAGGACUCCCUUAGUAGCCCCUGAACCAGGCUUCAAUGACGAUAAGUCCGGCACGUAUAUUGCUUGGCAUUGCAAGGCGGGUUCCUCCUCCGAAUGAUAGAAGAUUGUGAACACCAGGAUAGUGUCCGGCUCUGCAAAAUAAAUUCCACAUUCCACCAUAGAGAGAAUAAUAUAUACACAAGUUCAAUCUGCUGACGUUUUUUGUGGCAUGACGUCACGCCACUACCAAGCCAUUACUUGAAUCGUUUUUUACUCUACCACCUCAGCGCAUUUAGCGAAGUGGUUUCCUUGGCACGUCUUGUCGAAGCAGAGAUCGUGUUCCCCCUUAAUCCGGGAUUCUCAUCAAUACGGACGUGGGUAACCCAACCGCGCCAUUGAUGGUGACGCUUGGGGGAUAAGCGAGUUUUACCAAGCUAGUGGGGGACGCGUAGACUUCGCCCGCCCAUAUAAGGGAUAAGGAUUCACCUUUUCACCUACGCCUUCUUCCUCCUUUGCUUAUCCAUCUCCGCGCACUCGAGCUCCAGCGCCCAAGGCCGCACAUCUCGUCUCAACCUUCCCCACUUAUAUCCGGAGUGGGAGGCAAGUGGAUGACCUCCUCCGUCACGGAGGAGCACAUCGAAAGACUGCGCAGCGCCGGCCACCUGUCCGGCGACAUCGCGCACCGGCUGCCCGACGAGGGGCAGCUCAUCCCCACCCCCAGGCCGCAUGAGAGGGUCAUUUUUCUUCCCCACUUCCUCCGCGGAAUGGGGUUUUCCACUUCAACCCUUUGUCCGGGGGCUCAUGUUCUACUACGGCCUGGAUUUCCAUGAUCUGGCACCGAACUUCAUCCUCAACAUCUCGGCGUUUAUCGUCAUGUGCGAGUCCUUCCUCUGCAUCCAGCCCCACUUCGGCUUGUGGCUCAAGACCUUCAAUGUCAAGCCGAAGGUAGUGAAGGGCACUCAUCCGGAGUGCGGAGGCGCCAUGUUGGGCAAGAUGCCCAAUUUCCUUUGGUUCGAAGGGGCCUUCGUGGAAUCCGUCAAGGGGUGGCAAUCGGGGUGGUUCUAUAUCACCGAGCCGCGCGACCCUAAGUGGGCGGAGGCCCCCGAGUUCAGAUCUGGUAUCCCCAUGCAGCUCACCUCCUGGAAAGAGAAGGGCUUGCUGUGGGGUAGCUCGGAGGAGCUGACGGGACUCCAAGCCUGUAUCCAGAAGCUGGUGAAGAAGCUUAGGCUGGUUAACAUGGUCCAAGUCAUGCUCGUCCGCCGGAUUCUCCCAUGCCAAGAGCGGGCAUUCAAUCUGUGGGAGUUCAAUCCGGAACAGCACCAGGCGCUGAGCAGGCUCUUUGACACGACGUACGAAGGCGCCUGGAGGGUGCUUUUUAAGGGCGCCGAAGCCCCCGCAUCCGCGACUGAAGAUCGCGGAUUUCGCUCGCAACGCCAAGCCGACGAGGUAAGUGAUUCUACCCCUUUACGGGACACUUGCUUUUCAUAGUUUGACUCUAUGCGGGUUUUAAUUUCCCCUUUUCCUUUGACAGGACUGGAUGUGGAAGGCGGAGCAGAUUAUCUGCCUGGCUCCCAUGCCAGAAAACCCAGUAGACGCCCAUCUAGCGAAGCUGCUGGUUCCGGCACCGCACAUGGUGCCGGAGAAGAAGGCCAAGAAGGAGGCCACGGGUGCUCGAAAGAGUUCCCGUUUUUAGGUGUCCGACGACUCCGGGGCGGACUCCUCCCCCGAAAACGAGGAGGAGAAAGAGGACUCUCUCCCAGAGGAGGGAGAGAGGAAGAGGAAGGCUUCCCCAACAGGGGAGGCCGAAGGGUCCAAGAGGGGAANNNNNNNNNNNNNNNNNNNNNNNNNNNNNNNNNNNNNNNNNNNNNNNNNNNNNNNNNNNNNNNNNNNNNNNNNNNNNNNNNNNNNNNNNNNNNNNNNNNNAAUGAUGGUAAAUGUCACCAUUAAGAAAGCUCGACUUGUCGUUAAGAUGUUUUCCGACAAGUUCAAGGAGUUGACUACGAUGAGAUUUUCUCACUCGUAGCGAUGCUAAGAGUCUGUUGGAAUUAUAUUAGCGAUUACUGCAUUAUUUAUGAAAUCUUGCAGAUAGGAUGUCAAAACAUUGUUUCCUCGACGAUUUUAAUGAGGAAAGGUUGUAUGUGAUACAACCGGAAGGUUUUGUCAAUCCCGAAAGAUGCUAAUAAGUAUGCAAAGCUCCAGCAAUCCUUCUAAGGACUGGAGUGAGCAUCUCGGAGUUGGAAUGUAUGCUUUGAUGAUGAUCAAAGAUUUUGGGUUUGUACAAAGUUUAUGAGAAACUUGUAUUUCCAAAGAAGUGAGUGGGAGCACUAUAGAAUUUCUGAUGAGUAUAUGUUGUUGACAUAUUGAUGAUCAGAGAUGAUGUAGAAUUUCUAGAAAGCAUAUAGGGUUAUUUUGAAAGUGUUUUUCAAUGGAAAACCUGGAUUAAGCUACUUGAACAUUGAGCAUCAAGAUCUAUAAGGAUAGAUCAAAACGCUUAAUAGUACUUUCAAAUGAGCACAUACCUUGACAUGAUCUUGAAGGUGUUCAAGAUGGACCAGUCAAAGAAGGAGUUCUUGCCUGAGUUGUAAGGUACGAAGUCAAGACUUAAAGCUCGACCAUGGCAGAAUAGAGAGAAAGGACGAAGGUCGUCCCCUAUGCUUAAGAUGUAGGCUCUUCAGUAUGCUGUGCUGUGUACCGCACCUGAAGUGUGCCUUGCCAUGAGUCAGUCAAGGGGUACAAGAGUGAUCCAAGAAUGGAUCACAGGACAGCGGUCAAAGUUAUCCUUAGUAACUAGUGGACUAAGGAAUUUUCUCAAUUAUGGAGGUGGUAAAAGAGUUCGUCGUAAAGGGUUACGUCGAUGCAAGCUAAACACCUAUCCGGAUAGCUCUGAGUAGAGAUACCGGAUACGUACAAUGGGGCAACAAUUUAGAAUAGUUGCAAGUAGAACAUUUAUUUGGAAUAGCUCCAUAUAGAGCGUGGUAGCUGCAUCUAGGAGAUGACAUAAAGAUUUGUAAAGCACACACGAAUCUGAAAGGUUCAGACCCAUUGACUAAAACCUCUCUCACAAGCAACAUGAUCAAACAUAAAACUCAUUGAGUGUUAAUCACAUAGUGAUGUGAACUAGACUACUGACUCUAGUAAACUCUUGGGUAUUAGUCACAUGGCGAUGUGACCUGUGAGUGUUAAUCACAUGGCGAUGUGAACUAGAUUAUUGACUCUAGUGCAAGUGGGAGACUGUUGGAAAUAUGCCCUAGAGGCAAUAAUAAAAGUAUUAUUAUUAUAUUUCCUUGUUCAUGAUAAUUGUCUUUUAUUCAUGCUAUAACUGUAUUAUCCGGAAAUCGUAAUACACGUGUGAAUACAUAGACCACAAUAUGUCCCUAGUGAGCCUCUAGUUGACUAGCUCGUUGUGAUCAACAGAUAGUCAUGGUUUCCUGGCUAUGGACAUUGGAUGUCGUUGAUAACGGGAUCACAUCAUUAGGAGAAUGAUGUGAUGGACAAGACCCAAUCCUAAGACUAGCACAAAUAUCGUGUAGUUCGUUUGCUAGAGCUUUGCCAAUGUCAAGUAUCUCUUCCUUUGACCAUGAGAUCGUGUAAUUCCUGGAUGCCGUAGGAGUGCUUUGGGUGUAUCAAACGUCACAACGUAACUGGGUGACUAUAAAGGUGCACUACAGGUAUCUCCGAAAGUAUCUAUUGUUUUAUGCGGAUCGAGACUGGGAUUUGUCACUCCGUGUAAACGGAGAGGUAUCUCUGGGCCCACUCGGUAGGACAUCAUCAUAUGCGCAAUGUGACCAAGGAGUUGAUCACGGGAUGAUGUGUUACGGAACGAGUAAAGUGACUUGCCGAUAACGAGAUUGAACAAGGUAUUGGAUACCGACGAUCGAAUCUCGGGCAAGUAAAAUACCGCUAGACAAAGGGAAUUGAAUACGGGAUCGAUUGAGUCCUUGACAUCGUGGUUCAUCCGAUGAGAUCAUCGUGGAACAUGUGGGAGCCAUCAUGGGUAUCCAGAUCCCGCUGUUGGUUAUUGACCGGAGAACGUCUCGGUCAUGUCUGCAUGUCUCCCGAACCCGUAGGGUCUACACACUUAAGGUUCGAUGACGCUAGGGUUAUAAAGGAAGCUUGUAUGUGGUUACCGAAUGUUGUUCGGAGUCCCGGAUGAGAUCCCGGACGUCACGGGGAGUUCCGGAAUGGUCCGGAGGUAAAGAUUUAUAUAUAGGAAGUCCUGUUUCGGCCAUCGGGACAAGUUUCGGGGUCAUCGGUAUUGUACCGGGACCACCGGAAGGGUCCCGGGGGCCCACCGGGUGGGGCCACCUGCCCCGGGGGGCCACAUGGGCUGUAGGGGGUGCGCCUUGGCCUACAUGGGCCAAGGGCACCAGCCCCAAGAGGCCCAUGCGCCUGGGGAAACCCUAAAGGAAGAGUCCCAGCAGGGGAAGGCACCUCCUAGGUGCCUUGGGGGGGGGGGAGGACUCCUCCCCUGGCCGCCGCCUCCUUGGAGAUUGGAUCUCCUAGGGGCUGGCGCACCCCCCCCCCUUGGGAUCCCUAUAUAUAGUGGGGUAGGAGGGCCUCCCAAACACACCUUAUGCCUUUGGUGCAGCCCCUCCCUCUCUCCCAAGUUACUCUCCUCUUCUCCCAUGGUGUUUGGCGAAGCCCUGCGGGAUUGCCACGCUCCUCCACCACCACCACGCCGUUGUGCUGCUGUUGGAUGGAUUCUUCCUCAACCUCUCCCUCUCUCCUUGCUGGAUCAAGGCGUGGGAGACGUCACCGGGCUGUACGUGUGUUGAACGCGGAGGUGCCGUCCGUUCGGCACUUGAUCAUCGGUGAUCUGAAUCACGACGAGUACGACUCCAUCAACCCCGUUCACUUGAACGCUUCCGCUUAGCGAUCUACAAGGGUAUGUAGAUGCAAACUCUCCUCUCCUUUCUACUCGUUGCUGGUCUCUCCAUAGAUAGAUCUUGGUGUUACGUAGGAAAAUUUUUGAAUUUCUGCUACGUUCCCCAACAUGAGUGUCAUCCCCUAUGCCUCAGCCAUAGGUUCUAUUAUGUAUGCCAUGCUGUGUACCAGACCUGAUGUAAACCUUGCCGUAAGUUUGGUAGGAAGGUACCAAAGUAAUCCCGGCAAGGAACACUGGACAGCGGUCAAGAAUAUCCUAAAGUACCUGAAAAGGACUAAGGAAAUGUUUCUCGUUUAUGGAGGUGACGAAGAGCUCAUCGUAAAGGGUUACGUCGACGCUAGCUUCGACACAGAUCUGGAUGACUCUAAGUCACAAACCGGAUACGUGUAUAUUUUGAAUGGUGGGGCAGUAAGCUGGUGCAGUUGCAAGCAAAGCAUCGUGGCGGGAUCUACAUGUGAAGCGGAGUACAUGGCAGCCUCGGAGGCAGCACAUGAAGCAAUAUGGGUGAAGGAGUUCAUCACCGACCUAGGAGUCAUACCCAAUGCGUCGGGGCCGAUCAAGCUCUUCUGUGACAACACUGGAGCUAUUGCACUUGCCAAGGAGCCCAGGUUUCACAAGAAGACAAGGCACAUCAAGCGUCGCUUCAACUCCAUUCGUGAAAAUGUUCAAGAUGGAGACAUAGAGAUUUGUAAAGUACAUACGGACCUGAAUGUAGCAGAUCCGUUGACUAAACCUCUCCCUAGAGCAAAACAUGAUCAACACCAGAAUUCCAUGGGUGUUNNNNNNNNNNNNNNNNNNNNNNNNNNNNNNNNNNNNNNNNNNNNNNNNNNNNNNNNNNNNNNNNNNNNNNNNNNNNNNNNNNNNNNNNNNNNNNNNNNNNGCUAGGGCGGGGAUCCCCAAGCAAAUGAGGCGUAAUUUUGACACUAUGGCCAUCCUUCUUCAUUGGAGGAUCUGGAAGGAAAGAAAUGCAAGGAUCUUCGAUAAUGCGGCGAGCACUCCUGACAGGGUUCGGGACCUUGUCUUGGAAGAUAUACACAUAUGGAGAUCAGCCGGCUGUAUCAGCGACUUGGCGACAUAAGCCUAGUCUGUUCUGUAUCUCAUUGGCCACUACUCGUGCGGCGAGAACGAGGGUCGAGCCUAUCUGGAAGCUGGCGAAGGAUAAUCAGUUCUCUGCCUAGAUGUAGUCCUGAUAACGGACUGAUUAUAAUGCUCUCUGUCUCCCCUGCGUUGACGAGCUUGUGUUCUUUUGGGUUUCAGCUCUAGUUCUCCUAGGCUGUUUCCCAUGCUGUAUUCUUUUCCUUCAAUCUAAUAAAGUACGGCCAUUGGCCCUUCGGUACAGUUUCUUCAUCCUCUUUGUGCCAUGGCUGUCCACCUCUUCGUCCUCACCAGUCCGGUCGCAACGUUUCCCUAGCACGCCUCCCACUGCGGAGCACACACAGCUCGAUGCGGCGUCGCCAUCAGACAGCACCUCUUCAACCACUCCAAACAGCGGGUCAAAGUCAGCGAAUCCCUCGACCACGCCUCUAGCUAUGCGGCCAUAGGUGUACCCGGCAGCAGCCUUUCCAUUUGCAGGAUUUUCUUCCAUCGUUUUGCAUUCAGGCAGCUGGUCAUAAUAAAAACACCAAUAAAUAUUAUUGUGACUAAUUUUUUCUGAAGAUCGACCGAACAGAUACCUUAUAUGACAGAACAUCAUGACGAGAGAGUAGAGACUCUGCUUCCACGCCGCACCCUACAUCAAGAUAGCACUGACACUACUAGGAAAAGGCCUACUAAUGGCGCACCGGUUUUGCCUACUAAUGGCACACUACCGGUGUGCCAUUAGUAUCACGCCACUAUUAUUUUUACUUAGUAUCUGGUAUACUAAUGGCGUACCAUGCAGUGCGCCAUUAGUUUUGCCCACAGUGCACCACUAGAGUCUGCUAUACUAAUGGCGCACCACAUGGUAGUGCGCCAUUAGUAACAAUUUUUUUAAUUUUUUUUCUUAAUCUCAGGUCACUAUUUCACAUAUGAGAUAUCGAACACAUAUAUAUACAACAAGCAUCCAUAUAACAAUCAUAGCCAAUACACAAGUUUCAUCAUCUAUACAUACAUAGCCAACACAUAGUUCCAUCGUUACAUAUUAGAAAAGUUUCACAUUGUUCAUCCAACACCGUUAUCCAUCAAUUCACAAAAGUUUCACAUUGAUACAAAAUAAAAACACAAAUGGAAAAGAAGCACUCCAUCCAUGCAAGCUUCCGUGAAUUAAAUCAAAUCUGCAAAAUGAUAAACAAGAAGUUAGAAGAAGAAGAAGAAGAAGACUAGAAGAAUACUAGAAGAAGAAGAACACUAGAAUAAGAAUAAGAAGAAUUUUCGAAAAAAGAAGAAUAAGAAGAAGACUAUAAGCUUACUAUGUAAACUUGAUCAUUUUGUGCUAACAUAAGUAAUUUUGGAGCUAACCUAUAGGAAACUAAGCAUAUAAGCUCUAAGUUAGCAUAUUAGAGCCAACUUAGGUAAAAUGAAGCUAACCUAUGUCAUUUUGGAAAAGAAGAAGAAUAAGAAGGAGACUAUAAGCUUAUUAUGUAAACUUGAUCAUUUUGUGCUACCAUAAGUUAUUUUGGAGCUAACCUAUAGGAAACUAAGCGUAUAAGCUCUAAGUUAGUAUAUUAGAGCCAACUUAGGUAAAAUGAAGCUAACCUAUGUCAUUUUGGAAAAGAAGAAUAAGAAAAAGACUAUAAGCUUAUUAUGUAAACUUGAUCAUUUUGUGCUAACAUAAGUUAUUUUGGAGCUAACCUAUAGGAAACUAAGCAUAUAAGCUCUAAGUUAGCAUAUUAGAGCCAACUUAGGUAAAAUGAAGCUAACCUAUAGGAAACUAAGCAUAUUAGAGAUAACAUAGGUAACUAAGUAUAUAUAUAUAUCAUUUUGGAGAUCUGACAUACCUGACAAAGUUCAGUUCUCAUGCAUUGUUCUUCUCCUUCUCCUUCCUCAGCCUGAUGCGCCAAGAGUGGCGAGGCAGUGGAGGCAGUGGGAUGUAGUCUUCUACCACAAUUGGCGUGGUCAUGUCGCCCAGCUGUGGGAUCGUCGGCGCCACCACCGGUGCGUGGUCAUUGUCAGGCACCACCACCAUCGCGAGACCACCUUCAGGCACGACCAUCGCUAGGUCAUCCUCAGCCACCUCCAUCUCUUGCCCAUGGUCAGCCACCACCAUCUCUUGACCAUUGAGGGAGUCCUGGACUAGGGGGUGUCCGGAUAGCCGAACUAUCAUCAUCGGCCGGACUCCAAGACUAUGAAGAUACAAGAUUGAAGACUUCGUCCCGUGUUCGGAUGGGACUUUCCUUGGCGUGGAAGGCAAGCUUGGCGAUACGGAUAUGUAGAUAUCCUACCAUUGUAAUCGACUCUGUGUAACCCUAGCCCUCUCCGGUGUCUAUAUAAACCGGAUGGCUUUAGUCCGUAGGACGAACAACAAUCAUACCAUAGGCUAGCUUCUAGGGUUUAGCCUCCUUGAUCUCGUGGUAGAUCUACUCUUGUAACACACAUCAUCAAUAUUAAUCAAGCAGGACGUAGGGUUUUACCUCCAUCAAGAGGGCCCGAACCUGGGUAAAACAUCGUGUCCCUUGUCUCCUGUUACCAUCCGCCUAGACGCACAGUUCGGGACCCCCUACCCGAGAUCUGCCGGUUUUGACACCGACAUUGGUGCUUUCAUUGAGAGAUCCUCUGUGUCGUCGCAAUCAGGAAGGAUGCCUUUUCCCGUCUUUAAAGACGGCACCGUCAUCAAGGGAGCUUUGGCCGCCGGCCAAACUAUCCGGCUAGGUGGUUUUCUUAUGACCGCCUGUUCGGCCACCGCUCUGACGAUGACCUCUCAGGUCAUCAAAAGCGAUCUUCACGUCAGCUCGGAAUUCGUCGAGCAGCUAGAUCCGAUGGAGCUCUCCUCCGUAAACGAGCUCUUGGAUCGCAUCGCCGCCCUGGGAGUCGCUACAGACUACGAUCAGAUAGGGCUUAAAACCGAUCUGAGAGAAAUUAACUCUCCCCAGGCUACCCACCACGUUGUUGUGGUAGAGGAACAAUGCGGCGACCCUUCUUCUAUGUUAAAAACCAGCUAUGUCCGGAUUCCCGAUCCCUCCAUGCCGGAUUCCCGCGGAGGGACGGACGUCAAUCAAAUACUGAACCUAAAGUCAGGCAUCGGACUAGAUUUGUUGGAAAGCAUCCAACAAACCAAGCUUCCAAAUCCGGAAACUUCUUAGCCUUUGAGCCUCAGAUCGGGCGGGGUUCCGAACUUAAUUCCACCCGCCCACCCAAACAUAAGCGAUCUAUCUCAAAUAUGGCAAGAGCCCGAUGAAACAGUACAUCAUUGCUGGCCCAGAUUCCUCCUGGUUAUGAACAGGAUAAAGGACUGCCGUGAAGAAAGCGCGAUUUCAAUUUUCUGCAACAAUUGCACGGACAAGGGAAUCAUAAACACCAUAAGUCGUCCCGAAGUUACACGCUUCGCCGACCUAGGGACCAUUGUACAAAAAUACUGGGCGAUGGAGAGUGCCUGGAAAACCGAAACCAGGUUUUGGGACAAUCCGGCCCUGAAUAUAACCCCAGUCCGAAAUAAAAGGGUGCGUCAUGCUCAAGCACCGGGAUUAAAAACCAAAAAGCAAAAAAAANNNNNNNNNNNNNNNNNNNNNNNNNNNNNNNNNNNNNNNNNNNNNNNNNNNNNNNNNNNNNNNNNNNNNNNNNNNNNNNNNNNNNNNNNNNNNNNNNNNNGAGAGCAGGAGCGAGAACAUGGGAUUGUAUCGAUAUGAUCAAAUGGUUGGUUGCUUGCCUGAUGGUUCGAUGCACGGAUACGGUUCUUCGUUAGGGUAAUCACGGUACUCCUCGGGGACAGAUCCUGUCGCAAAGGACAUCGAUACACAAGCAUCACCAAACAAUGUGCAACAAUAUGAUGCAUGCAUGAAACAUGGCAAUAUGAGUGUGUUGGGCUAAUGCAACUAAAACCAGAAGUGUUUGAACAAAUUUGAAUCAAGGAUUCAAAUUUCAAAUUCAAAUAUGGCCUUUUAAAGUGCUUUUCCUUGUUCUGAUUAAAACAUCAAUUUAACUUGUUUGAUCAUGCAUGAAAAUAGUACAGAUGGAUAGAUUGGAUUUUUCUGAUCAUUUUUCAUAUAUAAUUUGUCCAAUUUGGAGUUACAGAAUAAAAGUUAUGAAUUUUUGAAGUUUAAAUAAUAUUCUGGAAUUUCCUGAUUUAAUUUAAAUCCAGAAAUUCAAUUACUGCGUCAGCAUGACAUCAGCAUGACGUCAGUGGUCAACUGUGGCUGGCUGAGGUCAAACCUGACGUGUGGGGGCCACACGUCAGUGACAGGGGGGGUUAAACAGGAUUAAAUUAAUCCUAAUUAGGGGUUAGUGGCGCUGGGACCCACUGUCAGUGUCAGGGGGGGUUAACUAACAGUAGUUAGCGCUAACCUAACCACCUGGCCGACAGGGCCCACGCGUCAGUGACCCUGGGGGGUCAAACCCCAGGUCGGGCAAGUCAAACCCCACCGGCGACAUGACGCCGGCGAGGUCCGAGACGGCAGCGAUAGUGCUUUUUGCCAUUCCGGCAACCAAAUGGACGGCGGAAGGCACCUACGUGUUGCUGAGGUUGAGCCGCGUCUAUUGGUGGUGGUGGUUGGGCUCGGGGUGGCCGGAGUUGACGGCGGCGAGCUCGGCUGUGGCGGCCGGAGUUCGGGUGCGGUCGGGAUCAGCGUUGCAGGGGGUUUGGGGAAGCGUUGGUGCGUGCUGCGUGCUCCUAGUGAGGUGGGGAGCACGAUGGUGUGCUCGGUUGGGUGCUACGGCGACCGUGGCCACGACGGCGACAUCGCCGGCGGCGUGGAGGUCUCGGCCAAGGUGGGGCUAGGGCCUAGAGGUCGAAAGAGACCAGGGGAGAAGGGGGAAAUGAUCCGGGGGCUCACCGCGGAGCUGCAGGGAUGGUUAGCGGGCUCGGGGACGCGCUGGUGACGGUGAAUUCGACGGCGACGACGGUCGGAGCCCGAAGAGGGGAACGGCGACGUGGCGGCGAUGCAGGGCUUCCGGGGAGCUGUGGAGCGGUGGGGAGGAAGAGGGAGUCGAGGCGGAGCUCCUGAGCUAGUCGGGGGAGCGAGGGGUGGUCGGAGACGGUGGCUAAGGCGAACGGCGGCGACGGUGGUGUUCGGCCGGGCGAGAGAGAGAGCGAGGGAGAGCCGGGGGNNNNNNNNNNGGCAGGCAGGGAGAGAGGUGGCGUGGCGCGGUGGCCGUGCGCGCGCGCCGGCCACACGCCUGGCCGACUGGCGCCAGGAGGACGACGGCGGUGGUGGGCUGGGCUGGCUAGCUGGGCCGGCCAGCUGGUUGGGCCGCACAGGUAAGUUUUUCCCUUUUAGUUUUCUGUUUCUGUUUUUAUUUAAUAUAUCUGCAACUUUGUUGAAUGAAAUAAAAUACCUAGGCAACUCCAAAAAUCACCAAACUAUUUCUGGCCCAUAGUUGGAUUAUUUCCAACAUGAAACAUUUUAGUUUGGAGAUAUUUGAGCAUUUAAAUAUUUUAUAUUAUUUUAAAUGCCCAAAUUCAAAUAUUUAUGAUUUAAUUCAAAAACCUUAGGAUGGCCUAGGAAAAUGUGCACCACUUUUGGCAGAGGUUCUGAACCAAGGCAAAAAUGAUGGGCAUUUUAGAAGGGCAUUUCAGGUUCAUUGAAAAAUUAUUUUAGUAACCCUAGUUGGUUUCAGAGGGGACUGGGGGUUCUGUCAUCCCCAUUUCAAGUUUCUGAUGAAAGAGUAAACAUGAUGCAACACUCUAAUGCAUGACUAGCUAGGGUGUGACAUCGGGAAUGCACCAAAAAAGCUUCUCGACAGCUCUCUCCUCGGUGUAGGUGGCAUCGCCAAACUUCAUCAUCUUCUGCAGCAGAGUGUUGAGACGGAGAGCAAAGUCAUCAACGUCCUCACCUGGCUUGAAGCCCAGGUUCUCCCACUCCUUACGAAGUGCCUGUAGUGUGGACUUGCGAGCACGGUCGCUGCCGAUGCGUGCUGCGGCGAUGGCGUCCCAAGCCUCAUUGACAGUCCGCUUGUUGGAAAGCGAGAACUGCAUCUCGGGCGGGACUGCGGCGAUGAGGGCGUCCAGCGCCCGUCGAUCCUCUAGGUGGUCGACGUUGCUGUCCUGGACUGCCUCCCACAUGCGCCGCACCUGGGGCCUGACCUUCAUGAUCCCGGCCCACUCGAUGUAGUUGGUUUUAGUGAGGGUAGGCCACCCAACACUGGAACCAACAUCCCUGACCACAGUCGGGACCUCGUAGAGGCCGCGGUCCUGGUCGUUGCAGCCGCCGUCGCGGUGCGCGCCUCCACCUUGAGCGCGGGCGUGCUCGGCUGCCCACUGCGCCGUCCUCUCCUGCGCCACUUUGGCGCGAUCUGCGUCGGCGCCGUCGUCCGCAGGCGCGGAGCUGCUGGAGCUGCCGGGGCUGCCGCGGAGUGCCUUGGCAUCCGCCGUAGCCUCACGGGCUGCUUCUGCUGCUACUGCUGCUCCUACCUCCGCCCUGGCUGCUUCUACCUCCGCUCUGGCUGCUGCCAGCUCCGCUGCAGCCAGCCUCGACACCCUUGCCGCCGCAGCAGCUGCUGCUACAGCCGCUCGCUCACGCUCCUCUGCCACGGCGCGCUCGGCCUCCUGCCGGCGCCGCAUGCUCGAGGUAGCCGUGUGCUGAGAGCGACCUGCAGACAUGGCUCGCUGCAGGGGGGCUGUUGCGUGAAGAGGAGGCCGAUGAAGACGAGCUGCUGCUCGACAGUCCGGAGGGAGGAAGGUAACCAGAGGCAGACGGAGCAGCUGCUGCUACCGACUUGGGCUGCUCACAGGAAAUGCUCAGGGUACAGGUUAACGAGGCUCUGAUACCACUUGUUAGACCUUUCAGUCUGAGCAUUGAUAGUUGUGGAUGACACUAGAAGAGUUGGGACAAUUUUCGUUGGUUUAUUUCUCACACAAUGCCAUGCCAACCUGAGGGGUUGGGGAUACAUAUUUAUAGGCUGCUAGCCAGCCAAGGCAUAUGCUAAGAUGCUGCUAAGAUGCCAGUCUAAGAUGCUAGUCUAAGAUGCUAACUGACAGUCCUUGAUGGUCAAGAACAGAACUCUAUCCUAACAGCCAGUCCUUGAUGGUUCAGGACUUUAUCCUCCUAACUGCCACAAGGACCAUGUGCUGCAGCCCCACAAAGACCCUAGUACAUAAACUUAUCCAUCAACCUCCACCACCGCCCCGCUGGCCGCCACGAACAGCGUCCCUCCACCGCCGGUGCCGAUUACCUCCGCCGCCCCGGUUGCCACCAUCUUCACCCUCGAGGAAGUCACCGGCGCGCUCCGCGAUCUCGCCACCGCGGUCCAGGAGAUCCGCCUCUACCUGGCCGGCCCCCACGAGCCGCCGCCGGCCGCGCCACCCGCCGCCGCCACCGGGCCGCUGCUCCUACCGUGGCAGCUGCCCCUCCCGGCGGCCUCCGCCGCCCUCGCCAGCCCGUUGCAGCCCCAGCUNNNNNNNNNNNNNNNNNNNNNNNNNNNNNNNNNNNNNNNNNNNNNNNNNNNNNNNNNNNNNNNNNNNNNNNNNNNNNNNNNNNNNNNNNNNNNNNNNNNNGGUGAUAGAACAAUCUCAUAUCAUAAUCCUUAAUGAGCUCCAACCAUCUCCUUUGCCUGAGAUUUAACUCCUUCUGUGGGAAGUUGUACUUCAAGCUCUUGUGAUCAGUGUACACCUCACAAUGGUUUCCGAUGAGAAAAUGUCUCCAUGUCUUUAAUGCAUGCACUAUGGCUGCUAACUCCAAAUCAUGUGUAGCAUAGUUCAACUCAUGGGGUUUAAGCUGUCGUGAGGCAUAAGAAACAACUCUUCCCUCCUGCAUAAGCACCGCUCCAAGUCCUCGACGAGAAGCAUCGCAAUAUACUUCAUAAUCCUUGCGCUCAUCUGGCAGAAUCAACACCGGUGAUGUAACCAAACAUUUCUUCAACUCCUGGAAACUGGCCUUACAUUCCUCAGUCCAUUUGAAUUUGAUGUCCUUUUUCAACAACUCUGUCAUGGGUUUUGCGAUCUUCGAGAAAUUCUCAAUGAACCUCCGGUAGUAUCCUGCGAGUCCAAGAAAACUCCGGAUAUCUCCAACUGAUGUGGGUGCUUCCCAAUUUGUCACAGUGACAACUUUGGUGGGGUCUACUGCUAUUCCUUCUCCGGAUAUAACAUGUCCAAGGAAUCCAACUUCCUUCAACCAAAACUCGCACUUGCUGAACUUGGCAUAUAAUUGAUGCUCUCUGAGCUUCCCAAGUACCAAACGCAAAUGUUCCUUAUGCUCUUCUUCAUUCUACGAGUAGACCAAAAUAUCAUCAAUGAACACCACAAUGAACUUAUCCAGAAACUCCAUGAACACCUUGUUCAUCAUGUUCAUAAAAUAGGCAGGUGCGUUAGUCAGACCAAAUGACAUAACGGUAUACUCAUAUAGCCCGUACCUUGUGGUAAAAGCUGUCUUAGGUAUAUCCUGCUCUCGAAUCUUCAGCUGGUGGUAUCCUGAUCGCAGAUCGAUCUUGGAAAAUACUUUAGCUCCUUGCAACUGGUAAAACAAAUCAUUGAUCAUCGGCAGUGGGUACUUGUUCUUGAUUGUCACUUCAUUCAAUCCUCGAUAAUCAAUAGCCAUCCUUAAUGAUCCAUCCUUCUUCUCCACUAGAAGCACUGGUGACCCCCAAGAUGUUCUAUCACUUUUAGCUAGCACAGAGGCUAGAGAUGAGAUUAGUGCACUUGUUGAUACUCCUACUAGAAUAGAGGCUAGACAUGAGACUAGAUGUGAGGAAGCAACGUCUACUUCUUUACACUCGAAGAAGAAAGAAGCACGCAAGAUCGAGCCUCCGCAGAUCAACAAUGAAUGCAUCGAGAAGGCACUAAUCCAACUUAUAGGAGUAGUAAAAUUUAUUCUUGUGGUUCUUGUUUUCUUUGGUCUUGCUUUUCUAGUCAAAAUUAUCGUUGGAGUUCGUGCAAAACGAAGGUCCGUUUGGGGUCGUGCGUUGGAGUUUGCCUUACAAGUGGGACCGCAGUUAAGGAAACCGACUAUCGGCAAACCCCCACCUCGCCCGCCGCGCGAUGGCUGAAGUUAGAGAAAUGACGAGGUUGAAGAGAUUGCUCUAGCAUGGACUCCAAGAAAUAAUAUGGUGUCAGAUGGAUGUCGUGGUGGUGGCGUGUGUCGUACUCCUGGACGUGAAUGCUUGUUCUGGCCCAUGCCACCCUACUACUCCUACUACUUACUCCUACUAUAUAGUACUAGUAUCGAGGAUUCGAGGUGCUGGUUACGUACAGCAAACACAUUAACAUAUGGCUACAGUAAAAACACCUGCCCGACGCGUGAAGCAUGUGAAGCUAGUACAAAUAGUGUACAACUAUUGUUGAUUGGCCUCAUCCGAUAACCUGUUGCAAUGCACGUACAAUUAUGUAUUCAGAAAAAUUUUUUCCUCGUCGCACCACUCACUCAGAGAAGUGACUCGAAAGCCAUUCCUAAAUUUAGUAAGUUUAUCACAGGCAUAUCAUUUUAUUACAUACAAUAGGUCAUCAACCCACAUCGACAACGAGGAUACAUUAUAAAUACUAAAGUUUUCACCAUACAAAAAAUAACAAGCAAUAAAAUGAACUUCAACUCAACCAUUCCUCGGUGUUGGAAAUGCUUGCUUUGAACCACAAGUGAUUCUCUGGGACGGGCCAUCCAUUAUCGAUCUGGAGACCAACGCAGGACUGAUCAUCCAGGCUGAAGCGGCCUACUAUAUCAGUACCAGGGUAGGGAACCACCCAAUUGUCCGAGGUAUAGACACAGCUGCUUCUCAUAAAUGGUACUAGUAACAUUGUGUCAACAGCAGUUGGGUCACCUUUCACCAUCAUCGGAUAGUUUUGUCCAAGGAAGAGCGAGUUUUCUCCAAGACUAUCAAUUCUGUACCAGGGAGAAGGAGUUGGCGCUAGCACACUAGUAUCCAUCCCGAAUACCAUGCAAUGGGUGUUGGAAUAGGUCCGGAGAGUGCGACCAUGGGAGACUACACCUGCUUCCUUAGCAGUAACAUCAUCAGUGGGCUGUAUACACACAAGAAGAGGUGAUCCAUCGGAAUUAGUUGCCAGGCGCCACAGAGUAUAUGGGCGCUACUCGUCCUCAUGCUUGUGAUCAUCACCAUCGUCAUCUCCCCCUUGGUUAUAAAAUUUUUCAAGUAUAGGUGGUGGGAUGUUCACAAGACCUUGGAAACACAAGAAGAAGCUUAAUUAGUAAAGGGAAACUUGCUAACCCGCAUGCAUGUGGAUGAAACAAUUAUAAUUACGCUGGAAGACAAACGUACCGAAACUACGAGGAUCCCAUGCAAAACAGUGCCACGAGUGGUGGCAGCAAACACAAGGCCCUCGUAUUGAAUUGCAUCACAGUACUCAUCCAUGUACAGAAACUGAUUUUUGAGCAAUAUCCAUCGAGUCAAACCACCAAGGACGGCAACAAGCUUGUUGAAGAUAGAAUUCCAAGAGCGGUUGGGAACUUGACAAAUUGCUAUCUUCCGUAGAAGAUAAUCACCAUGAUCGUAUUUGAACGUGCGUACAAUACCGGUGUGCUCAACCUCUGGGCAGUCUGCUGAGAUUUUUGGAAGUGGAACCCGGUCACGAGUGUACACAUUCACAAGUUCCCACUCGCAGUUGGACCCAAUGUAAACAACCCAAUCUCCAUUUGCGCCUGCCCAAGCCUUGCCCUCAAGCGAUGGCAUCUUAACAUCAUACGUAUCAUUAUCAAGCGGCAUCAACUUGCACAGGCUGAGGCCUCCGUCGUGCCGGCGCCAGUCAUCAGGGUCACGGCGAAGAAGAUAGGGGAGAUCAAACCGCUCCUUGACUCUUGGGUUCCUUGUAAUGAUGUUAUUAGUGGUCUUCACUGGGAUGAAAUGAGCUACCUUGGUCAAACGAUCGACUACAACCCAUAUCGAGUCAUAGCCUGAACGAGUCCUGGGCAAUCCUGUGAUAAAAUCCAUGCCUAUCUUAUCCCACUUCAAUUCGGGUAUCGACAAUGGUUGUAGCAAUCCUGCUGGCUUCUGAUGCUCUGCCUUCACUCUUUGACAUACAUCACAAACUGCUACAAACUCCGCAAUAUCCUUCUUCAUUCCGGUCCACCAAAAACUAUCCUUCAAAUCCAGAUACAUUUUGGUAUAUCCUGGGUGAAUCAAAUACGGCGAAUCAUGGGCCUCCUGCAGAAUCAACUUCCUGAUCUCUGGGUCAUUAGGCACAUAUACGCGGACCUCAAACCAUAAGGUAUCAUGCUCAUCCUCACGAGAUCCCUUAGCUUUUCCUUUGCUCAUCUUCUCCUUUAUCUCGGCAAUCUCCUUGUCGGUCUUCUGANNNNNNNNNNNNNNNNNNNNNNNNNNNNNNNNNNNNNNNNNNNNNNNNNNNNNNNNNNNNNNNNNNNNNNNNNNNNNNNNNNNNNNNNNNNNNNNNNNNNUUUUUCUUUUAAAAUUUCACUUGUUUAAUUAACUACAUUCAAAGAACUUUCUACAGUUUUUUUAGAGAAGGACAACCUAUGAUUUGCUAGCUAGCUAGUUAGGUAUUUUAACACAACAUUAAUAGCAAGGAGAAGGAGAUGAACUGUUCACAGCCAGGCAGGCAGGUCUCGCUGGCUUUUUCCUGUAUCAUUGGCUACUCCUACUUCCUUCUCUGACAAAGACCUGUUCUGAAUCUGUAAUACUGAUUCAUAGUGAUGAUGGUGGAUCGACUAUAGACCUUUACUAAUCCAUGUACAACAAAAAUUACGACGUACAAGGUUAAAAAUCCAAGGGUCAAACCCUAGUCAAUCGAUCCGGCAAAUUCUACACGAAUCUGGCAUGACAUCCAGUGCGAUUAACAGGAGUUUCAAUUAUAAUUAGCCUCCACGAAGCUGCAUGGAGGAGGAUGUAAUCGUGUUUUGUUUCCUUGUCUGAAACUUCACUUUCCAUCAAUCUGAAAAUAAGUGGUAGAGGGUAAAGGAAUGAAAAAAAACAUAUGUAGAGGUUUUGCAACAGCUAAAGCCACACACACAAAAACAUUAGUAUGCUAGCUGGUCCAUGGCAUUGACAAGUCAAUUGAUUCGAUGCAACCAUAUGUAUGAAUAAUAUGGCCAAGGAUAAGAGAAGUAAAAAAUAUAAAUAUACUGAUAGGCUCUUCUUUUGUUCACGUGUGCAUGUUGCAUGAGCCAAGUGUAUCGGCAUUAUGGCUUGUGUUUGCUACAUGACGGCGAUAGGCCAGUUCCCAUUCAGUCAGGCAUGAUAUGUCCUAAAUUCAUUUAUUCACGUAUCGUGUAGAAGGAGAACUUAUUUCAUUUAUGUUUUGUAGGUUCCUUGCUUACAAGAAAAUAGAAAAAAAGACACUUAUAUAAUUACCAGACAAAAUCAACUGUAUAUUGCUCUAUCUUUCCUCUUUGUUCUGUAUCAGUAUCAACAAUCAUAGUACUAAUAGCUUCCUAUACUGGUGGUAAUAAAUUCAAUAAAAGAAACCUAGAAACUAUAUGAACAACUUGAAACAAUAUGUACAAACUUAGAUUAACCAACGAAUGAAAUACAAAAGAAGUGUUCAUGUCUACGUGGAGUGAAUCAAUCAAGCCACGCAAAGCCCUAAUACUUUGUUUUCUAUUAGUAACUCAUAUGACAAUACAACCGCUCCAUAUGAAAAGGUAAUACGAUGAGUCAUCUAUGCUUAUCCAUCUUACAUAUAUAUUGUACAAAAAAUAUAAAGUUAGUUCAGAAAAAAUUGUGUAUAGAACAAUCUUCGCAUUAAUAGUGUGAUCUAUCUCAAUGACACACACAAAAUUACAAACUUUGUUCCCUUAAGUAUGCCAAUCUGGAUACGCCUAACAACAUAUAGAACAUGACAAACUAACUCGGAGCAAGGGACAAAAUCUAGAUCAAUGUUUGAAGUGUAAAGUGAAUACGAUGAGUCAUUUGUCGUUAUCAAGCAUUCCAUACACCUAGAUGAUAUGUGCAAGAACAAUCAACUAUGAAGAACAAUCCAAAAUCACACUAGUAAGUAGUGCAAUGAAACACAACAUACCAAAUUAUUAGGUAAUCGAUAAGCUUAAGAGCAGUUUUUCAAGAAGCGAGUGUAAAGAUUACAAACUUAGUUCCCUUAAGUUAUGCCAAUCUGGAUAUACCUAACAACAUGCAGAACAGCACAAGCUAAAUCAGAAAGACGGACAAAAUCUAGAUCAAUAUUUGAAGUGUAAAGUGAAUACGAUGAGUCAUUAUGCGUUAUCAAGCAUUUGAUACACCCAGAUGAUAUGAGAAAGAACAAUCAACUAUGAUGAACAAUCCAAAGUCACGCUAGUAAGUAGUGCCAUCAAACACAACAUACAAAAUUAUUAGGUCGAUAAGCUUAAGAGCACUUUUUCAAGAAACGAGUGUGAAGAUCAAAAACAAAUGUGCGAUGCCAGCUAUAAAUACGACUACACCAUGAGGGUCUCUUCCAUCAUCUAACCUUCAAGGACCUAGAGUUGAAACACCAAAGCCAAGUGAGCAAUAGUAAACACAAAUCAAACAUGAAGACCUUCAUCAUAUUUGUCCUCCUUGCCAUGGCGAUGAACAUCGCCAGUGCCAGUAGGCUGCUAAGCCCUAGAGGCAAGGAAUUGCAUACUCCACAAGAACAAUUCCCCCAACAACAACAAUUCCCCCAACCACAACAAUUCCCCCAACAACAACAAUUAACGCAACAACAAUUCCCCCGGCCACAACAAUCCCCUGAACAACAAUAAUUCCCCCAACAACAAUUCCCCCAGCAACCACCACAACAAUUCCCCCAACAACAAUUUCCAAUACCAUACCCACCCCAGCAAUCACAAGAACCUUCCCCAUACCAACAAUAUCCACAACAAGAACCAUCUGGGAGCGACGUUAUAAGUAUCAGUGGCCUAUGAAAUGAAGAGAUGUAAUACUAGACGGGUGAAUCAUCGUUGUUAGUCAAUGGAGCAUAAUGUAACGAUGAUAAAUAAAGUGAUGUGCACCAUCAUGUGUAACCCCGACCUGUACUAGUCCAAACAUGGGAAUAAAAGACAAAUAAGUUCUUUUCUGAAGCACAUUGCUCGCAAUUGUUACAUUCAUGCCCUAUUUUGAUUUCCAUCCCUAACUACAAUCUCAAUGUUAUGUGACGUCUACUUAUUUAGGAAGUGUAGUAUUAUAUGAACAUAACAUAAUUAACAUGUACGAAACUUGUUUCAAAUUGAAGUACUAUUAAUUCGGGAGUAAGGACUAAUUACAAUUUAACAUUUCAAUGGAGAGUGCUACUUGUAGACUGUGUUGUUAAUUCCCCAAGGAGGAGAGGAUGAUGAAGUAUAGUACAAAUAAGUAUUUCACUAAGUUAAGAAUCAAGGUUAUCAAUCCAGUAGGUGAACCACACAAAACCUUGUUAACAGCACCUGCACACACAAAAGCAAACACUGACACCUAACGCAAAUAAGAGGCUUGUCAAUCCUCGUAGACGUUAUUUGCAAUGAUUAAUUCUCGUAGUGAUAGAUGGACAUGAGUUGUCAUUUGAUAACGUGAUCACAUCAUUAGGAGAAUGAUGUGAUUUACAAGACCCAAACUAUGAAUGUAGCAUAUGAUCUUGUCAAGUUUAUUGCUAUCGUUUUCUGCAUGUCAAUUAUAUGUUCCUAUGACCAUGAGAUCAUGCAAGUCACUGACACCGGAGGAGUGCCUUGUGCGUAUCAAACAUCACAACGUAACUGGGUGACUAUAAAGAUGCUCUACAGGUGUCUCCAAGGGUGUCUAUUGAGUUGGCAUGGAUCGAGACUGGGAUUUGUCACUCCGUAUGAUGGAGAGGUAUCUCAGGGCCCACUCGGUAAUACAACAUCACAAUAAGCUUGCAAUCAAUGUGACUAAGAAGUUAGCCACGGGAUCUUGUAUUACGAAAUAGAGAGACUUGCCGGUAACGAGAUUGCACUAGGUAUGGAGAUACCAAUGAUCGAAUCUCAGGCAAGUAACAUACCAAUGGAAAAAGGGAACUUCAUACGGGAUUGCCUGAAACCUUGACAUCGAGGUUCGACUGAUAAAGAUCUUCGUAGAAUAUGUAGGAACCAACAUGGGCAUCCAGGUCAUGUUAUUGGUCAUUGACCGUAGAGGUGUAUCGGUCAUGUGUGCAUAGUUCUCGAACCCGCAGGGUCUACACACUUAACGUUUGUUGACGAUAUAAGUAUAGUUGGGUCAUAUGGUGGUUACCGAAGNNNNNNNNNNNNNNNNNNNNNNNNNNNNNNNNNNNNNNNNNNNNNNNNNNNNNNNNNNNNNNNNNNNNNNNNNNNNNNNNNNNNNNNNNNNNNNNNNNNNGUCCUCUUCAGGUACUUCAGGAUAUUCUUGACCGCUGUCCAGUGUUCCAUGCCGGGAUUACUUUGGUACCUUCCUACCAAACUUACGGCAAGGUUUACAUCAGGUCUGGUACACAGCAUGGCAUACAUAAUAGACCCUAUGGCCGAGGCAUAGGGGAUGACACUCAUCUUUUCUCUAUCUUCUGCCGUGGUCGGGCAUUGAGCCGUGCUCAAUUGCACACCUUGCAAUACAGGCAAGAACCCCUUCUUGGACUGAUCCAUAUUGAACUUCUUCAAUAUCUUGUCAAGGUAUGUACUCUGUGAAAGACCAAUGAGGCGUCUUGAUCUAUCUCUAUAGAUCUUGAUGCCUAAUAUAUAAGCAGCUUCUCCAAGGUCCUUCAUUGAAAAACACUUAUUCAAAUAUGCCUUUAUACUUUCCAAGAAUUCUAUAUCAUUUCCCAUCAAUAAUAUGUCAUCCACAUAUAAUAUGAGAAAUGCUACAGAGCUCCCACUCACUUUCUUGUAAACACAGGCUUCUCCAUAAGUCUGUGUAAACCCAAACGCUUUGAUCAUCUCAUCAAAGCGAAUGUUCCAACUCCGAGAUGCUUGCACCAGCCCAUAGAUUGAGCGCUGGAGCUUGCAUACUUUGUUAGCAUUCUUAGGAUCGACAAAACCUUCCGGCUGCAUCAUAUACAACUCUUCCUUAAGGAAGCCAUUAAGGAAUGUCGUUUUGACGUCCAUCUGCCAUAUCUCAUAAUCAUAGUAUGCGGCAAUUUCUAACAUGAUUUGGACGAACUUCAGCUUCGCUACGGGUGAUAAAGUCUCAUCGUAGUCAACCCCUUGAACUUGUCGAUAACCCUUAGCGACAAGUCGAGCUUUGUAGAUGGUCACAUUACCAUCCGCGUCCGUCUUUUUCUUAAAGAUCCAUUUGUUUUCUAUGGCUCGCCGAUCAUCGGGCAAGUCAGUCAAAGUCCAUACUUCAUUUUCAUACAUGGAUCCUAUCUCGGAUUUCAUGGCUUCUAGCCAUUUGUCGGAAUCCGGGCCCGCCAUCGCUUCUUCAUAGUUCGAAGGUUCACCGUUGUCUAAUAACAUGAUUUCCAGGACAGGGUUGCCGUACCACUCUGGUGCGGAACGUGUCCUUGUGGACCUACGAAGUUCAGUAACUUGAUCCGAAGCUUCAUGAUCAUCAUCAUUAACUUCCUCCCCAGUCGGUGUAGGCACCACAGGAACAUUUUCCCGCGCUGCGCUACUUUCCGGUUCGGAAGAGGUGACUAUCACCUCAUCAAGUUCCACUUUCCUCCCACUCAAUUCUUUCGAGAGAAACUCCUUCUCCAGAAAGGACCCGUUCUUGGCAACGAAGAUCUUGCCUUCGGAUCUGAGGUAGAAGGUAUACCCAAUGGUUUCCUUAGGGUAUCCUAUGAAGACGCAUUUCUCCGACUUGGGUUCGAGCUUUUCAGGUUGAAGUUUCUUGACAUAAGCAUCGCAUCCCCAAACCUUUAGAAACGACAGCUUAGGUUUCUUCCCAAACCAUAAUUCAUAUGGUGUCGUCUCAACGGAUUUCGGCGGAGCCCUAUUUAAAGUGAAUGCGGCAGUCUCUAAAGCAUAGCCCCAAAAUGAGAGCGGUAAAUCGGUAAGAGACAUCAUAGGUCGCACCAUAUCCAAUAGAGUGCGAUUACGACGUUCGAACACACCAUUUCGCUGAGGUGUUCCAGGCGGCGUGAGCUGUGAAACUAUUCCACAUUUUCUUAAAUGUGCACCAAAUUCGUGACUUAAAGAUUCUCCACCACGAUCUGAUCGUAAGAAUUUUAUUCUCCUGUCACGUUGAUUCUCAACCUCACUCUAAAAUUCCUUGAACUUUUCAAAGGUUUCAGACUUGUGUUUCAUUAGGUAGACAUACCCAUAUCUACUUAAAUCAUCAGUGAGAGUGAGAACAUAACGAUAUCCUCCGCGAGCCUCAACACUCAUUGGACCGCACACAUCGGUAUGUAUGAUUUCCAAUAAGUUGGUUGCUCGCUCCAUUGUUCCGGAGAACGGAGUCUUGGUCAUCUUACCCAUGAGGCAUGGUUCGCACGUGUCAAAUGAUUCGUAAUCAAGAGACUCCAAAAGUCGAUCUGCAUGGAGCUUCUUCAUGCGCUUGACACCAGUGUGACCAAGGAGGCAGUGCCACAGAUAUGUGGGACUAUCGUUAUCAACUUUACAUCUUUUGGUAUUCACACUAUGAACAUGUGUAACAUCACGUUCGAGAUUCAUCAAGAAUAAACCAUUGACCAGCGGGGCAUGACCAUAAAACAUAUCUCUCAAAUAAAUAGAACAACCAUUAUUCUCGGAUUUAAAUGAGUAGCCAUCUCGAAUUAAAUGAGAUCCAGAUACAAUGUUCAUGCUCAAAGCUGGCACUAAAUAACAAUUAUUGAGGUUUAAAACUAAUCCCGUGGGUAGAUGCAGAGGUAGCGUGCUGACGGCGAUCACAUCGACCUUGGAACCAUUCCCGCUCGUCCUUCGCCAGUCUCCGUUUAUUCCGUAGUUCCUGUUUUGAGUUACAAAUAUGAGCAACCGCACUGGUAUCAAAUACCCAGGAGCUACUACGAGUACUGGUAAGGUACACAUCAAUUACAUGUAUAUCACAUAUACCUUUGGUGUUGCCGGCCUUCUUUUCCGCUAAGUAUUUGGGGCAGUUCCGCUUCCAGUGACCACUUCCCUUGCAAUAAAAGCACUCAGUUUCAGGCUUGGGUCCAUUCUUUGACUUCUUCCUAGUAACUGGUUUACCGGGUGCGGCAACUCCCUUACCGUCCUUCUUGAAGUUCUUCUUACCCUUGCCCUUCUUGAAGUUAGUGGUUUUAUUCACCAUCAACACUUGAUGUUCUUUUCUGAUUUCCACCUCCGCUGAUUUCAGCAUCGAAUAUACCUCAGGAAUGGUCUUUUCCAUCCCCUGCAUAUUGUAGUUCAUCACAAAGCUCUUGAAGCUUGGUGGAAGCGACUGAAGGAUUCUGUCAAUGACCGCGUCAUCCGGGAGAUUAACUCCCGGCUGAGUCAAGCGGUUGUGCAACCCAGACAUUCUGAGUAUGUGCUCACUUACAGAACUAUUUUCCUCCAUUUUACAGCUGAAGAACUUGUCGGGGACUUCAUAUCUCUCGACCCGGGCAUGAGCUUGGAAAACCAAUUUCAGCUCCUCGAACAUCUCAUAUGCUCCAUGUUUCUCAAAACGCUUUUGGAGACCCAGUUCUAAGCUGUAAAGCAUGCCGCACUGAACGAGGGAGUAAUCAUCAGCACGCUGCUGCUAAGCGUUCAUAACGUCUUGGUUUUGUGGGAUUGGUGCUUCACCUAGCGGUGCUUCUAGGACAUAAUCUUUCUUGGCUACUAUGAGGAUGAUCCUCAGGUUCCGGACCCAGUCCGUAUAGUUGCUGCCAUCAUCUUUCAGCUUGGUUUUCUCUAGGAACGCGUUGAAAUUGAGGACAACGUUGGCCAUUUGAUCUACAAGACAUAGUGUAAAGAUUUUAGACUAAGUUCAUGAUAAUUAAGUUCAUAUAAUCAAAUUAUUUAAUGAACUCCCACUCAGAUAGACAUCCCUCUAGUCAUCUAAGUGAUACAUGAUCCGAAUUUAACUAGGCCGUGUCCGAUCAUCACGUGAGACGGACUAGUCAAGAUCGGUGAACAUCUCCAUGUUGAUCGUAUCUUCUAUACGACUCAUGCUCGACCUUUCGGUCCUCCGUGUUCCGAGGCCAUGUCUGUACAUGCUAGGCUUGUCAAGUCAACCUAAGUGUAUUGCNNNNNNNNNNNNNNNNNNNNNNNNNNNNNNNNNNNNNNNNNNNNNNNNNNNNNNNNNNNNNNNNNNNNNNNNNNNNNNNNNNNNNNNNNNNNNNNNNNNNCAUCUGACGUUGGUGCGGAGGGAUACUACACUGCCGCCUACUCCACCGUCACCCGAGAGCCUUUCCACCAUCAGCGCCUGGUUCUGCAUGCUGAUGGGCUGGACCGAGCUAACAGAGCUCUUCGCCACGAGUUGUACACCACUCGUCAGCACCUUUACAGGGCUCUGACGCGGUUGCACCCCUUUGUCCGGUCUGGACAGCUGCCGCGUUCUGCGAUCUACCCAGCCAGGACCGUGAUGCCCCACGGUGUCGGAUGGCCAGAGGUGGGAGGCUACGCUCCCGCACUUGGUCCUCUUCUGCCACCUGAGCGUCGGGUUCUACACCAGAGUAUCCGCGGCCCCCAGGCCACUGACGUGGAGGACUAUCCGUUGCCUCACUACCAGCUGUCAGGUUACAGCUACCUUCACAGUACCUCCUGGGACUGAUGUAGUCUUGCUCAUUAGUUUUAGAUGCACUCGCGAGCCUGCGUGCCGCCUAUGAUGACUUAGUCUAUGUACGGAACUCUAUGUCCGACCCCUUUUGUAAGUUAUGCCGACUAUCUAUGUGGUAUCUGUCGUGCUCCUUCCAUUAUGCAUGUUUCAUCAUGAAUGACUCUUGUCUAUGCAAAUUCUCAAUACUGAACUACCCCUGUUAUAUAUUAGCAGGAUGGUUAGACCAGCUGGUCGUGGUCGUGGUGGCAAUUUCCCACCACCGCCUGAGUACAUGGCUGGUAUGAUCCAACAACUUGAGAUGAAUCGCCAGUUCAUGGAAAACAUGAUGGCUCAGUUUCCUCGCCCCAAUAUGAACCAGCAUCCAAACACAACCACUCUGCAGGAUUUCAUACGCCUCAACCCAAGUGUGUACCGCAGCUCAACCCAGCCGCUGGAUGCUGAUGACUGGCUCCGUGACAUCACCUAUGAGAUGGAGUCUGCUGAUGUAGCCCCUGCCAGCUAUGUCACUUUUGCUUCCUUCUUCCUGAAGGGACCCGCAGCUCAAUGGUGGGACAGCCACAGGCGUACUCUGCCAGUUGGAACAAUCAUCACCUGGCCAGACUUUCAGGCUGCCUUCCGUGCCCGCUUCAUUCCUCAGGGAAUCAUGGACAGGAAGAAGCGUGAGUUUCGCAACCUCACCCAAGGCAACAAGACUGUUGAAGCUUAUCAGCGGGAGUUUCUGGACUUAUCCCGCUAUGCUGAAGAAGACGUUGCAACCGAUGCUCGCAGACAGGAGAAGUUCCGUGAAGGCCUUCAAGCUGACAUCAAGCUCACACUUCUAGUGCACGACUUUGCUGAUUUCGCCACCUUGGUGAAUAAGGCCAUCAAUGUUGAGACUGGUCUUCAAGAACACCAUAGCUCUCAAAGGCGCAACCGUGACACGGGCUCAUCUUCGGGCCCGCCCUCGCAGAAGCGUAAGAUAUGGAUCCCGAACAGCAUGUACCGUCCAAAUGCACCAGCUCCAAGGCAGUCGUACGCUGCACCUCGUCCGCCUACUGCUCCAACUAGGCUGCCAAGGCUUCCAGCUCCGCCACCCCAAGCUCCUGUUCCCACUCCCAAUAAUGGCCUGUGCUACAAGUGUGGUCAACCAGGUCACCGUGCUAGGGAUUGCAUUCAGAAUCAGAAUCAACUGGCCCUUCCAGCCGCUGGCCGUGGAAACAACCAGGCCCGCAACAACAAUGCCAAGUCUUAUGGCCGUGUUCAUGCCAACCACAUUGAUCUGAAUGAAGCUCGAGACCAGCCUGCUACUGUGAUGGGUACACUCCUCGUAAAUUCAGUACCAGCAUCUGUUUUAUUUGAUACAGGAGCAUCGCAUUCAUUCAUGUCAGAAGAUUUUGCAUUCAUGCAUGGCAUUAAAAGUGAAGACAUGAACGCUUCUCUAUUAGUGCACACCCCUGCGGGCCAAUGUCGAACCUCCAUGAUUUGCAACGACGUCCCUGUAGAAAUUGAAGGACUGGAAUUCCUUGUCUCUCCCAUCGUACUGAAGUCCUGUAGCAUUGAUCUCAUUCUGGGAAUGGAUUGGUUAAAGGCGCAUACUGCUUCUAUCGUUUGCGCCACUAAGACCGUCCAUCUGCUACACCCUUCUGAUGAAAUAAUUAGCUAUGAUGCUCAUCUGGUUCGGAAUGCCGAGGCCAGGCUUUAUGCCUUAAACGCAUUGAACGUUGCACCACUCAAGGGCAUUGAAAACAUUCCCGUCGUGCGUGAAUUCCUAGACGUCUUUCCUGAAGAACUCCCAGGGAUUCCCCCUGCUAGAGCUGUCGAAUUCGUCAUCGACUUGAAACCAGGCACCACUCCUAUAGCCAAGAGACCCUACAAGAUGCCGCCGCAUGAACUCCUUGAGCUUAAGGAGGAAAUCGAUAAAUCUCUUCAAAGUGGUUUCAUUCGCCCAAGUUGCUCUCCUUGGGGAGCACCUUCUCUCUUUGUCAAGAAGAAAGAUGGGACAAACCGAUUGGUCCAAGACUACCGUCCUAUAAAUCAAGCUACCAUUCAGAAUAAGUAUCCUCUUCCUCGGAUCAAUGAUCUGUAUGAUCAGUUGGAUGGUUCAUCGGUGUUCUCUAAACUCGACUUGAGGUUGGGUUACCACCAGAUCCGUGUUCGUGAGGAAGAUAUCCCCAAGACCGCCUUUGUGACUCGUUAUGGUUCAUACGAGUACACCGUCAUGUCUUUCGGCUUAACCAAUGCUCCAGCCACCUUCUCUCGCCUGAUGAACUAUAUAUUCAUGGAUUACCUCGACAAGUUCGUCGUGGUUUAUCUGGAUGAUAUUCUAGUAUUUUCCAAGAACGAAGAGGAACAUGCUGAACAUCUUCGCCUCGUGCUGGAAAAGCUACGAGAGCAUCAACUUUAUGCCAAGUUCUCCAAAUGUGAAUUCUGGCUUCCCGAAGUAACCUAUCUUGGGCAUGUCAUCUCUAAGGAUGGUAUUGCCGUCAACCCUGAACGAGUUCAGGCUAUUCUCGAUUGGACUCCUCCGAAGAACGUUAAGCAAGUCAGAAGUUUUCUCGGUCUCGCCAGCUACUGCCGUCGAUUCGUCAAGAACUUCUCCAAGAUUGCCAGGCCUCUGACUAACCUAUUGCAUAAGGGCGUCAAGUUCCAAUGGACAGAUAAAUGUCAGGAAAGUUUCCAGGCACUCAAGGACAAGUUGACUUCUGCCCCAGUACUAGCUCCUCCUGAUACUAUGAAGGACUUCGUCAUUUACUGCGACGCUUCCCGUCAAGGACUAGGCUGUGUCCUAAUGCAAGAGCGCACAGUGGUUGCUUAUGCCUCUCGGCAAUUGCGCCCUCACGAGGAGAACUACCCAGUUCACGACCUCGAACUUGCUGCUGUCAUUCAUGCGCUAAAACAGUGGCGACAUUACCUACUCGGUAAUCGCUGCGAGAUCUUCACUGACCACCAAAGUCUGAAGUAUCUGUUUACUCAGCCAGACCUGAACCUCCGUCAACAGAGAUGGAUGGAGACUGUUGCAGACUUUGAUUUGGGUAUUUCCUAUACACCAGGCAAGGCUAAUGUAAUGGCUGAUGCCUUGAGCCGCAAGUCUUACUGCAACCACCUCCAGGUUCACAAAGUCCAGCCCUCACUUGUUGAAGAAUUCAGAAAGCUAAACCUCCAUAUUGUACCUCCGGGUGCACUCGCUCCCCCUCCUCCGGAGUUCCGCAAGAUGAAUCUCCGUGUUGUUUCCCAGGGUUCCCUCUAUACCCUGGCUGUUGAACCCGAUCUCGUGGGCACCAUAAAGACAAUGCAGGGAUUUGACUCUGAAGUCUACAAGAUUAAGCAAGANNNNNNNNNNNNNNNNNNNNNNNNNNNNNNNNNNNNNNNNNNNNNNNNNNNNNNNNNNNNNNNNNNNNNNNNNNNNNNNNNNNNNNNNNNNNNNNNNNNNUUGGGCUUCCGCUUGAAGGUUGCCGAGUACACGUCGUGUAGCAACGAUAAGUGGUGGGAGCGUGUGUGACGAAGUACACCCCUGCAGGGUAUGAAACUAUUCGAAUAGCCGCGUCCGCGGUAAAGGACUACUUGGUCGCUUAUGCAGUUCAUAGACAAGUAAAUGGAUACUAUUACAAGCCUCAAGAUAAGUGUGAGUACCGCGGAUGGCUCUCUCGUGGGAUGACGAGGGAGGAUCCACGGUGGAGUAUUGAGAUGGUGAUUAGUGGACUCGUGUGCGAAAACUAUUUCACAAGUGGUGUCUCGUAGGAUAGCUUAGCCAAGAGUCAAAGCUGGCUUGCUGCAAUAACUCCACUACCUUCUUGAGAAUGAACAUGUAUAGUAGGAUCUGUUGUAAGACUUGCUGAGUACCUUUGUACUCAUGUUGCUUCAAUUACUGUUUUCAGACGACAACACCGCCCCUUCCGAUGGGUUCUACGUAGAACUCGACAACGACGAGUGACUUUCCACCCAGGUGGUGAUCUAGGCUUGUGAAGGGCCUACGUAGAUAGACAGGCUUCGUCAAGCCUUCUUUCUUUCUAGCGUCUGUACCCAGACAGUUUGCUUCCGCAUGUGCUUGUAUGAUUGUAUGACUUGAGUGUCGGGUCAUGUGACCCCUAUCUGUAUGAACAAGUUAUGUAAGGCUCUCCGGAGCCCUUUAAAUAAAGUACUUUGAGUUGUAGAGUUUUGUUGUGAUGCCAUGUUGUAUUUGCACAUAUCGAGCAUAUUGUGUGUAUGAUUGAAAUGCUUGGUAUGUGUGGGAUCCUACAAUCUAGUUGUUUAUCCUUGGCAGCCUCUCUUAAUGGGAAAUGUUGUCUAGUGCCUCUUUGAGCCAUAGUAGUCCGCUACAGCCCGGUUCACCGGAGUCCUGCUAGCCCAGCACUACUGCUCUGGACACUUGACUGGCCGGCAUGUGAUUCAUAUCGUUCCUGUGUCUGUCCCUUCGGGGAAAUGUCAUGCGGUGACAUCUGGAGUCCUGCCUAGCCUGCUACAGCCCGGGUUCCCGGAGUCCUGUUAGCCCAGUGCUACAGCCCGGAUUCACACGAUGCUGACCGACACGUUCGAUAUUGAUUCAUGUAUGCCUGUCCCCAUACGUUAGUGCCGCUUUGGGUUCACGACUAGCCAUGUCCGCCCGGGUUCUCUGUCAUAUGGAUGCUAGCGACAUUGUCAUAUACGUGAGCCAAAAGGCGCAAACGGUCCCGGGCCAUGGUAAGGCGACACCCGUGGGAGUAUCGUGCGUGAGGCCGCAAUGUGAUAUGAGGUGUUACAGGCUAGAUCGGUGUGACUUGGAAUCGGGGUCCUGACAGCGUUGGCAUCAGAGCCGGACUGCCUGUAGGUGCGCUAAGCCAAACUGGUCGAUGUCGAGUCUAGAAAUGCUGUAGUUAUAUGUAGGGGAAUUGAUUGUGGGAGGGAACGUAAGGAGCUUUUACUCCUUACCUUAUGCCCUCUGAUCUGAGUCAUUCUCUUCUCAUUCUACGUGGGUUAAGGACUAGGCUCUCUUCUGUCUAUCAGGUUCACGUGUUACUAAUCCGUAGUAACUUAUAGGAUUGUUGGUUCCAUGCUUCGGUUCAGUUUCUACUACACUUGGUAUGCUGUCAGUUGAACCAGAACCUUGAUAUGAUGUUGUUGAGUGGUAUUGCAAAACUGUUGCAAAUGUCUCAAAUCCUUUUCCAAGCAUUUACAGCCGUUAUGCUGUCAGAUCUAUCAGAUCUCACUCUCGUAAGUGACCGUGAAGGGAUUGCAACCCCUUUAUCGUGUUGGUUGCGAGUUUCUUAUUUGUUUGUGUAGGUGCGUGGGACUUGUGCAUGAUCUCCUACUGGAUUGAUACCUAGGUUCUCAAAAACUAAGGGAAAUACUUACGCUACUUUACUGCAUCAACCCUUUCCUCUUCAAGGGAAAACCAACGCAGUGCUCAAGAGGUAGGAAGGCGCUCGGGCACCACAUGGAGGCAUUCUUCAUCGCACGCGUCCCUCAUGAGGGCACAAGGCAUGGAGUGCGUGGUGCUCAGGAGUUCAUCACCAAGGCGACCGAGGAGCUUCAAGAGGCAAGAGCCAUGCGCGGCGUCCGUAGCCCAGCACCUGGCGCAGCUCCUUGUCCUGGCGAGGACGACGAGCUGCGCGUAAGCGUCAACAUCCCAGGGCUCAACAGGGCCGCAUCCCAAGAGCGCUUCUGGCCUUCGCGCGUUGGUCGGUGCGAGGGUCCACCUCACAGCUAAGUUCGCAUGCCAUUGGGCUUGGCAAUCGCGGCUGUUACCUUCCAACGUUGCCUGCGGAGCGUACUGGCGGCUCAGGAGGCCAGGCAUCAGGCGGUCCAGGCAGAGAUGGCGACGGUCCUUCAUGAGCCUCCCAAGCCCCAGUGCCUCACGAGGCUCAGGACCCAGGCGGCUCGUGAGGAGAGGCUUCUUCGACAUGCGUCUUUGGCUGCUCCAACCUCUCUCCAGCAACGGUGCCAGGUGACUCUUUCCGGUUCAUUCAGUUGGGGGUGCCCCUCGGGCUGCGUUAUCCCCAAGUCGCACGGGCCUGUCCCUGCGACAUGUAUCCUUUGCAUCUUUAAUCUACUCUAUUGGGGGCGCCCCUCGGGCUGCAUUAUCCCCAGGCUGCAUGGGUACCUCCCUGCGGCAUGUAUCGUUCUCGCAUUAACCAGAACUAGCUUGCCUCCUCCCAUGAGUUACUUUAUGAUUAUCGCCUACUUGCCUGUUGCCCUUCGCGGCCUCCCACGUUGCUGACCGGUCUCCUGCUCAUCCCGCAUCGGGGGCUCCACAUGCUGGCACGGCGCUUGUGCUCGGGUCCGUCCCUGCAACGCUGACAAACCUGAGUGAUCGAGCCCUGGCUCGCGGCCUGCCCUAUGCACGUAACCUCACCGGAUCCUUAGUGCCUUCAUCUUCUUGCGAAAAGAUCAGCGGCAGGACAGCAAACGCGAUUAUGAGCCGUAUUCUCCUCUCGAACUAACCCGCAGGAAUCUCUGGAGUUUAGCUACGGGUGGCCCCGCCGGCUACCCUCCUUUCGUACGAUUCGCUUGCGCGUUAAAGGGGGGCUCCUGAGCAUCGCGCCUCAGGAGCUCCUACUGACUCUCUAGCCCUCACCCCCUGGCCUUGACAACGGCAUCAUGACCUGGCAUGCCAGUGGCGGCUGAGCUUCGCUCGAGGGUCGGGACCCGAGGACGCAGAGCACUUAGAUGAGCGAGGAAGGAGGAAGCCGGCGUGAGCCUCGCCUGGUAACACCGUCGCUCAAGCACAAGUCAGACGCUGCACAGGGAACCACCUCGGGCUCGAUAAGAUAAGUCACAUAUUCGUGUUAGCGCUACGCUGCAGUUGGGAAUUUUCGACUCUCGCAACCUUGCUCCGGCAAUGCUGCCUUCCUUUUUAGCCUUCAGGAAGCUACUUGCACGCCAAAGGGGACCUCUUGAGCAUCACGCCUCAGGAGCUCUUACCGGACCUUGGUCCGCUCACCUCCUGGCCUUGAUCACGGCAUCGCAACCUGGCAUACCAGCGAUGGCUGAAGCUUGCCUGGGGACUGGGACAUGCCGACGUAGAGCGCUAAGCUGCCGCGAGGACAAAAAGGGGGGACAGUGCCGAAGCAAGACAUGCAACCACAAUAUUAUAGUAGGAAUAAUGAACAUCGGAGCAAAAGCAUUACAGUUUCUUUACACACACCCACGGGGUUCGUCUCGAUUCAUCGCAGGGAACAAAAGAAGGAAAAACCCNNNNNNNNNNNNNNNNNNNNNNNNNNNNNNNNNNNNNNNNNNNNNNNNNNNNNNNNNNNNNNNNNNNNNNNNNNNNNNNNNNNNNNNNNNNNNNNNNNNNUCUGCUUCGCUGGGUCUAGGUAUCUGCUUAUCUUCCCCGCGUAACCGUAAGGAAGUUUUACUCCUAGGAGGCAGGUGAAAAACUGCUCGAUCUCCUCCUGACUUAGAGUGAAGCACGCGGGAGGGUAGUCAUUUCCGGUCUUCUUGGCCUUUUUGCCUUUGCGACGACUUUCUGUGUCCUGCUUCGCCUCAUCAUCAUCAUCAUCAUCAUCAUAUAUAGCGUGAAGCUCCUGCCUGAUGCCCAUUGAUUUCAAGUCUGCCCUUGCUUUCGGCCCAUCUUUGGUCCUCUCUGGCAUGUUGAGCAGGGUACCAAGAAGACUCUCGCACACGUUCUUCGUGAUAUGCAUGACAUCAAGGCUGUGAGGCACACGGUGGAUCUUCCAGUACGGCAAGUCCCAGAAAACAGACCUCGUUUUCCAUACCUUCAGCAGCGGCUCUGGCGCCUUUCGCUUCUUUCCCGGCUCCGGCGCCUUUUGCUUCUUUCCCGGCAGUGGGCAGUCUUUCCAAUUUUUCAACAGCUUGUCUAUUUCCUCGCCGCUCCUCGUACACGGGCGUUUUCGGGGUUCGGUUUCACCAUCGAACAGAUCCUUGCGUUUCCUCCACGGGUCAUCGUCGCGAAGCCACCUUCGAUGUCCCAUGAACACGGUUUUCGAAGACUCGGGAUCUCUAUCUAGCUGGCGAUACGUUGUGUCAUCCAUGCACCUUACGCAUCCAGAAAAUCCAUGGACUACCUGCCCCGCAAGAUAUCCGUAACCGAGAUAGUCGUGCACCGUCGUGAGCAGUGCGGCUCUCAUAGGGAAAUAUUCUUUCUCUGCGGCGUCCCACGUAUUGGCUGGCGUUUUCCACAGCGUGUCAAGCUCCUCUUUCAGCAGCCCCAGAUACAGAUUGAUGUCGUUCCCUGGUUGUUUCGGCCCUUCAAUUAGCAUACUCAUGUGAAUGUACUUCCUCUUCAUGCACAACCAGGGGGGAAGGUUGUACAUCCACACAAACACAGGCCAGGUGCUAUGUGUGCUUCUCUGGCUGCCAAACGGAUUGACUCCAUCGGUGCUCGCGCCCAGCACGAUGUUCCUUGGAUCGUUCCCAAAUUCUGGGUAUUCGAAGUUCAAAGCUUGCCACUGGCUCGCAUCCUUAGGGUGACUCAGCAUCUUGUCUUUUUUAUCUAUCUCCGGAUCAUUUGUGUCAUCUUCUCGCUUCUUCUCCUCCCUAUCCGCGUGCCAACGCAGGAGCUUUGCUACCUUAGGAUCCGCGAAAUACCGCUGCAGACGAGGAGUGAUCGGAAAGUACCACACCACUUUUCGAGGAGCUAUCUUCCUCUUCUUGUAUCGAGUGACACCGCACACCGGACAUAUGGUAGACUCCGCGUGCUCGUCCCGAUAAAUGAUGCAACUGUUCAUGCACACAUGGUAUUUCACGUGCGGUAAAUCCAGAGGACACACGAUUUUCUUCGCCUCCUCCAAACUGGUCGGGCACUUGUUCCCCUUGGGAAGACGUUCGUGCCAGAAUGACAUGUUCUAGUCGAAGCAUGCGUCGGUCAUUUUGUGUUUUACCUUCAUCUCCAGAGCCAUGAGCGUUACUUUCAGGCGGGUAUCCUCGGGCCUGCAUCCUUCAUACAAUGGAGUAACCGCGUCUAACUCAAGUUGAUCCAUCUUGGCUUUCUCUCGGGCGGCAGCUCUUGCGUUAUCCGUCUGCUUGAGAAGCAGCUCUUGAAUAUGAGGGUCCUGCACCCAGCCCAUCGAUGGUCCAGCGUCGUCUGCUCCGCCGGCAUCAUCAUCAUGUCCUGCAUCUUCUACAUGAUGACUGUGUACAGCAUCACCGUCGUGAUCAUCUCCUGGGGAUUCUUCGUCUUCUCGCCCCCCCGAGCCGCGGUGGUUGUCUUGCUGCCCUUCCUCAUUUCUUGCCCGGCCCCCAUGGAUGACUUCAUAGUCAUCUUCAUCACCUUGCCACCGAUAGCCAUCCAUGAAACCACGCAAGAGCAGGUGGUCCCUCACCUGCCCGGAAUCCGGAUCCACAAUAAGGCUAUUCAGCUUGCAUCUUCGACACGGACAUCUUAUCUCCGUCUCGUUCUUUUGAAGCAUCUCGGCCUUCGCGGACCUCAAAAACCUAUUCACGAUGCCUUCGAUCAUCGUGCGGACCAUGGUCGCCUGCGGGGUAGAGCAAAACGAUAUUUUAGAACCAAGAAAAAAUUUGGCAUGACUUUCCCUAAAAAUAGGACCAAAAAGAAUGCUUAAUGCCAAAAUUCUCGCCGAAACGGAAAUGAAUCAACAUUCCGGCAAAAUAUUGGCAACUAUCGCAUUUCAAAUACCGGUACACCUCCAAACACAAACACAUAUGCAACACCACAAACAUAUGCAACACCACGAACAUACAUAUAUCUAGCUAGGCCAUAAAAAAUGCAUGUGCACAUUGUUGUAGGGAGAACAACAUAAAUAUAGCUUCCCCCCUUACUUACCCAUCAAAACAAGGUAACUUAACCACUUAAUUUGAAUGAAUCUAUGGUGGAAAUGAGGUGAAAAAGAGGAGGCACCCGAGACAAGGAGGAGGCGGUGGAGAGAAUGAAGUGGGGAGAAAGUGAGUGUGGGAGGAGAGGCUGUCCAAAAUAUCUUGUUGCUGCCCACUUACUAAUGCCGCACCAGCAACAAAUGCGCCAUUAGUAAUCCAGGUUACUAAUGGUGCACCCUCUGGUGGUGCGCCAUUAGUAGUUUUGCAAAAAAAAACACACUAAUGGCGCACACUGCCACGGUGCGCCAUUACUAGUUUGAACUAGUAAUGGCGCACCGCGUGCGAGUGCACCAUUAGUACUUUUGCAAACAAAGGAAUAAAAACAAUAAUAAAAAAAUAACAUUAGUGGCGCACCUUCUGGCUGGUGCGCCAUUACUAGUUACAACUAGUAAUGGCGCACCACCAGUGGAUGCGUCAUUAGUAUGUUUGGACAGGCGCACUAAUUCAAAAAAAAAUUUGGUACUAAUGGCGCACCGUGGGCAGGGUGCGCCAUUAGUAGUUUCAACACUAAUGGCGCAUCAGAAGGUGGUCCACAUGUCUGGUGCACCAUUAGUGUCAAUUCCAUCUAUAGCCCUUUUCCUAGUAGUGCAAAGCUCUCUCCUCGCCGGCCAGGAAAAACAGAGCAGUGGGAGUGCUCUGCUCGCGGGCGAGGGGUAUAUAUAGGUAAUUAAUUGGUCCCGGUUGGUGGCACGAACCGGGACUAAAGGGCAGCCUUUGGUCCCGGUUCAAGCCACCAACCAGGACCAAUGGUGGUGGCCAAGAGCGAGGCACAUUGGUCCCGGUUCGUCCCACCAACCGGGACCAAAAGGUCCAGACGAACCGGGACCAACGGCCCACGUGGCCCGGCCGUCCCCCGGGGCUCACGAACCGGGUCCAAUGCCCCCAUGGGUCCCGGUUCUGGAUUGAACCGGGACUAAUGGGCUGACCUGGCCUGGACCAUUGCCCCCUUUUCUACUAGUGCUGGAAGACACACUGUUGAGAUAUAGAUAUUGCAUGUGUAUUUCUUGUACAACAAGCCCUCCUCCUUCCUUGUAUAGUUGAGGACGUGGCCCUCCUAUGUACCUGUAUAUACGUGCAUAUUGCACCCGAUGAAUAUAUCGUGAGCUGCAUAAUUCUCUACAUGGUAUCAGCCUUAGUCCGAUCCCUCCUACCCUAGUGCGUCGCCGUUGCUUCCAAGCCGCCGCCGCUUCACAAGCUACGCCCGCGUCACCGAGUUCUAGCCGCCACCGUAGCCUCCCCCACNNNNNNNNNNNNNNNNNNNNNNNNNNNNNNNNNNNNNNNNNNNNNNNNNNNNNNNNNNNNNNNNNNNNNNNNNNNNNNNNNNNNNNNNNNNNNNNNNNNNCUUUUAAGAAAUGAUAGCUUAGGUUUCUCUAAACCAUAGUUCAUACGGUGUCAUCUCAUCAGAAUUACGUGGUGCCCUAUUUAAAGUGAAUGUGGUUGUCUCUAAUGCCCAACCCAUAAAACUAUUGUGGUAAUUCAAUGAGAGACAUCAUGGUAUGCAUCAUAUCCAAUAGGGUGCAGUUAUGAUGUUCGGACACACCAUCACACUAUGGUGUUCCAGGCUGUAUUAGUUGUGAAACAAUUUCCACAAUGUCUUAAUUCUGUGCCAAACUCAUAAUUCAGAUAUUCAUCUCUAUGAUCAUAUCAUAGAUCUUUUAUCCUCUUGUCACGACGAUCUUUCAACUUCACCCUGAAAUUACUUGAACCGUUCAAUAAUUCAGACUCGUGAUUCAUCAAGUAAAUAUACUCAACAUCUACUCAAAUCGUCUAUGAAGUAAGAACAUAACGACAUCCACUACACGCCUCAGCACUCAUUGGACUGCACACAUCAAAAUGUAUUACUUCCAACAAGUUGCUUUCUAGUUCCAUUUUACUGAAACCGAGGCUUUCAGUCAUCUUGCCCAUGUGGUAUGAUUUGCAUGUCUCAAGUGAUUCAAGAUCAAGUGAGUCCAAACGGUCCAUUUGCAUGGAGUUUCUUCAUGCAUAAACACCAAUAGACAUGGUUCGCAUGUCUCAAACUUUUCAAAAACGAGUGAGCCCAAAGAUCCAUCAACAUGGAGCUUCUUCAUGUGUUUUAUACCGAUAUGACUUAAGUGGCAGUGCCACAGGUAGGUGGUACUAUCAUUACUAUCUUAUACCUUUUGGCAUGAACAUGUGUAUCACUACGAUCGAGAUUCAAUAAACUAUUCAUUUUAGGUGCAAGACCAUUGAAGGUAUUAUUCAAAUAAAUAGAGUAACUAUUAUUCUCUUUAAAUGAAUAACCGUAUUGCGAUAGACAUAAUCCAAUCAUGUCUAUGCUCAACGCAAACACCAAUCUCGAUGGUAGAGGGAGCGUGCGAUGCUUGAUCAUAUCAACAUUGGAAACACUUCCAACACAUAUCGUCAGCUCACCUUUAGCUAGUCUCCGUUCAUUCCGUAGCCUUUUGUUUCGAGUUACUAACACUUAGCAACCGAACCGGUAUCUAAUACCCUGGUGCUACUAGGACUACUAGUAAAGUACACAUCAACACAAUGUAUAUCCAAUAUACUUCUAUCGACCUUGCCAGCCUUCUCAUCUACCAAGUAUCUAGGGUAAUUCUGCUCCAGUGGCUGUUCCCCUCAUUACAGAAGCACUUAGUCUCGGGUUUGGGUUCAACCUUGGGUUUCUUCACUAGAGCAGCAGGUGUUUUGCCGUUUCAUGAAGCAUCCCUUUUGCCCUUGCCCUCCUUGAAACUAGUGGUUUCACAAACCAUCAACAAUUGAUGCUCCUUCUUGAUUUCUACUUUCGCGGUGUCAAACAUCGCAAAUAUUUCAAGGAUCAUCAUAUAUGUCCCAGAUACAUUAUAGUUCAUCACAAAGCUCUAGCAGCUUGGUGGCAAUGACUUUGGAGAAACAUCACUAUCUCAUAUGGAAGAUCAACUCCCACUCGAUUCAAAUGAUUGUUGUACUCAGACAAUCUGAGCACAAGCUCAACAAUUGAGCUUUUCUCCCUUAGUUUGCAGGCUAAGAAAAUCGUCGGAGGUCUUAUACCUCUUGACGUGGGAACGAGCCUGAAAUCCCAAUUUCAGCCCUCGAAACAUCUCAUAUGUUUCGCGACGUUUCAAAACGUCUUCGGUGCCUCAACUCUAAACCGUUUAACUAGACUAUCACGUAGUUAUCAAAACGUGUAUGUCAGAUGUUCGCAACAUCCAUAGACAAUGUUCGAGGUUUAGCACACUGAGCGGUGCAUUAAGGACAUAAGCCUUCUAUGAAGCAAUGAGGACAAUCCUCAGUUUACGGACCUAGUCCGCAUAAUUGCUACUAUUAACUUUCAACUAAUUUUUCUCUAGGAACAUAUCUAAACAGUAGAACUAAAGCGCGAGCUACGACAUAAUUUGCGAAGACCUUUUGACUAUGUUCAGGAUAAUUAAGUUCAUCUUAUGAACUCCCACUCAGAUAGACAUCCCUCCAAUCAUCUAAGUGAUUACAUGAUCCGAGUCAACUAGGCCGUGUCCGAUCAUCACGUGAGACGGACUAGUCAUCAUCGGUGAACAUCUUCAUGUUGAUCGUAUCUACCAUACGACUCAUGCUCGACCUUUCGGUCUCUUGUGUUCCGAGGCCAUGUCUAUACAUGCUAGGCUCGUCAAGUUAACCCUAAGUGUUUUGCAUGUGUAAAAUUGUCUUACACCCGUUGUAUGUGAACGUAAGGAUCUAUCACACCCGAUCAUCACGUGGUGCUUCGAAACGACGAACUUUAGCAACGGUGCAUAGUUAGGGGAGAACACAUUCUUGAAAUUGUAAUGAGGUAUCAUCUUAUUUAUUACCGUCAUUCUAAGCAGAUAAGAUGUAUAAACAUGAUAAACAUCACAUGCAAUCAAAUAAUAGUGAUAUGAUAUGGCCAAUAUCAUAUAGCUCCUUUGAUCUCCAUCUUGGGGCUCCAUGAUCAUCUUGUCACCGACAUGACACCAUGAUCUCCAUCAUCAUGAUCUCUAUCAUCGUGUCUUCAUGACGUUGUCUCGUCAACUAUUACUUCUACUACUAUAGCUAACGGUUAGCAAUAAAGUAAAGUAAUUACAUGACGUUUAUGUUGACACGCAGGUCAUAAAUAAAUUAAGACAACUCCUAUGGCUCCUGCCGGUUGUCAUACUCAUCGACAUGCAAGUCGUGAUUCCUAUUACAAGAACAUGAUCAAUCUCAUACAUCACAUAUAUCAUUCAUCACAUCCUUUUGGCCAUAUCACAUCACAUAGCAUACCCUGCAAAAACAAGUUAGACGUCCUCUAAUUGUUGUUUGCAUGUUUUACGUGGCUGCUAUGGGUUUCUAGCAAGAACGUUUCUUACCUACGCAAAACCACAACGUGAUAUGCCAAUUGCUAUUUACCCUUCAUAAGGACCCUUUUCAUCGAAUCCGACCCGACUAAAGCGGGAGAGACAGACACCCGCCAGCCACCUUAUGCAAGUAGUGCAUGUUUGUCGGUGGAACCGGUCUCACGUAAGCAUACAUGUAAGGUUGGUCCGGGCCGCUUCAUCCCACAAUACCGUCGAAUCAAGAUAAGGCUAGUAAUGGCAAGCAUAUUGAACAAAGUCAACGCCCACAACUUCUUUGUGUUCUACUCGUGCAUAGAAUCUACGCAUAGACCUAGCUCAUGAUGCCACUGUUGGGGAACGUAGCAGAAAUUCAAAAUUUUCCUACGUGUCACCAAGAUCUAUCUAUGGAGAAACCAGCAACGAGGGGAAGGAGAGUGCAUCUACAUACCCUUGUAGAUCGCUAAGCGGAAGCGUUCAAGUGAACGGGGUUGAUGGAGUCGUACUCGUCGUGAUCCAAAUCACCGAUGACCAAGUGCCGAACGCACGGCACCUCCGCGUUCAACACACGUACAGCCUGGUGACGUCUCCCAUGCCUUGAUCCAGCAAGGAGAGAGGGAGAGGUUGAGGAAGACUCCAUCCAGCAGCAGCACAACGGCGUGGUGGUGGUGGAGGAGCGUGGCAAUCCUGCAGGGCUUCGCCAAGCACCACGGGAGAGGAGAAGGACUUGGGAGAGGGGAGGGAUGAACCAAAGGCAAAGGUAUGGCUGCCCUCCCACCCCCACACAUAUAUAUAGGGGCAAGGGAGAGGGGGGGGGGGNNNNNNNNNNNNNNNNNNNNNNNNNNNNNNNNNNNNNNNNNNNNNNNNNNNNNNNNNNNNNNNNNNNNNNNNNNNNNNNNNNNNNNNNNNNNNNNNNNNNCGACCCCCCCUCGUGUUGAAGUUAUCGGGAGAGGGGUAUAUCGACGACGACAGACCCGAUAAAACAUAAGAAAACGAAGAAGAAACAAAAAGAGGAGAAGAAGAAAAGGAAUAGAGGAGAAGAUCGAAGAAAAAAAGAAGAAAAAAAAAGAGGAGAAGAAGAAAGGAAUAGAGGAGAGAAGAAGAAUUUUCUAUUUUUUUCUUCUUCUCUUCUUUUUCUUCUUUUUUCCUCUUCUUAUUUAUUUCUCCUCUUCUUCCUCUCCUCUUCUUCUCCUUUCUUCCUCUUCUUAUUUUCCUUUUUCCUCUCAUUCAUAAAAAAAUGUUCAAAUAGAAAAUUUCGAAAAAAAAGUAAAGGUUUUGCCUAAUGCAUUGUUCAUAUGAAUAUACAAACAUUUGCAUAUUCUACAAUAAUUAAUAUCACCAAAAAAAUCUAUGAACAGAAAAAAAAUCCUAACUUUUCUAAAAAUCUAUCUUUUGCAUAUAUACAUGAACAUAUACACAGAGAACAUAUAUACACAGAGAACAUAUAUACAUGAACAUACAUAUAUAUACACAGAGAACAUAUAUACAUGAACAUACAUAUAUACAUUUUAUAAAAAUGCAAUAAAAAGACAGGGAGGAAGGGGGCAGUGCCGGACCUGACCAAGGCGACGGCGGCGCGACAGGGCAGGGGCAGAGGCGACGACGGCGUGGUCGGGGCAGGGGCAGAGGCGUCGGCGGCGAAGGGCGGGGCAGGGCGACGGGGACGGGCCAGGGCGGCGCGCGUCGGGGCAGGGGNNNNNNNNNNNNNNNNNNNNNNNNNNNNNNNNNNNNNNNNNNNNNNNNNNNNNNNNNNNNNNNNNNNNNNNNNNNNNNNNNNNNNNNNNNNNNNNNNNNNNNNNNNNNNNNNNNNNNNNNNNNNNNNNNNNNNNNNNNNNNNNNNNNNNNNNNNNNNNNNNNNNNNNNNNNNNNNNNNNNNNNNNNNNNNNNNNNNNNNNNNNNNNNNNNNNNNNNNNNNNNNNNNNNNNNNNNNNNNNNNNNNNNNNNNNNNNNNNNNNNNNNNNNNNNNNNNNNNNNNNNNNNNNNNNNNNNNNNNNNNNNNNNNNNNNNNNNNNNNNNNNNNNNNNNNNNNNNNNNNNNNNNNNNNNNNNNNNNNNNNNNNNNNNNNNNNNNNNNNNNNNNNNNNNNNNNNNNNNNNNNNNNNNNNNNNNNNNNNNNNNNNNNNNNNNNNNNNNNNNNNNNNNNNNNNNNNNNNNNNNNNNNNNNNNNNNNNNNNNNNNNNNNNNNNNNNNNNNNNNNNNNNNNNNNNNNNNNNNNNNNNNNNNNNNNNNNNNNNNNNNNNNNNNNNNNNNNNNNNNNNNNNNNNNNNNNNNNNNNNNNNNNNNNNNNNNNNNNNNNNNNNNNNNNNNNNNNNNNNNNNNNNNNNNNNNNNNNNNNNNNNNNNNNNNNNNNNNNNNNNNNNNNNNNNNNNNNNNNNNNNNNNNNNNNNNNNNNNNNNNNNNNNNNNNNNNNNNNNNNNNNNNNNNNNNNNNNNNNNNNNNNNNNNNNNNNNNNNNNNNNNNNNNNNNNNNNNNNNNNNNNNNNNNNNNNNNNNNNNNNNNNNNNNNNNNNNNNNNNNNNNNNNNNNNNNNNNNNNNNNNNNNNNNNNNNNNNNNNNNNNNNNNNNNNNNNNNNNNNNNNNNNNNNNNNNNNNNNNNNNNNNNNNNNNNNNNNNNNNNNNNNNNNNNNNNNNNNNNNNNNNNNNNNNNNNNNNNNNNNNNNNNNNNNNNNNNNNNNNNNNNNNNNNNNNNNNNNNNNNNNNNNNNNNNNNNNNNNNNNNNNNNNNNNNNNNNNNNNNNNNNNNNNNNNNNNNNNNNNNNNNNNNNNNNNNNNNNNNNNNNNNNNNNNNNNNNNNNNNNNNNNNNNNNNNNNNNNNNNNNNNNNNNNNNNNNNNNNNNNNNNNNNNNNNNNNNNNNNNNNNNNNNNNNNNNNNNNNNNNNNNNNNNNNNNNNNNNNNNNNNNNNNNNNNNNNNNNNNNNNNNNNNNNNNNNNNNNNNNNNNNNNNNNNNNNNNNNNNNNNNNNNNNNNNNNNNNNNNNNNNNNNNNNNNNNNNNNNNNNNNNNNNNNNNNNNNNNNNNNNNNNNNNNNNNNNNNNNNNNNNNNNNNNNNNNNNNNNNNNNNNNNNNNNNNNNNNNNNNNNNNNNNNNNNNNNNNNNNNNNNNNNNNNNNNNNNNNNNNNNNNNNNNNNNNNNNNNNNNNNNNNNNNNNNNNNNNNNNNNNNNNNNNNNNNNNNNNNNNNNNNNNNNNNNNNNNNNNNNNNNNNNNNNNNNNNNNNNNNNNNNNNNNNNNNNNNNNNNNNNNNNNNNNNNNNNNNNNNNNNNNNNNNNNNNNNNNNNNNNNNNNNNNNNNNNNNNNNNNNNNNNNNNNNNNNNNNNNNNNNNNNNNNNNNNNNNNNNNNNNNNNNNNNNNAAAAGUUCUUUAUGAAAAUUCUUUUUGCUGUAUUUAGUUUUUUUGUUUUCUUUUUUGCUUUAUUUAUUUUGUUUUGUUUCUACUUACAACAAAAAACUUAUUUAUUUUAUUUUAUUUUGUUUCUAAUUAGUUAUUUAUUUUACUUUAUGAUAAUUCUUUUUGCUAUUAAAGUUUCUAUCAAAAAAAGUUCUUUAUGAAAAUUCUUUUUGCUUUUAAUGAUUUUGAACAGAAAAUACUUCGAUAAUUUUAGUUGCAUCAAUUUUAUAUGAUUUUAGUUUCAAUAAUACUAGAGAUUUCUUAUAAUGUUUUGAACAAAAAAUACUUUGUUAAUUUUAGUUUCAUAAAUUUUAUUAAAGUUUAUUUUAUUUUGUCGGAACACAAGAAGUCCGGAGUUGUAAUAAGUUAUUAAAAAUAAAAAAGAGGCGCAAUGCUCGUUGAUUUGCUUCAAGCCUUUCGGAAUAGUGUAGACUGCACUGCACAUAGCUCCAUGCAGUCUACCUUAUUCCUCAAGGCUUGAAGCUAAGCAACGUGAGCAUUGCGCCUCUUCUUCAUCGUCUCUACACUCAGGGCUUAUAAACCGCUCCUAGUGCCUCUCAGCUAGCGAGGUGGGACUAAAAAACUGCUUAGUAAGAAACUCUAGUACCGGUUCGUGCCACGAACCGGUACUAAAGGUGCUCAUGGGGCCACAGCCUCAUUAGUACCGGUUCGUGGCACGAACCGGGACCAAUUCCACCCUUACGGGCCUAACCCCUCUGUACAUGCUUGUGGGCCUACUGGGCCUUCUGCGGGCCUGAAUCCUGGCCCAUGGAUGGGUUUCUAAUCGUAUUCAGGCCGUGGUGGCCCAGUAGGUGGCAUAAUUUUUUAUUUUUGGCCUGUUAUUUUUCAUGCAUUUACUAAUUAUUUUGAGCUAUAAGACCCUAAAAUUGAAAAGCAUUUCAAAUGAACUCUGAAAAGGUUGAAAGUUGGCAUGGUAUCAUCAUUUCAUCCACAUAGCAUGUGCAAGAAAGUUGAGAGGGUUACGGCAAAAACUAGAUGCACUUCUUGUACAAAACGGACAAUGGUAUCAUACUCGUCUGUUACAAAGUUGGCAUGGUAUCAUCAUAAUAGUUGCGGGAGAAAGUCUUCACUUUUUCUUCGCUUGUGUCAUUUGCUUAUUGCGCCGUAACCAUGGAUAAUCUUCAUCGUUUAUCAGGAUGCUUGGGUCAGCCUUGACUUUGAAGGGAGGAAUUUCAUGAAACUUUUCAUAAUCUUCAGACAUGUCAGUCUUGCCCUCCACUCCCACAAUGUCCCUUUUUCCUGAAAGAACUAUGUGGNNNNNNNNNNNNNNNNNNNNNNNNNNNNNNNNNNNNNNNNNNNNNNNNNNNNNNNNNNNNNNNNNNNNNNNNNNNNNNNNNNNNNNNNNNNNNNNNNNNNACGGACCGUCCGGUCUGAACAGAGUCCUGGACAGACUAUGCCAAAUUCAUGGCACCCCGGAAAAACCUGCGAACCACACUCAUAGAGAGUGCUGGGUCUUCAAGCAGGUCGGCAAAUUAAAUGCCGAACACAAGGGGAGGGGCACACCAAGCAAAGACGAGGAUGAACCUCACCAGCCGAACACUGGGGUACAGGAAAAAUUCCCGCCAGAGGUUAAAAUAGUAAACAUGAUCCACGCGACUCGCACAUCCAUGAGAGGGCAUAAACGCGCGCACAUAGAAGCGCACGAUGUAGAGCCCGUCGUACCCACGCCUCACUAUUGGAUGUCCCAUCCGAUCACUUUCGAUCACAUGGACGGCCGAACUAGUAUUCGGCGCGGAGGAUCACAGGCCUUGGUGCUUGACCCACUAAUCGACGGAUACCGUCUCACCCGUGUCCUCAUGGACGGCGGCAGUGGUCUCAAUUUAAUAUACGAGGACACUAUCCGCAGAAUGGGGAUAGACCCACCCAGAAUUAAACAAAGCAACACCACCUUUGAAGGGGUGAUACCAGGCGUUGCAGCCUGCGCCAGGGGCUCCGUCGUGCUGGAAGUAACAUUCGGCUUCCCAGGCAACUCCAGAAGCAAAGAGCUGCUCUUCACUAUCGCACCCUUCCAAAGCAGCCAUCACGCAUUGCUAGGAAGAACGGCCUUCGCCCGCUUCAACGCAUUGCCGCACUAUGGCCACCUUACACUCAAGAUGCCUGGUCCCCGUGGCGUCAUCACCGUUAGCGGAAUCAUAAAGCGCCCUUCACGCGUAGAGGAAUACGCGACGGCCCUGGCGGCCGGACUAUAAGCGGCCUCCAGUUUUAGAAAACAUGAUUGGUCAUUACGACCAUAGACACGGUUAGACGAGUCCGGUAGCCCGGAUAAAUUCAAACAAGACACUGUAUAUAUAAUCCCAUAAGGGAAACUAGGGGUUGUCUAUAUUUAAUACAGCCCCACGCUUCGCUCGACCUUAUUGGCAGGCCAACAGCUUACACUCUUAUUACUGAUCGCAUACUUACGUUGCGCCCUCCUACGAGUUUUUCUUUUUUACAGACAACGUUCGCGCGAUACCCUUCCAGGAUACGGCACAACGGAGACAAAGGCGCAGACAUGCAGCAGGGCCCGUGCAACAGGUUUCUUUUUAGAUUAAGCCCCUGUGUAAACCUUUUCUACUGCAUCUUGUUGUUUAACCAUCUCAUGGGUUCUAUACCCACAGAGGAUACUGCCGUUUUUGGCAUUUGGCCACGGCAGACUAAAUUGCACGUACCUAGAAAUAAAGGGCUUAAAAUAGGCUCUUGUCAGCCUAUCUUCUUUUACAAAAGACCGAAUACCCUCGGGAGUGUUCGGCGUCACGAGUUUGGCCGUAUAUGCAUCAGCUCCGAAUCAUGUCUUGGUCAAAAUGUUGGGUUUGCCCGGCUCCUGGGUUUGCCGCCUUACGUUCCGCUAUCAUCCGGCUAAGGCAGGCCAAAGGAGAAUUACUGCGAUUGUGCCCUGGUUAUUCUGGAUGAGCGCCUCAGUAGAGAAAGCCGAAAACUGACCGUCAUGAUACAGCGAGAGACUGUUCAACCACUCGAAGACUCACCGGAAUCCCUGAAGAUUCAUCCGCCUUAACGAAGGGCCGUUUCCCGGCCAUGUACACACGCGCCCUUAUUCAGAUGCACGUGGAGGUACCAGGGGCUACAUAGUAGCCGCACCAUUAGACUCACAUGGCUAAGUGAAAGUAUUACAACUAUAUAAUCCGGUUGCCUAGUUCGGCGUGUGAUCACCUCCUUAACGGACCAAGACAUUGGAUCAAGUGUGAUUAUGCAUAUUUUUCGCCAACACCCCCGCAUUGUCCGCGAGGGGGCUGAAACCAACGACUGCUAUCUUUCAGACUACUUGUACAUAUAAGAAUAGCCGCAAAGGGAGGACAAUCAUACUUCCGGGCAAAAGUAUAAAACAUAGCCUCAUAAUUAAACUAAAAGUGUUUUCUACAAUGAUCCGACUUAUCACUCGAAUAAAGCACUCUUCGAUUACUGCGACUCUAUCAGGCGGGCACCUUCUGUGACUUGCGCCAAGUAGUGCUCGGCCGGAUGUUGGCCUCCCGCCGGAUCCUGGCUCGCUAUUACAGUGGCCUCCAUAUCCAUCCAGUAGACUUUAACGCGAGCUAGAGCCAUCCGCGCACCCUCUAUGCACGCCGACCUUCUCAGGGCAUCAAUCCGGGACACGGCUCCAAGGAAUUGUUGCACCAAACCAAAGUAGUUAUCCGGCUUAGGCCCCUUCGACCAAAGAUGGUCUAUUACAGACCGCAUUGCAAGUCUGGACAUCCUGUGGAGCUCCGCCAUAGCAGCCACCUUCUCAUUCAGUGGCAGCGGGCGAGUGGGAGCAUUAAACUACGACCAGAAAAGCUUCUCCACUUCUUCAUCGCCUUGACCCUCGAAGAACUUGACAAUGUCAGCUGUACUAUUCACCAAGUCCGCAUAUGCGUCCGCAGGACUGAUGCGACCAGCCAGGGGAGCAUACUUCGGAUCCAAGAACCUCGUCCGCAGUAAGUACGAACCCCCAGCCACGAUUUUGUCAGCUUGUUGGAGCUCCUCCCGCAUACUUCGGAUCUCGGUCCACAUCUCCUUGGCGGCAUUACGUGCCUUGUCCAGCUCGGCCGAACUAGCCUUAUUCUCCUUUUCAAGGAGUGCGUACCGGUCGACGGCAUUUUUUAACUCUUUAGCCAUUUCGGCUAUCUUUUCCUCGCUUCGGCGACGAGCAGCCUGUUCGGCUCUCAACUCUUCGGCCGCCUUUAGGGCAGCCGCAUUGCUAGCCCGAGCUUGUUCCUUGGCUUGAGCAAGUUUCAUCCUCAGGGCCUCCACGGCAGCAGCACCAUCUGUAGUGCCAAUACAUUGCAUUAAUAUUAUGCCUCUUUGGCAUAUUCCUAUAUAUUAUAAUAAAAACCAAGCACAUACCCUGGGACUCCUCAAGCCAUUUAUUCACCAACGUGAUAUCGGCAUCGAUGGAUCCAAUUUGCCUCCUUAGCUCGGCAACUUCAACAGACUGGUCGGCUGCCGGAUCCUUGUAUACCUGCACACAUGUACGACGCAUCCAUUAGUAUAUGAUCCCCCGUUUGCCGCCUAUGGCGGGCAACCAGAGUCUCAGGGGCUACUAUCUAUAGGGAGCACACCUAGCGCAUGCUUCAUAACCAAAAAGUUGUGCAUUUUUUCACUACAUACCUCAAAGCCUUUGAGCAGGUUUGUAAAUGCCUCAUUCAAGCCGCUGGUAGCGGAUGAAAUCUUCGUGAGCACCGUGCUCAUUAAAGAGCGAUGCUCCUCCGAAAGCGCGGCUCGCUCCAGACGGCCCGUCAGUACGUCCGGCCGGACACUAAACUGCGCCGGACCCUUCUCAUCGCCCCCCGUGGGAGCCAAACACUCUGGGCUCAGGGCGGCUGACGUACUAGCCUCCGGCUUCGGCAUAUCCGGACUCCUCCGUGACGACACCUCCGUGUCGCCCGCCUCAUGAGGCGGAGAGUUGGGUGGGGUUUCACUCCAUCAUCUCCGGGUGAAGGUCCCCCGAAGACGAACUCUAUUGAGAAGAGCUGCUCGCCGUACUACAAAAAACGAAGUCCUGGUUAUGGAUCUCAGAGUAACAUCUCACCUUCGAAUUAAUGAAUGACUUACGGCUCGUUGGAGGGCUGGCCCAUUGGUGGGCAUGACGUGGUGAGGGUGCCCGUCGCGGCGGAGCCCCUUNNNNNNNNNNNNNNNNNNNNNNNNNNNNNNNNNNNNNNNNNNNNNNNNNNNNNNNNNNNNNNNNNNNNNNNNNNNNNNNNNNNNNNNNNNNNNNNNNNNNUUCAGAGCCCACCCACCACCCACUUCGUAGCCACCGUCGACGAUCUAACCGACGUGCUAAACUACGACUCCGAAGACAUCAACGGUAUGGACGACGAUGCCGGAGACGAUCAAAAACCAGCGCCUACAGGGCACUGGAAGGCCACCUCGUCACAUGACAUACAUAUGGUGGACACCCCAAAGGGAAGCGAUACCGAGGAACAACGGGACGCGGCAGAGGAUAAUCCCGCCGAUAAGCAACCAAAACGGCGACGUAGAAGCCGCCCUAAGUCCCGCCUCGAUCAAAGCAGCAUUCCUAAUGACCCAGCGAUAGAGCAGGGCAAACCAGCGGACGACGAACAUACAACCAAGCAACCAUCCGAACAGGACGACCCGGAUAAUCAACCCCUUCACGGAGCAAUCAACAGUCCGGGCACACCACCGGAGCAUAAGAACCUUCACAAAAGACUCGUCGCCACUGCAAGAAGUUUGAAGAAGGAAAAACGGAAGCGCAAAACAGCGGAAGACAUACUCAGAAUGAAGUGGAGCAAAAUACUCAAGACCGCAGACAAAUAUGGCAAUGGCCACCAAACAAAGAGCUACCCGAAGCGCAAGCUGCUGCCAGAAUUUGACGAGGAAGCCAUAGAGCCCUCACAGUCAAAAAAUAAAGAGGCCGCCUGGCCGGAUAGACGGCCAGAUGACAGGCCAAAAGCGACAAGUGGCGCCGCACACAAGCCGACUUAUGAUCCUGGGAAAACGGACGACCCAACUAGGUCCAUCUACGAGCCAAAAAAGAGGGCCCCAGGAAGUAACACAACACGACAAGUGUUCGAAGACAGCGGCACACCCAAAUACAGGGGCGCCGCACACCCGCUAUGUUUUACCGAUGAGGUGCUGGAUCAUGAAUUUCCAGCAGGGUUCAAACCCAUAAACAUAGAGGCAUACGAUGGCACAACAGACCCAGGAGUCUGGAUAGAAGAUUACAUACUACACAUACACAUGGCUAGAGGAGAUGAUCUCCACGCCAUAAAAUACCUACCCCUCAAGCUCAAAGGGCCAGCUCGGCAUUGGCUCAAAAGCCUCCCAGAAAACACUGUUGGAAGUUGGGAAGAGCUUGAGGACGCGUUUAGAGCAAAUUUUCAAGGGACUUAUGUCCGCCCUCCGGAUGCAGACGAUCUGAGUCAUAUAACCCAACAGCCCGGAGAGUCAACACGCAAAUUCUAGAACAGGUUCCUUACCAAAAAGAACCAAAUAGUCGACUGUCCGGACGCGGAAGCCUUAGCAGCUUUUAAACACAACGUCCGAGACGAAUGGCUCGCCAGACACCUCGGCCAAGAGAAGCCAAGAACAAUGGCCGCGCUAACAAGCCUCAUGACGCGCUUUUGCGCAGGAGAAGACAGCUGGCUAGCAAGAUACAGCACCAGCGACCCGAGUACAUCCGAGAUCAGAGAUGGAAACGGAAAAUCACGGCGCAGGAAAGAUCAGCGCCGGAAUAAAGAAAAACGCCCAAAGGGAACGGCGGUCAACGCCGGAUUCAAAAGCUCGCGGCCGAACAAUAAAACACUGCCUCUUAAGGACAACAGCGACGAGCUAUCAAAUUUAAACAAAAUUUUAGAUCGGAUAUGUCAAAUCCACAGUACCUCCGGAAGGCCUGUAAACCAUACCAACCAAAAUUGUUGGGUUUUUAAACAGUCCGGCAGACUCAACGCCGGACACAAGGGGCUCGAUGCGCCAAGCGAGGACGAUGACGAACCCCACCAGCAGAGCACCAGAAGUCAAAAGAGUUUCCCACAAGAAGUCAAAACAGUAAACUCACUUCAUGUGAUAGUACGGAAAACCAACACGGCACUCACUAAGACAAGUGUCGCACGGUCCACCCCAGCGGAACACUGAGAUUGGAUGUCAAAACCAAUCACUUUCGACCAUCUGGAUUAGUCCAGAAGUAUCCAGAACGCAGGAUAGACUCCCAUAAUAGACGGACUGCAAUUCACGCAGGUUUCGAUGGACGGCGGCAGUGACUUAAACCUGCUAUAUCCGGACACAAUCCGCAAAGUUGGGAUAGACCCUACUACAAUUCGGCAUAGCCGCACUUCCUUCAAAGGAGUGGCGCCAGGCCCUUACGCCAGGUGCACAGUUUCAUUAUUACUAGAAGUUGUGUUCGGGUCACCUGACAACUUCCAACGAGAAAAGCUAACCUUUCAUGUCGCCCCAUUUAAAAGUAGCUAUCAAGCAACACUGGGACGGGAAGCUUUCGUCCGCUUCAAUGCAAUACCACAUUACGUGUCUCUUACGCUUAAAAUGCCCGGUCAACGUGGCACCAUUUCAUUAAAAGGUCGCCUGAGACCCCGGACACGGCUGGACGAGUCCGGAAUAAAUAAGCUAGGGGCUACCUAGCCACACACCCCUUCACAAGGGUUUGUACAUAUAAGCCAUAAUGAGCUAGCAUAGGCUCAACUUUAUUAAUCUAUAUUUCAAUUUUUUAUGCACUUUCUCGCACGAUUUCUUUUCAAACUAAGUUCCUCUCUUUUUACAGAUGAACAGCGUGCACACCCGUCCAGGAUACAGCACAACAGAGACACAGGCGCAGACGUGCAGUAGGGACCCGUUGCAAGGACUCUUUUCAGACUAAGACCCUACGUAAACCUUUCUUACUGUCUCUUGUUGCUAUAAUCCCCUGGUUUCUCAUUAUAACCAGAGUGGAGACUGGUGUUUUGGCAUCGGCCGCGCCAGAAGAACUUGCCCGUACCUGGACACAAGGGGCUUAGGGCAUUGUUUUGCCCGCUAUUGUAAAGACCGAACACCUUCGGGAGUGUUCGGCGUCUCGAGUUAGGCCUUAUAUGCAUCAGCUCCGAAUCAUGUCUUUGGUCAAAUGUUGGGUUUGCCCGGCUCCUGUGUUUUGCUGCCUUACGUUCCGUAUCAUCGGCUAACGCGGCACCAGGAGAACUACUGCGAUUGUGCCCCAGUUCGGCUGGGCGAGCACCUCAGUAGAGAAAGCCGAAAACUGACUGUCAUGAUACAGCGAGAGACUGGUCAACCACUCGAUCGACCAUGGGAAUGUUUAGAAUUCCUCCGCUUUGACGAAGGGCCGUUUCUCGGUCAGGCACAUACGCGCCCCAAAUUUGGAGAGCGCGGUGCCCCCAGGGGCUAUGUCGUAGCCCCACCCUCAAACUCCAUGGCUAAGUGAAAGUGAUAAAGCAUUAUAGUCCGGUUGCCUCGUUUGCUAUGCUACCACCUCCUUUACAGGACCGAGACGUCGGAUUAAGUGUGAAAACACACUAUUUUUUGCGAACACCCCCGUACCUUGUGCGUGGGGGCUGAACCGACGACUGCCAUCUUUCAGGUUAUACACACGUAUACAUGAACGGCCGCAUAGGAGACAUUCUAUUACUUGAACGCACAAGUAUAAAAGGCGCUUACAUCAUAAAUAUUGUUUUACAUCAUAAAAACGUUCAUUCAAACGUAACAUUUUUUGAGCACUGCGACUCUAUUACACGAGCACCACGCAACACUUCGUCAAAAUAGUGCUCGGCGGGUAACCAGUUAUCGUCCGAACCCGGGGUCGCAACAGCGGUGGCAUCCAUCUCUGUCCAAUGUGUCUUCACACGGGCGAGUGCCAUCUGCGCACCCUCUAUGCAGGCCGACCGCUUCAUUGCCUUCAUAUGCGGCACCGCCCCAAGAAAUUGCUGCAAUAAGCCAAAGUAACUCUUCGGCUCGGGCCUAUCCGGCCAGACAUGGGUCACUAUAUCCGUCAUAGCAAGCCNNNNNNNNNNNNNNNNNNNNNNNNNNNNNNNNNNNNNNNNNNNNNNNNNNNNNNNNNNNNNNNNNNNNNNNNNNNNNNNNNNNNNNNNNNNNNNNNNNNNUGUCAGUCAUCAACACUCGCAGUUUUGCCCGAUUCUGGCCUGUUUCGUGGACUAUUACUCACUGUUUUGGGGUCCGAGAGUGAUUUCCAUGAUUAACAAACCCCGGGGUGCGUUUACAUGUUGGUCAUCAACACUCGCAGCUUCGGCCGAUUCUGGCCCGUUUCGUGGACUAUUACUGACUAUUUUGGGGUCCCGGGGUGAUUUCCACGAUUAACGAACCCCGGGUGCGUUUACGUGUAGGUCAUCAACACUCACGGUUUUUGUCGAUGCCGACCCGUUUCGUGGACUAUUACUCAACCUUUUGGGGCCCCAGAGUGAUUUCCAUGGUUGUUGAACCCCAAGGUGCGCUUACGUGUCGAUCAUCAACAAUCGCAGUUUGGGCCGAUUUUGGCCCGUUUCUUGCACUAUUACUUAGUUUUGGGGGUCCCGGAGUGAUUUCCACGAUUGACGAACUCCGGUGUGCGUUUACGUGUCGGUUAUCAAGACUCACAAGUUUGGCUGAUUCUGGUCCAUUUCAUGCACUUUUACUCACAGUUUUGGCGUCCCAGAGCAAUUUCCAGGAUUGCAAAUCCCCGGGGUGCGUUUACAUGUCCGUCGUCAACACUCAUAGUUCUGGCCAAUUCUGACGCGUUUCGUGGACUAUUGCUCACCAUUCAUGGGUCCCGAAGCGAUUUCCAUAGUUUUUGAACCCCAAGGUGCUUUUACGUGUCGGUCAUGAACACUCACAGUUUUGGCCGAUUCUAGCCCGUUUCGUGGACUAUUACUCAUAGUUUUGGGGUCCCGGUGUGAUUUCCAGGAUUAACGAACCCCGGGGUGCAUUUACGUGUCGGUCAUCAACACUCGCGGUUUUUGUCGAUUCUGACCCGUUUCAUGGAAUAUUACUCACCGUUUUGGGGUCCCAAAGUGAUUUCCAUGGUUGUUGAACCCCAAGGUGCGCUUAAGUUUAGGUCAUCAACAAUCACAGUUUGGGCUGAUUCUCGCCCGUUUCUUGGACUAUUACUUAGUUUUGGGGGUCCCGGAGUGAUUUCCACGAUUUACAAACCCUGGGGUGCGUUUACGUGUCAGUCAUCAACACUCGCAGUUUUGCCCGAUUCUGGCCUGUUUCGUGGACUAUUACUCACUGUUUUGGGGUCCNNNNNNNNNNGGUUGUUGAACCCCAAGGUGCGCUUAAGUUUAGGUCAUCAACAAUCACAGUUUGGGCUGAUUCUCGCCCGUUUCUUGGACUAUUACUUAGUUUUGGGGGUCCCGGAGUGAUUUCCACGAUUUACAAACCCUGGGGUGCGUUUACGUGUCGGUUAUCAACACUCACAGUUUUGGCCAAUUCUGACACAUUUUGUGGACUUUUACUCACUGUUUUGGGGUCCCGAAGUGAUUUCCAUAGUUGUUGAACCCCAAGGUGCGUUUACGUGUCGGUCAUCAACACUCAUAGUUUUGGCCGAUUCUGGCCAAUUUCAUGGACUAUUACCCACUGUUUUGGGAUCCCUAAGUGGUUUCCACGGUUAACGAACCGUGAGGUGCGUUUACAUGUCAGUCAUCAAUACUCACAAUUUUGCCCUAUUCUGGCCCGUUUCGUGGACCCCGGGGUGCGUUUACAUGUCGGUCAUCAACACUCGCAGCUUCGGCCGAUUCUGGCCCGUUUCGUGGACUAUUACUCACUAUUUUCGGGUCCCAGGGUGAUUUCCACGAUUAACGAACCCCGGGUGCGUUUACGUGUAGGUCAUCAAAACUCGUGGUUUUUGUCGAUGCCGACCCGUUUCGUGGACUAUUACUCAACCUUUUGGGGCCCCAGAGUGAUUUCCAUGGUUGUUGAACCCCAAGGUGCGCUUACGUGUCGAUCAUCAACAAUCGCAGUUUGGGCCGAUUUUGGCCCGUUUCUUGCACUAUUACUUAGUUUUGGGGGUCCCGGAGUGAUUUCCACGAUUGACGAACUCCGGGGUGCGUUUACGUGUCGGUUAUCAAGACUCACAAGUUUGGCUGAUUCUGGUCCAUUUCAUGCACUUUUACUCACAGUUUUGGCGUCCCAGAGCAAUUUCCAGGAUUGCAAAUCCCCGGGGUGCGUUUACGUGUUCGUCGUCAACACUCAUAGUUCUGGCCAAUUCUGACGCGUUUCGUGGACUAUUGCUCACCAUUCAUGGGUCCCGAAGCGAUUUCCAUAGUUUUUGAACCCCAAGGUGCUUUUACGUGUCGGUAAUGAACACUCACAAUUUUGGCCAAUUCUAGCCCGUUUCGUGGACUAUUACUCACAGUUUUGGGGUCCCGGUGUGAUUUCCAGGAUUAACGAACCCCAGGGUGCAUUUACGUGUCGGUCAUCAACACUCGCGGUUUUUGUCGAUUCUGACCCGUUUCAUGGAAUAUUACUCACCGUUUUGGGGUCCCAAAGUGAUUUCCAUGGUUGUUGAACCCCAAGGUGCGCUUAAGUUUAGGUCAUCAACAAUCACAGUUUGGGCAGAUUCUCGCCCGUUUCUUGGACUAUUACUUAGUUUUGGGGGUCCCGGAGUGAUUUCCACGAUUUACGAACCCUGGGGUGCGUUUACGUGUCGGUUAUCAACACUCACAGUUUUGGCCAAUUCUGACACAUUUUGUGGACUUUUACUCACUGUUUUGGAGUCCCGAAGUGAUUUCCAUAGUUGUUGAACCCCAAGGUGCGUUUACGUGUCGGUCAUCAACACUCAUAGUUUUGGCCGAUUGUGGCCAAUUUCGAGAACUAUUACCCACUGUUUUGGGAUCCCUAAGUGGUUUCCACGGUUAACGAACCGCGAGGUGCGUUUACAUGUCAGUCAUCAAUACUCACAGUUUUGCCCUAUUCUGGCCCGUUUCGUGGACCCCGGGGUGCGUUUACAUGUCGGUCAUCAACACUCGCAGCUUCGGCCGAUUCUGGCCCGUUUCGUGGACUAUUACUCACUAUUUUCGGGUGCCGGGGUGAUUUCCACGAUUAAUGAACCCCGGUGCAUUUACGUGUAGGUCAUCAACACUCACGGAUUUUGUCGAUGCUGAACCAUUUCGUGGACUAUUACUCAACCUUUUGGGGCCCCAGAGCGAUUUCCAUGGUUAUUGAACCCCAAGGUGCACUUACGUGUCGAUCAUCAACAAUCGCAGUUUGGGCCGAUUUUGGCCCGUUUCUUGCACUGUUACUUAGUUUUGGGGGUCCCGGAGUGAUUUCCACAAUUGACGAACUCCGGGGUGCGUUUACGUGUCAGUCAUGAACACUCACAAUUUUGGUCGAUUAUGGUCCGUUUCGGUUACUUUUAGUCACAGUUUUGGCGUCCCAGAGCAAUUUCCAGGAUUGCAAAUCCCCGGGGUGCGUUUACAUGUCCGUCAUCAACACUCACAAUUUUGGCCAACUCUGACGCGUUUCGUGGACUAUUACUCACCGUUCAUGGGUCCCGAAGCGAUUUCCAUAGUUAUUGAACCCCAAGGUGCAUUUACGUGUCGGUCAUGAACACUCACAGUUAUAGCCGAUUCUGGCCCGUUUCGUGGACUAUUACUCACUGCUUUGGAGUCCCGGUGUGAUUUCCAGGAUUAACGAACCCUGGGGUGCAUUUACAUGUCGGUCAUCAACACUCGCUGUUUUUGUCGAUUCUGACCCGUUUCGUGCACUAUUACUCACCGUUUUGGGGUCCCAGAGCGAUUUCCAUGGUUGUUGAACCCCAGGGUGCACAUACGUGUCGGUCAUCAACAAUCACAGUUUUGGCCGAUUCUGGCCCGUUUCGUGGACUAUUACUCACUGUUUUGGGGCCCNNNNNNNNNNNNNNNNNNNNNNNNNNNNNNNNNNNNNNNNNNNNNNNNNNNNNNNNNNNNNNNNNNNNNNNNNNNNNNNNNNNNNNNNNNNNNNNNNNNNCGCGGGGGCCCCUCCUGGGCCUCCCGGGCCGGCGGCGGCGAAGUGGGCGCGCGUCCACAUGGCGGCGCGUGAGUGGGUGCGGCGGCGGGGCGGACAACGUCCGGCGCGGGCGGACACGUCCGGCCCGGCGCGGGGAAGAGGGAUCUGUUUUUUUUAACUAGGGUUUCGGACGGGGGAAGAAGAGAUCCGAAUGGAGGGGGUAUAAAUAGGCAUAGAGGGAGCUAGGAGAGUCCAAAUGAGGUGUGGUUUUCGCCCACACGAUCGUGAUCGAACGCUCUAGGACAAGGAGCAGAGUUUGGUGGGUUUUGGGCCAAAUUUGGGGGGUGUUGGGCUGCAACACACACGAGGCCUUUUCGGUCCCUCGGUUAACCGUUGGAGUAUCAAACGAAGUCCAAAUGAUACGAAACUUGACAAGCGGUCUACCGGUAGUAAACCAAGGCCACUUGGCAAGUCUCGGACCAAUCCGGAAAUGUUUAAACCCCACACACGAAAGAAGACUAGAAAUGACCACCGGAGGAGAACGAAGCGCCGGAAUGCAAAACGGACAACGGGGAAAAUGCUCGAAUGCAUGAGAUGAACAUGUAUGCAAAUGCAAUGCACGUGAUGACAUGAUAAGAGAUGCACGAAAAAGAAAAACAACACACGGAGACAAAGACCCAACCCGAGAAAUAAAUAUAACUUAGCGCCGGAGACGGCAAGAGUUGGAUACAAAUAUGGAAAGUAUCUCUGGGGCGUUACAACACUCCACCACUACGAAAAGAUCUCGUCCCGAGAUCUAGGACUGAAAGAACUCCGGGUACUCAGAACGGAGGUGAUCCUCGCGUUCCCAGGUAGCUUCACGGUCGGAAUGGUGUGACCACUUGACUUUGAGAAAUUUGAUUGACUUGUUGCGAGUCUUGCGUUCAGUCUCUUCAAGAAUAGCAACUGGGUGCUCACGAUAAGAGAGAUCUUCUUGGAGCUCAAUGUCCUCGAAGUUGACGGUGCGGUCAGGAGUCUUGAAGCACUUUCGAAGCUGAGAGACAUGAAACACAUCAUGAACAUUUGCAAAGUUUGAAGGAAGCUCGAGUUGAUAGGCGAGGUCGCCUCUCUUGCUGACAAUCCUGAAAGGUCCCACGUAUCUAGGGGCAAGCUUCCCUUUGAUACCGAAGCGACGAGUACCUUUCAUAGGAGAGACGCGGAGGUAAACAUGAUCUCCGAUCUCGAAAGCCAGAUCACGGUGCUUACUAUCAUAGUAGCUCUUCUGGCGGGACUGGGCUGCUUUGAGGUUAUCACGAAUGACUUUGCACAUUUCUUCUGCUUCUGUGAUUAAGUCAUUACCCAGCAGCUGACGUUCACCGGUUUCAGACCAGUUGAGAGGGGUACGGCACUUCCUGCCAUACAGAAUUUCAAAGGGGGCCUUGCCCGAACUUGCUUGAAAGCUGUUGUUGUACGAGAAUUCAGCAUAAGGAAGACAAUCCUCCCACUUCAUGCCGAAGGAGAUCACACAAGCCCUGAGCAUAUCUUCAAGAAUUUGGUUGACACGCUCGACUUGACCGCUCGUUUGAGGAUGGAAAGCUGUGCUGAAGCGGAUGUUGGUGCCCAUGGCUUUCUGAAAAGAAUCCCAAAACUUGGAGGUAAAGAUGCUGCCACGGUCUGAAGAUAUCACUUGAGGAAUACCGUGCAGAGAGACAAUGCGAGAGGUAUAGAGUUCCGCCAAUUGAGCUGCAGUGAUUGACUCUUUGAUAGGCAGAAAAUGAGCCACUUUGGUGAGCUUGUCGAUGACAAGAAAUAUAGCAUCAUUGCCACGCUUGGACUUUGGAAACCCAGUCACGAAUUCCAUUUCAAUGUGGUCAAACUUCCAUUCUGGAAUGGCAAGAGGUUGGAGGAGACCAGCUGGCCUCUGGUGUUCUGCCUUCACUCUUCUGCAGACAUCACAUUCAUUCACGAAUUGAGCGAUCUCGCGCUUCAUUCGAGUCCACCAAUAAGCUUGCUUGAGGUCCUGAUACAUCUUCGUACUACCAGGGUGGAUGGAGAGGAGAGAGUUGUGAGCCUCGUUCAUGAUCACCUUACGGAGUUCACCUUUGGGCACAACAAUUCGAUCCUCGAAGAAGAGAGUGUCCUUGUCAUCAAGUCGGAAGCACUUGUACUUGAACUGACUCUUUGCAAUACCAAUCUUCACCUUCUUCACCAUAGCAUCAAGAAGUUGGGCUUGGCGAAUCUGGUCUUCUAAGGUAGGAGAGACUUGAAGGUUGGCGAGGAAACCUUGAGGAACAACUUGCAGAUUAAGUUUGCGGAAAGCUUCACAAAGCUCGGGUUGAUAAGGCUUGAGAAUCAGACUGUUGCAAUAUGCUUUUCUGCUCAAAGCGUCAGCAAUCACAUUAGCCUUGCCUGGAGUAUACUCGAUACUCGGAUUGUACUCUUGAAUCAUUUCGACCCAUCGAGUCUGCCUGAGGUUGAGAUUAGGCUGAGUGAAGAUGUACUUGAGACUCUUGUGAUCAGUGAAAAUAUCCACUUUCCUUCCCAAUAGAAGAUGUCUCCAAGUCAACAAAGCGUGCACAACUGCCGCCAACUCGAGAUCAUGAGUGGGGUAGUUCUUCUCAUUAGGUUUCAACUGGCGAGAGGUAUAAGCAACAACUUUCUUCUCUUGCAUGAGUACAACACCGAGACCUUGGAGAGAGGCAUCACAAAAGACCUCGUACGGCUUGGUUUCAUCAGGCGGAGUCAGAACUGGAGCAGUGAUCAAUUUCUCUUUCAAAGUGUUGAAAGCAAUAUCACACUCCGGAGACCAAACGUACUUGAUGUGCUUCUGAAGAAGAUUUGAGAGAGGCUUGGCGAUCUUAGAAAAGUUUUCAACGAAUCUUCUGCAAUAGCUUGCGAGACCGAGAAAACUGCGGAGUUGCUUCACGUUCUGAGGAGGUUCCCAAUUCACAAUUGCGGACACCUUCUCAGGAUUCACGGAAAUGCCCUUGGCAGAGAUGAUAUGACCAAGAUAAAGAACCUCAUCGAGCCAAAAUUCACACUUGGAGAACUUGGCGUAGAACUUAUGUUCUCUGAGCUUGUCAAGAACCAAACGCAAGUGCUUGGCAUGAUCUUCCUUGUUCUUCGAGAAAACCAGAAUGUCAUCGAGAUAGACCAAAACAAAUUCAUUGGUGUAGGGGUUGAAGAUGAAGUUCAUCAUGCGAGAGAACGUCGGAGGAGCGUUGGCGAGGCCAAAAGACAUGACGGUGUAUUCAUAUGAACCAAAGCUUGUUCUGAACGCCGUCUUGGGAAUAUCUUGCUCAUGAAUACGAAUCUGAUGAUAACCCAUACGGAGAUCAAGCUUGGAGAAUACUUGAGCACCUUUGAGUUGUUCGAACAGCUCAUUGAUGUUGGGAAGUGGGUAUUUGUUCUUGAUGGUCUUCUUGUUUACUGGACGGUAAUCAACACAAAGUCGAUUCGAUCCAUCCUUCUUCUUCACAAAAAGAACACCACAACCCCACGGAGAAGUACUAGGCCGAAUGAGACCCAAUCUUUCUUGCUCAUCGAGUUGUUUCUUCAGCUCCUUCAACUCUUCGGGGCCGAGCUUGUAGGGACGUUUGCACACAGGUUCCGUACCGGGCUCAAGUUCAAUAACGAAUUCAACCGGCCGGUUUGGAGGCAUCCCUGGAAGUUCUUCUGGAAAGACGUCUUGAUACUCACAAACAACCGGAAUCUGCGAAAUAGCAUCCAAUUCACCCUUCUCAUUGAGAGAAAACAACCGGAUGGAAUUAUCCCGAGCGGNNNNNNNNNNNNNNNNNNNNNNNNNNNNNNNNNNNNNNNNNNNNNNNNNNNNNNNNNNNNNNNNNNNNNNNNNNNNNNNNNNNNNNNNNNNNNNNNNNNNUUUUCUGGACGCCCAAAUGAAGUAAAUACAUAAAUUAUCUCGAGGAGCUGUUGACCCAGAUUUAUAUGAGUUCAUAAUAAAUCAUCAACAUUAAAACAUAGGCAUUUACAUGUCAUGGCCACAUAGUCUUUAGUUGUUCUCAAUAAAGUUAUUUUUCCGGAUCAGGAAGAAGAUGCCAUGCUUGAUGUCCCUUAAGACCGUCAUGUUGAACGUGGUACGGAGGAACAUGGCAACCAGCUUAAACAUCAUUUUAACCCAAAAAUUGAUACUAUGGAGAAAUGAGAACAAUUGGGAUGCAUAUGCGAUACUUUUAUUGUCUGAUGUCAGUGCAAUAGUUAAUCUGCCGCUGUGGUGUGUGUUUUAUUACUAGGUACCGACAGACUGAAAUACAAUGUUGUACUGAAGUCGUCGGACAAUAAACAUGGUGUAUACAACAAUGCUCUUACUUCAAUAUCAUUUUUUUCACUUUCUACUUCAAAGAAAAGCAUGAUUCUGAUACUAUGUCCAGCGUAAUUAAAUUUAUUUAUACGUAGCUACCUAUGCUCUAUUUAUGAUGCAAAAAUUAUAUCAGUUUUUAGUCAACAACAGAUUCAUACAUUAUACGAAACUCACAUGUAGGCAAGCAAUUUGGAUGUCAAUCUCGAGUCACGGAAGCUAAGAAACAAAGAAGGGAAAAAGAUAGAGAGCAGUAUGCACGGGCCAAUGAAGAACUAAAAAAGCGUCAUGAAGCGUAUUAACUAAAAAAAUACAUAAAUGGCAGGAAGAAAUAUGCAAAUAUGAAGCCACCACAGAAGGUAAAAAGGUGUGACUAGAAAAUGCAGAAAUACACAAAUAUGCAACCAGAACAAAAGAAAACUUACCUGUAAUUUUUUUCAAAGAAAAGCUGGAAUAGAGCAAAUUACAACUAACUCUGGGCGCAACACACUAAGCAAAGAUUCAGUUGCGAUGGAUCGCGUCAAGACACAAGUUAGUACAUUGGUCCAUACGACAAGGUCUUUACAGUAGCACACACUCAACAUGCCUGGACGCAGGGCGAAGUAUGCGACAUUUUUAUUAUGUUAUAUCAGUAACUCAACACAAGAGUUGUGUGUAUGAUAUUUUUAUUAUCAAUAUGAUGGUUAAUUAACUGAUGAGAUAUGUGUUGUCACUAUAUAUUAACGGUCCAAUCUACACCAUCAUAUUGAAGUCAGACAAAAUAAUAAUAUCAUGUGUGCUCUUACCCAAAAAUCCUUUGAAUUAGUAACUGAACUCUUAAAGAAUGUGCUUCAAAGUCGAGAAAAACACACUCAGUGGAAGUCCUCUGUGCACCCCUCUCUUUCUAACCACUGUCUGUCCAAUCUGUAGCACGGAUUGGCUUCGUGGGUUCACCGUCACAAUACGUUUUCUUUCCGUGAAUUUACGCUUUCAGUUUUUUUCACCUAUAUUAUUUUCUACAUCCGAGGUGGUACUAUUCAUGUGAUCGUGUGACCCGUCACGCACGACGUUAGUUCUGGUCACGUGGUACUACUCAAACACGUAGACGCUAGCUAGGAAACAAGACACGCGACGCCCAAACCGAAUCAAACUCAAACACCAACUUGCGACGUCUACGUACACAAGCACAAUUCCUGCUUCACGUAGCCAACCUGGAUCUCUCGCCGUUUUAAAUAAGAUCGAGCCAUCAUGGGCAGCCACGCAAGAGAUCACCGAUCGGGGCAUCAUCAGAAGCCACCACAGCCAAGAACAAUUAAGCAAGGAUCGAUGGCGGGACACGAGCAGGAGAAGCAGCAGGACGAUGAUGCCUCAGCACAGAGGUCGCCGUUGCCACACAAAGUCGUCAUGGAAAUCCUUGCCUACCCGCCGGCCAAGUCCGCGGGGUGCUUCUGCUGCGUCUCACGUUCGUGGCAGGCCACGCUCUCGUCGCCGUGCUUCUUCGAGCUCCACCUCCGGCGGGCAAACCACAGUCCAUCGCCGCCGGCCGGCCAAAGCUCUUCUUCAGUCCCACGGACGAGCCCUCGAACGACUACUUUUUUUACGCCUGGCAGCCCAGCGGCACGGCCCACCAAGCCCCCGCGUCCUCCUCCCCACCAACCCUAGCCAUGCCCUCGCCGCCACCUCUCCUUCCCCCGUUCGUCCUCUCCCGCCGCCGCCACCACCCCUAUCUCUCCUCCUUUCUCCUCGACGCCAUCAACGCGAGUGGGCACUCGCUGGAUCUGGUGGUCAGUGCGGGAUGCAACAGCGCAUCUGGCCGGAGGAGAACGCGGCGGCUGCAUCUCCUGGCAAUGGUAGUGGGGGCGGGUGGAUGAGGAGGCGACAUCUCGGGAGGUAGGCAAGAGGAACCAGGCGGUUCUCCUUCCAUGGCGGUACCCCGACCUGUCGGAUCUUCAUCGUCAUCAGCCCGGCGGACAGGUGUGGUGGAUCUGCCUCCUCCUCUCUCUUUCAACCCCGGUAGUGCUCUUUCAUGUACGCCGCCCUCUCCAUGACAACGGCAGCGCCAGGCCGUCAAAUCCGUCACUGUCGCCGUUCUUCUGCUCGAGGCCUUCGUCGUCCAUGUGCUUCUCCUAAAUUUCCUCUUCUGUUGACUGGUUUUAGUUUACUGUUUGUAUUAACUUUUCAGCCCAUGGCAAUUCAGUUCCAAUGACAGGAAUUUACUUUGUAUGAUCUCCUGUUUUUAUUAGCUACAAAGAUCAUUCUACCUUUCCGUCAGUGUAUACCUCCUUUGAUUCUGCAUCCGCUUGCUUUUUUUAUAAAAAGUAUGUUGCAUGUUUGCUUACAGUACAAGACAUACUUUCCUAACUUUUCUGUGUGAUAUAUCUAAAUUCUUUUGUAAUGCUAAUUUUACUAUGUUGUUAAUCUGCAGUAAGGUGUUCUAUUUUUCAACGUGCUGCAGCUACCACUUUGCCACUGCCCUGACUCCUUCCUGCAGACCAUGGAUCUGUCGUCGAUGCAGAGCGUCAACAGGGUGAAGGUUUGCCACCCUAGCAGACUCGUGUGUUGUUGCCGCCGCAAUCCUUCUCUUUGUUGGAGUCUUCCUCCUCUGGUACGUCCUCUCUCGCGACCCUCGUAGGUUCGUGGUUUCACUCCUGCAGUGGUGGAUUCCUCGUUGAUAUGUUAAUGCGGUUUGCUUGGUCUUCUUUCUUGUAGGAGAGAAAAAAAUUGGUCUCUUUGACACGCUUGGGAUCGACGGAUCGUUCAUGCCAUGGUUGGAUUUGAAUGGGGCAGUGUCUAUCCAAAAUUUGUUUGGUUGACUGGACAAUUUGUUUGUUUGGUUGUCUUAAUGUAACCCGAUUCGCAUAAUUUUGAAAACAUCAGCAAAGAUUUCAGUGGCUGGGAGUGUUUGCCAGAGUGGAAACGAAGCAUUUGCUGGAAGGAGCUCAAGAUUUCGCUAUUACCCUGCUGAUAGUUUUGUGAGGUAAUUUAGCUACACAUUUGCAUGUUUCUUUUCUGCUGUAGCAAUGCCUAUUUCAAUUUAGAAAGUAGAUAUAUGAAGUGUGAUUUAAGUGUCUAAUAGCGGAUGUUGUUAGCAGUCUAAUUUCUCCCAAGCAGCUGCUUUCAAUGGAGACUUGACAGGUCUGGUUUUACUUCACGAAGCCAUUUUCUGAAUUUUCCGAAGUUGGUUGCAGAGAGAUGGUUCCAUAGUUUCAUCAGAGCAAACUGGUUCCAUAGAGGUUUCAUUAGAGCUAACUUUGUGUUUUGUAUCGUCUUACCUCUCGCAGUUUGUAUGUUCUACAGCAUCCACAGUCAUACCCGCCGCCCCCNNNNNNNNNNNNNNNNNNNNNNNNNNNNNNNNNNNNNNNNNNNNNNNNNNNNNNNNNNNNNNNNNNNNNNNNNNNNNNNNNNNNNNNNNNNNNNNNNNNNGCAAAUGCUUCUUUGCAAAAGUCUUUUGGUCAACUUGAUAACGACAUUCCAGAUGCAGGAAUUGAAGUGGAGAUUGAACUAAGUGAUCUCCUAUUGGAUAUGUGCCCGAUAAAACAGGUAUAUUUUGUCACGUUCAAACUUUUUAGUACUCAUGCAUUUUCCUUUUUUUGGUGUGUGUGUGUGGGGGGGGGGGGUGUGAAUUUGCAUGCACAUGCAUUUUAUUCUGCUAGUCAGUAUAUUUUUAUGGUUUUUUUCUCCUGAGGCAUGCACUAACAGGUUCCAGUUGUUGAUGUUAGAGAAGAAGAUGUACACCACAUUUCUAGUUUGAUCAUGUCUUCAAAGCUGAUAAUGUUCUAGACUUUUGGCUGAUAUGCCUUAUCUUCGAAAGCUGACAAUGUUACCAGAUUCGCAGUCUGCUCAAUUCGCAAUUUGUGAUCCAUCACUUUCUACGAAUUGGAUUCGGAUUCGAGGGGGGUAUACAUCUCUGGUUCGCGAAUCUGAUAACCGAUUCAUGAAUCAGAUUACUCUGAUUCAGUAGCUCCCCAUUUGGUAGUCUGAUUAGUUACGCUUAACAAGUUCUAAAAGUGAUGAGACAUUUUCUCUUAAAUAGAAAACCAAAAUUGCUGCUAAUCUAGAAAGCCCACUUCGGUCCAAUAGCCACUUCACAUGGCCUUCCUUUCUAGGCAUUGCCUCUUGUAGAAUGUGGAGAAGGAGCGUACCAGCCGCGAGCAUGUCCUGGAGUGAGGGUCAGAUAAAUGAGAGAAAGGGAUUCUGGAUUUGAAUGAAUGAGAGAUGGAAUAGAAUAGAACAAGAGAAAAGAGAGGACAAAGAUGCAUGCAGUGUUUUGUUUUUAACUGGUUGUACAGACCCACGUGUCUUGUCUGAUACGGAGUAUUAUAUAAUGAAGAUGUACUCUUCUCUCUCAAUUACAUGCGGGGUCAAGAUUGUAUGAACCUACACGCCAUUGCCUUCUCAUCAUUCGUGCUGAUGUACACUGGUUCUAUAUAUUUUAAUACUGAAAGAUAGUCGGAGAUGACCAAUUUCACACGUUAAUUUGAUUUGAUGUUUACCUUCUCUACUCUGUUCCGAAGAUCUCUGCAUAUAUCUCUAAGCACCUGUGUGGCUGAGGAGCUCAAGCACAUGCACACAAUACAGUCUCAUAUAAGAUACAUACUUACACAUAAUAUUUACUGUGGAAGGGACAAGUUGAACUUUUUUAUUUCAAGAGGCGUUAUUAUAGUCUUGAAAUGUGAGAGACUGGGCAGUGUAUGAUUAUAAUAUUUUCAUGCUAAUUGUUAACUGUUCUUCUUGGUAUGCAGGAAAACUUGAUCCAUGAUGACCAGAAAUUGAUAUUGCUGGCAUCUCUUAGCGACUCCUUGGAAUAUUUAGCAGAUUCAGUUGAAAGGUAAACCUAUUGUUUCACUCGUUUAGCUACCUUGUUGAACUACAGUACCAUUCCACUGAUAUCCACUAGAGGGGCAAAUAGGGUAGAUUCAGUUAGUGCACUAGAACAUUGUGCGACUAUGAAGCAUCAACACAUUCCAGCUAUAGUAUACAUCUGAUUCCAGUCACACCCUAUUAAAGAAUACUUCCUUCGUCCCACAAUAUAAGUUGUUUUUGCAAGCUACAUUGUGGGACGGAGGGAGUAGUUAGCAAUCAUAUAAUACUUAAUCCUUUUUGCUGAUCUUCUUGGUUGUAUCAUCGCUUAUGAUCUGUCAUCGCGAGAAUUCCUGUGCUGCAUGCUUAUGGUUUUGCCUCCUUUGAACUUUCAGGCUUGGUGAGUCAUUUAUAAGUCCAUCCACCAUCUCAGAAAACAAAAGUGACAUACACCAAAGUCACCAUACUCGCACAUCUAGUGCAAUUCCGAAAAGCCUUGCAUCUCUUGCUAAUGAGUACAGAAGGCUAGCAACCGAUUGUGUUAGAGUCUUGAGAUUGGAAAUGCAGUUGGAGACAAUAUAUCACAUGCAGGUAAUAGUACUCAAGUUUCUGAUGGUAUUACUCUGUUGUUAUUGAUGGAUUUAUCGCAUGUCAAUAAUUUUCUUGCAAACAUUCAGGACAUGACAAAAAGAGAAUAUGUAGAAGAUCAAGACGCUGAAGAUCCUGAUGACUUCAUCAUCUCUCUUACAACUCAGGUAGGCCAGCCCACGUUAGUAUGAGUACAACUUUAGUGUUCUUUAGAGCCAACCUAUGAUUGUUUUUAUUGUAGAAUCUUAUUACAUAGGGGGGUAUUUACUGACUUAAGUAAAACAAUCUAAAGAUGAUGCUUUCAACUAACCGUUAUAUCCACAAAUGGAAAUUAGUAAGCACUUGCGAGAAGUUACCACAAUGCCAAACUGUAUAUAAAAAAGUAAAUUGCACUAGGAACCCGUGAUCAGUUUAGCCCUGCAACUUGCAAAAAGCUAAAUUCAACACCGUAAACAUGACACGGGUACGUCCAAAUUUGCCAACAGGCAAGCCAUAGGAAUGCAUAUUGUUUAUUUGUUUUUUGCCUGUAGUUAGAUCGGCAGAUAAUACGUUCUUCAAAAAUAGAACCCUAGUAUUGACAGGAAUUUGCGCUCAAAUAGUCAUUAUCGGUUGGGUGCUGAGUAGGGAUUAAUCGGUGAAUCGGCCAUUUAACUGAAUUUAUCGGUAACCCAUUUAUCUAGAGGUUAACCAGGGCCAUAUCUGCAUAUCCUAGGCUAUAUAGCAACAUGCAAUGUACUAAGGUCCCCUUUGUUUGGGCUACAGAUUCCCUAGAAUCCCCUGGCUCUAUAUUCCUGAGAAUCAGCUGUCGCUCUGGAUUCCUGAGAAUCAGAAUCUGGCUGUUUGUUUACCCAGUUAUUGGUCAGAUGUAGGAGCUAUGGAUGUUGUGAAAUGUCAGUAACGUUCUGGAGUGCUGACGGUGAUGUUUAUAUGCAGAUUAAAGCACAUGUCAUGUGUUUUGACUCGAUAAAGUGAGAUUUAGCCAAAAAAAAUACGGAUUAUUUUUUCUAGAAUUGUCAUGAUGGUAGGAAUAUACCAUCCGAUAUAUGAAAAUGACACAUAACAUCCAAAAUAAGCAACAUCCAUCAUAGUCUUAUAUACGAAAUAUAUCAUCCAAAAUAUGGACCAACCAUCAUAGGCUUGCAUACGUACACAUACCAUCAAAAAUACACACUUACCAUCAUAGUCUUGUCAACUAAUAUGUGAAACUAUACUUGAUCUGCGAGCAAUCCAUUAGCAAUCGCCUCGCGAGUUGCUUGCAUGGUCGCAUCAUCACCAACCACAAUGUUGGAAGCAUGGCCUAUGGGUUGGGGAUGUAUGGGUAACUUGGCAUUUUCAGUAAAAUAUGCUAUUUCAUCUUGAACACACCAAAUGCACGCUCAAUGACUUUGCGUAGAGAUGAAUAUGCAAAGUUAAAUUCCGACACAUGGUACUAUUGCCCUUUGUAUGUAGCUAAACAUCCAUCACAAUUGGGAUAGCUGAUGUGGAGUGGAACUCCUAAGGCCGAUCUUUCACGAUUUUGAGGGGGAUCCCAAGAACACGAAGAACACGAGAGGGAAAACACUCAAAUAGACAAAACUCAAUCACAUAUGUGCUAGAUCCACAUACACAAAGGGGAGAUACAAGAUCCAAAGUCAACACAAGAGGGUACAAAGGGUAGCUAGUUCAUCCCAAUCCUUGAAGGAGAGAGGUCUUGAAUCCUUGGAGGAUCUUCCCACAAGGGGGUCUUGAAUCCACUUGGGAGAUCUUCUCACAUGGAGGCCUUGAUCUCCAUGNNNNNNNNNNNNNNNNNNNNNNNNNNNNNNNNNNNNNNNNNNNNNNNNNNNNNNNNNNNNNNNNNNNNNNNNNNNNNNNNNNNNNNNNNNNNNNNNNNNNAAACGCUUAACUCCUCGAAGCGGGGAUACUCUGAGAUAUACUCUGUCUCCAACUUCAUACUCAAUCGCUUUGCGCUUUGAAUCGGCAUAGCUCUUCUGUCUGGACUGGGCUACCUUGAGCCUGUCUCGAAUCAACUUAACCUUCUGUUCAGACUCCUUAAUCAAAUCUGGUCCAAAGAAUUGACGGUCUCCAACUUCGUUCCAUGAUAACGGUGUCCUGCACCUCCUUCCGUAUAAAGCUUCGAAAGGGGCCAUCUUCAAACUGGUUUGGUAACUAUUGUUAUAAGAAAACUCCGCAUACGGCAAGUUUUCGUCCCAGCUUGAUCCAUAAUCUAGUGCACAAGCUCUCAGCAUAUCUUCCAAAAUCUGAUUGACUCUUUCAGUCUGUCCAUCGGUCUGUGGGUGGAAAGCUGUACUGAAUUCCAAUCUAGUUCCCAAUGUCUCGUGCAACUGGUUCCAAAAUUUCGAGGUAAACUGGGUUCCUUUAUCUGAUACGAUGCUCCUCGGAACUCCGUGUAAACACACAAUUCUGGUCAUGUAUAUCUUUGCCAACUUAGCACUGCUAUAGGUAGUCUUGACUGGAAUGAAAUGAGCUACCUUGGUUAAACGGUCGACUAUAACCCAAAUCGAGUCAUAUCCUGAACGGGUCUUUGGCAAACCUGUGAUGAAAUCCAUGCCUAGUUUAUCCCACUUCCAUUCGGGUAUCGGCAACGGUUGUAACAAUCCUGCUGGCUUCUGAUGUUCUGCCUUUACCCUCUGACAUACAUCACAAAUAGCUACAUACUCCGCAAUAUCCUUCUUCAUUCCGGUCCACCAGAAAAUGUUCUUCAAAUCCAAAUACAUCUUGGUAUUUCCUGGGUGAAUCGAAUAGGGUGAAUCAUGGGCUUCUUGUAAAAUCAACUUCCUGAUUUCUGGGUUAUUGGGCACAUAAACACAGUCUUUAAACCAUAGGGUAUCGUGUUCAUCCUCACGAAAUCCUUUAGCCUUUCCUUUGCCCAUUCUCUCCUUUAUAGAGGCAACUUCCUUAUCUGCCUUUUGGGCUUCUCUGAUUUUGUCCAUCAGUGUCGACUGAAUCUCCAAUGUUGCUACAUAGCCUCUCGGAACUAUUUCCAAACAUAGCUCUCGAAGGUCCUCGGCUAACUCAUUGGGUAUUCCUCCCAUCAUUAGGGUAUUGACGUGGCUCUUACGGCUCAAUGCGUCUGCUACGACAUUAGCCUUUCCGGGGUGAUAAUGCAAUCUCAUAUCAUAAUCCUUGAUAAGUUCUAACCAUCUCCUUUGUCUGAGAUUCAAUUCCUUCUGUGUGAAGAUGUACUUCAAACUCUUGUGAUCCGUAUAUACUUCACAAUGGUUUCCAAUGAGAAAAUGUCUCCACGUCUUCAGGGCAUGCACAACGGCUGCUAACUCCAAAUCAUGAGUGGCAUAAUUCAACUCAUGGGGCUUAAGUUGUCGUGAAGCAUACGAAACAACUCUUCCUUCCUGCAUAAGCACUGCUCCAAGUCCUCGACGUGAAGCAUCGCAAUACACCUCAUAAUCCUUAGUCUGAUCUGGCAAUAUCAAAACUAGUGAGGUAACCAAUCUUUUCUUCAACUCCUGAAAACUUGCCUCACAGUCCUCGGUCCAUAUGAAUUUGUUAUCCUUCUUCAACAAUUCAGUCAUAGGCUUAGCAAUCCUUGAGAAAUUCUCAAUGAAUCUUCGGUAGUAUCCUGCGAGUCCAAGAAAACUCCGAAUCUCUCCAACUGUCGUUGGUGCUUCCCAAUUAGUUACGGUCUCAACCUUUGUGGGGUCAACUGCUAUUCCUUCUCCGGAUAUAACAUGUCCAAGAAAUCCAACUUCCUUUAGCCAAAACUCACAUUUGCUGAACUUGGCGUAUAACUGAUGUUCUCUUAGCUUCUCCAAAACCAAUCGCAAAUGUUCCUUAUGCUCCUCUUCAUUCUUCGAGAAAAUCAAAAUGUCAUCUAUGAACACCACGACGAACUUAUCCAAAAACUCCAUAAACACUUUGUUCAUCAGGUUCAUGAAAUAGGCUGGUGCGUUAGUCAAUCCAAAUGACAUAACAGUAUACUCGUACAGUCCAUAUCUCGUGGUAAAUGCAGUCUUGGGUAUGUCUUGCUCCCGAAUCUUCAACUGAUGGUACCCUGAUCGCAAGUCGAUCUUGGAAAACACUUUGGCUCCUUGCAAACGAUCAAACAGAUCAUUUAUCAUUGGUAGUGGGUACUUGUUCUUGAUUGUUACCGCAUUCAAUUCACGAUAAUCAACAACCAUUCUCAAAGAUCCAUCCUUCUUCUCCACUAACAAAACGGGUGAUCUCUGGCGGGAAAACGAAUUCGGGGUCACGUCUCGGAGGCAUCUGAUGGGUUUAGAAAAGAAGAGAAAUUUAGAAUAGAAUGAGGUCUAAGGGGAAUCACUACCCAAAUGCACAUGAGCAAAUGCACACAAAUCACUCCAUUCAAUCAAACAAGGCUUACAACGAUCUAACUAUCGCAAGUGCGUGUACUAUAAUGUUUACAUGGGGGAAUACUGCUAAUAUGUGGUGGUCAUCUAGAAAUUUGAAUCGGUGGAAGAUUCCAUGAUGUCUGCUCCAGCUUCGUCUUCAAAGUCGGGUUCACUUGGGUCCGAAUCGGUGUCGUCGAGGAUGAUGUAGUCGUCUGGACAUGCGACGUACUUGUCUUCAUUCUUGAGCUCCAAUUUCUUCUUGAGUUCUUCGAUCUCCUGCUUAAGAUCGCAAUUGUGCCUUGCUAGAGCUACGAUCUCGUCCAUAUAAUCCUUGCGUGUAGUCUUUAGUUCUCCUUCUAGCUCGAUGAUCCUUGCCUUCGCAUUCUUCAACUCUACCAUAUCAUUGCACAUCUGGUUCUCAUGGCGUCAAAUGUGCUGGUUUAGCUCCUGGAUAAAAGCUGCAAUGGAUCUAUCCUUCUUGGGGCUGACUAACUCCCAUUGUUCAUCUCGGCGUCCGCAAAUCUGGUAGAUGGUGUCCUUGAGGUCUUCUUGAUAAACUUCUCCAAUGCGUCCCAUGGUGAUAUGAGCUGCCAUGCUCUUUCCUAGACUCCAAGUUGGUGCACUGAAAACACUAUCUAUGGGCUUCGUGAUUGGGGCGAAUGUCCUUCCUGGAACGUGAGCUUGAAUCUUCCAGCGCUCCUCUUCAGGCAGAGUGGCGUUGAAAGUCCCGGUGAAACUUGGUAGUCCAAUGUUCAGGUACUUGGUAACUUCCUUCAAGUGAAAUCCAAAUGGUGUGCCUUCAUCCGGUUGGGUGUACUUAAUCUUCGCGUCCUUCAUCCUAAAGAGUAGAAUAGAUGAGGAAUUAGAAAAUGAGAGGAGAGUAGUGAUCUAUGGCUUUAACUUAGUGGUCGUGUCCUACAGUCAGCGUGUGCUCUGAUACCAUCUCUGUAGCGACCUGACCCGAAUGGAUCACGUCUACUGUGCUACGGUGUCAUCCCUGGAUCAGUAAUGCUGACACCACACAGUACAUCGAGGUUUUAUAGCAGAGUUGCAAUCACACACUUAUUACAUCGAUGGCUGAAAAAGAACUUAUUACAAUAAAUAUGGCUUAAGGCCAUCUAAUAACGAUAACAGCGGAAGGCUUGGAAGAUAAGCGAGUCCAUCAACUCCAUCGGCAUCACUGAGUAUAGAACCACGACCUAAACGCACCUCAAUCGUCGUCUGAAAAGUCUGCAACAUUAACGUUGCAGCCCGAAAACGGGUCAGCACAUGGAAUAUGCUGGCAAUGUAACACAUAGAGAGUAANNNNNNNNNNNNNNNNNNNNNNNNNNNNNNNNNNNNNNNNNNNNNNNNNNNNNNNNNNNNNNNNNNNNNNNNNNNNNNNNNNNNNNNNNNNNNNNNNNNNUUCCUUAGACCAUGAGAUCGUGUAACUCCCGGAUACCAUAGGAGUGCUUUGGGUGUACCAAACGUCACAACGUAACUGGGUGACUAUAAAGGUGCACUACAGGUAUCUCCGAAAGUGUCUGUUGGGUUGACACGGAUCGAGACUGGGAUUUGUCACUCCGUAUGACGGAGAGGUAUCUCUGGGCCCACUCGGUAAUGCAUCAUCAUAAUGAGCUCAAAGUGACCAAGUGUUUGGUCACGGGAUCAUGCAUUACGGUACGAGUAAAGUGACUUGCCGGUAACGAGACUGAACGAGGUAUUGGGAUACCGACGAUCGAGUCUCGGGCAUGUAACGUAUCGAUUGACAAAGGGAAUAGUAUACGGGGUUGCAUGAACCCUCGACAUCGUGGUUCAUCCGAUGAGAUCAUCGAGGAGCAUGUGGGAACCAACAUGGGUAUCCAGAUCCCGCUGUUGGUUAUUGCCCGAGAGCCGUCUCGGUCAUGUCUACGUGUCUCCCGAACCCGUAGGGUCUACACACUUAAGGUUUGGUGACGCUAGGGUUGUAUGAAUAUGAGUAUGCAGUAUACCGAACGUUGUUCGGAGUCCCGGAUGAGAUCCCGGACGUCACGAGGAGUUCCGGAAUGGUCCGGAGGUAAAGAAAACUAUAUAGGAAGUGGUGUUUCGCCUAUCGGGAAAGUUUCGGGGUCACCCGAUAUUGUACCAGGACCACCAGAAGGGACCCGGGGGUCCACCGGGUGGCGCCACCCAUCCCGGAGGGCCCCAAGGGCCAAAGUGGGGAGGGGAACCAGCCCAUAGUGGGCUGGUGCGCCCCCCUUGGCCCACCCCCUGCGCCUAGGGUUGAAACCCUAGGGUGGGGGGGCCUCACUUGGCUUGGGGGGUACUCCACCCCCUUGGCCGCCGCCCCUUGGGAGAUUGGAUCUCCCAGGGCCGGCGCCCCCCUUGGGGGCCUAUAUAAAGGGAGGAGGGGAGGGGCGCAGCCGCACCCUGAAGUUCUAGCGCCUCCCUCCCCCUGCUACACCUCUUCCUCCUCCGUCACGUGCUUGGUGAAGCCCUGCCGGAGUGUUGCUGUUCCACCAUCACCACGCCAUUGUGCUGCUGCUGGAGCUUUCAUCAUCAACCUCUCCUUCCCCCUUGCUGGAUCAAGACGGAGGAGACGUCACGCUGACCGUACGUGUGUUGAACGCGGAGGUGCCAUCCGUUCGGCGCUAGGAUCUCCGGUGACAGGAUCACGACGAGAACGACUACUUCAACCCCGUUCUUUUGAACGCUUCCGCGCGAUCUACAAAGUGGUAUGUAGAUGCAAUCUCUCUCCCAUGACUCGUUUCUUAGAUGAACUCAUAGAUGGAUCUUGGUGAAACCAUAGAAUUUUUUUUAAUUUUCUGCAACGUUCCCCGUCACUUGCGACGUUGCUAAUGCCGGCCCAAAGCUCCAUGGAAGUGAUCGGGCUCGCCCGUCGCCUGAUUCUACGGCUGCUGUCGAGCUGUGCAUGGACGCCCCCGCCUGAAUCUGCUUGUCCCCAGCCCUUCUUGGUACCUCGUCGUUCGUCCUGUUUCCUCGGCAUGUGUGCUGCCGCCGAUUACCAGUUCGCUGCCUCUGCCUGGGAAAAAAAUAAUUCUGCAACAUCACCUUUGUUGCAAAAAUGUUUCUGCAACAAGAACUAUGUUGGGAAAAAUUCUGCAACAAGUUCUCUGUUGCAAAAAAAAUCUUGUUGCAAAAAAUUUCUGUAACAAGACCUUUGUUGCAAAAACAUAUCUGCAACAUUACCUCUGUUGCAAAAGUUUAUACAACACGACGUAUAUUAGAAAUGUUCCUGCAACACCGCUGUUGUUGCAAGAGAGGUGACACACAUGGAUGAGUAGAUCGGACGGCUCCCGGCAUCAAUCCAACGGACACCCAGGCAGCGGAUGUUUUAUAGUUAUUCAUCGGCUGACGCGUAGCAGCCCCCUUUAAAUAUACCUACAGUUCACCCAAACUAACCCUAAUCUUAGAGUACUAUGGUUUUAAAAAACUGCUAAACUAAGUCUAAUUCAUUUUUCUAUGGCACUCGCUCGGGUUGCAUUUAUUUAUUUCAACAUAUCUACUAAUUCAAUAACUUUAAUCUCAAUCAAGGUGUGUGGUAACGUGAACUCAUAUUUCGCCGGUUAGAAGCCAUUUUGAUCGUUAUAAGAUAUAGAGAAAAGUAUAUUUUUUGUCCCUCAACUCUUAACGAAGUCUAGAUUUGGUCCCUCAACUUCAAAACCGGACAAUUUGCACCCUCAAUUCUUGAAACCGGAUAAGUUUCGUCCCUCAACCCAACCGACUAUAUUUUGACGCUGACUCACUCCGGUUUUGACCAAGUUGUGGUGCCCACAUGGCAAGGUAAUUCUUUCCUUCCAUCUACUAUGUAUGGUAUGGACAUUUGACAAACAUUUGGCGUGCAAUGCCUGCCGCCCCGCUACCAACGACCUGCCUCCGUUGCACCAUGUCCAUCAUCACCACAAGCAGAAACUCGCACGGCGUGCGUCGGGGCGUGCUGGUGCUGCGUCGGACUCGCCGCUCUCGCUCGGCUUGGUGCACGGCUUGCCCUUUGCGUUCAAGUCCUGCGAAGUGGACGGGUCGCAGGGCUCGUCGGGGGAGCAGCGCUUCUCGAUGUCGUCUCCAUUGCUGUUGUCCUCAUUGACAGAGUGCUCGCUGCGGCAACCUGGCGAUAGUGCAGUGUUUAGCCGUGUCAACCCCUUGGCGUGGUGGCUCUGCACGUCGGCACUCUGCGUCGGGGAUGCUGAAGCUUGUAGUGCUCGUGUCCGGGUUCAGGUGCGCCUGCGCUGAAAGACACGGAUGAUGUGCAGCUGGAGGAAGUGUUCGAGCUGUGCUUGUCUGACGUGUUAGCAUGAUCAUUCGUGUCUUAGCUAGUUUAGUGGCAUGUUUAUUUUUCCUUGUGCAUGUGCAUGCCGUGGCAGCAUAACCUUCGGAUCGACCCACCACCUCCUUCGACAUAGGCAUAGUGUCGGUCUAUAGGACUCUACUAUUGCCGUUUUGUCGGUUUUUAUUUGAUGUUUUUUUGGUUGGACUUUCGGAUUUGGCUGUGUGCAUCCUAGUUAUGCAGAGGCCGGGUAUUACUCAUAAUGCUUUGUAUCCACUUGAUGCUACAUUUUGAAUUAAUAAAAUCGCACUUUAUUGAAAAAUAUGCAUGCCGUGGGCAUGAUGCAUAUCUGCAUGCAUGUGUGUACAUGUUCAGGUCGUGCGCUAGGCCACCGGAUACAAAGGCCACCACCAACUACCUAUCGCCGUGCACCCCCCUGCCCGGCCUCCGCGCAUAGGUCCUCCUCGCCGUCCUCGUGCUCACCGUGUGCUUUUGUCGCUGCCAACGACGGUGCUGUUGAUGCCCUACGUCGCCCAGAGCCUACACCAGUGAGGCACCGUCCCCCGCUCCACGAGCGCGCAGUAGUCAGAUGAA